Molecule: long non-coding RNA, 120009 nt
Filed under: Coffea arabica (coffee)
Lineage: Eukaryota; Viridiplantae; Streptophyta; Magnoliopsida; Gentianales; Rubiaceae
Description: long non-coding RNA (CARA_LNC007267)
Rfam family: Plant small nucleolar RNA R71 (bases 112266-112372)
Source: RNAcentral
UACAAGUCCCCACCACCUCCAGUUUACAAGUACAACUCACCUCCACCUCCUCCCCCAGUUUACCUGUCUCCACCUCCACCCUAUCAUCACUACUACGGUUCUCCUUCUCCUCACCACUACUAAGCAAGUGCAUAAGUUUUGAGGUAAUAAUACCUAUCCAAAACUUUAUCAACACAAACUGCCAUGUAUAUCAUGCUAAGGACGUACACUUGAUCCAUGAAAAUGACUAGUAGAAGAUUUUUUUUAAGAACCAAAGAAAUACAUUAUUUUUUCGGUCUGUUUUCAAGAAUUUGAGCAGUAUACAGAUUAAAGAGUGUUUUUUUUUUUGUAAACUUGCUUGUCAACUUAAAAAUGCACAUAGCUGAAAGCCAACUGAAUAUUUGCAGGCAAAGGAGAAGGCAAUCGGUGUUUGAGACCUUCAAGAAGAUGUAGAAGAAUAAGAAUAAAAGCCCAAUGCGAGGAUGAUUCCAAGUUUCUACGUUACCAUUUCUACAUCUAAAUUGACUUUAGCUCCUGAGUUCCAUGUUUAUGGGGUUUGUACCGUUUUACGUACCAUGCAGUACAUGCUUGCAAGGUUUUCUGUCCUGUUGGCAAACUGCAGGUCCAUAUAAUAAAUGAAUACUAUUUACAUUACGACACUUUUCUCUUUUUCUCUUAUAUUUUGUCUUUAAUAUUGUUGAUCAUUUUUUUUUUAUCAAAAGCAUCAAAUGCUUAGGUAAUUUGGUCUAAUGCUAAUUGUUUUACUUUUAUUUUUCACCUACACCCCUUUUCAACUCAAAGGAUGCUAUAGUUUGUGAUAAUUGUUUAAGACCGAAGCAUGAUACUAAUAAAUAUCUCAUUGAAAGUCAAGGAAACUAACAUUAGGAAAAGUUUAAAUCUUGAUUUGAUGAAACUAUUUAUUCGUGGAAUUUAGAGAUACAAAACUCAAAUUGUGACGGUGUUGUUGCUAAAUUAUUAAGGACAUUAUCACCAUUAUUUUUCCCUGAUCACUAGUUUCAACUGCAAUGAUCUCAAUCUUUUUGUGACUAAUUCUUUCCUUAAUAAUUUAUAAAGACAAAACUCACAAAGAAUAUGUGACUAAUUCUUUCCUUUCGUCUUCUAAAGAAAAUGCCAACUGUUAGUUUAUCAAGGGGAAAAAGGAUCGACAUCAGUUAUUAUUGAAACUAGUAAGGAAUAAAUAAUGGUGAUAAUGUCCUUAAUAAUUUAACAACAGCACCAUCAGAAUUUGACUUUGAGCUUCGGUCUUAAACAAUGAUCACAAACUACAGCAUCCUUUGAGUUGAAAAAGGAAGUAGGUGAAAAGAAAAGUAAAAAAUACAAUUAGCAUUCCCUCAAAUUGUAGAAAGUUAGGUAGCAUUAUAGACAAGUUGAUAGCGGCAAUUUUACAUUUCAAACUUCACCUAUUCAAUAACUAAUUCGAUGGCUUGCUACAUGGUCAAUCUUUGGACCCCUUCCUGCCUCCAGAUAUCCCUUUCCUCAAUCAGGGGCUUCUACAAUUACCAGUUUCAAUUGUAUGGUAUAGUGUAAAUAUCAACAAAUUAGAUGUAGAUGCUAACAUAAUAAAUGUGAAUGCUAAGACAGCAACAUACAAUCGAACCUGCAAUUGUAUGAACCCCAAUCUCGCUUCCUAGUCCACCAUCUUUCUCUAGGUAAUAAUCUCCCUUCUAAUUUAUUCACAAAAUGCACCUUUCAUCACCUCCAAUAGCGUCGACAUGAUCUUUACCCUAGAAGACUAUUCACCGACUCUCAAUUGACGUCAGAAAAUCUAAGAGUAAUUCUACUUUACCCUAAGAUUGAUAUCAACAAGACAAGGACAAUUUAGAAUUAUUACACGCCUCUUCUUAAUAGGAAAAAGAAAUAGAGAAGAAAGUCAGGCCAGGUCUAAUUUCUUUUCAAAGGCAAUACAACAUUACGAAAUCAAGCAUUCAUUCAUACAAAUAUUUCAUAGUCACCGGUUUGCUGAGUAGAAAAAUUUAGACAAAAACUUAAUAUUAUAUUGUUUAAGAGUUAACAAUUUAGAGCUUAAUCUCCUUGUACUUUGGAGUUAACAAUUUAGAGCUUAAUCUCCUUGUACUUUGGACUAAACUUGAACGUGAAAGGAAAUCCCAAAACCAUAUUGGGCAUGAAUUCACACUUAAUAUACCCAAUAAAAGAUGGCGACUGGUGAAAGGCAGUGGAGACUGGUGGAGAGAUUUGAGGAAUAGAAGCAGACGGAAAAGCAACAAAUUUUUGCCGAAAAACGGUCACUUUCAUGGUUAAUUUUGCUACUCUCCAAUUGUACUUGACCAAUUACAACAAUUUCAUGGAGUUUGAUACGUGAAAAGAAUUUUUUAUAAAUUUUAUUUUGAUCCAUAAUGUUAUCUUUACAUAUAUAAAACAUUUUACAAUUUUGAUUUUGGCGCAGCUAACUUUUGGUUAACAAAAAUGCUCAUGUUUAAAAAACCAGAAAUAAAACAAAACAAGAAACAAAAGAAAUAAGAGGGUAGCAUAGACAUUUUGGAUUUUUCCGUUAAUUUGGAUGAUUUCCACCCACGUUCUAAUUUAAUCCAAAACACAAAGGAAUUACGUAGAGGUUUUAAAUAAUCAGGGAGCUUCAUGAUCGAACCCCAAACCACGUGAUAGCAUACAAGAGUUCUAUUUCACUAUCGGUAGACAAAGACUUUCUAUGGUUGAUGUACCGUAGGAAAAAAUCUGCCUAUACAACGUGAUAGCAUUUUUUCAAAAACACAAGAUGGAAAAUUGCCCCCUUAAACGUGGAAAUUCAUGAUCUUUCCUCGAACAAAGAAUACUCACGCCUAUUCAAGAUGGAAAAUUGCCCCCUUAAACGUCUAUUUGUCAAUUCUUGAAAAAAGAAUACUCACGCCUAAAACACGGCCUCUUCAUCUGCAGAAUUCUAAAAAGUUACGUAAACUCUAUAAACAAGUUGAUAGGUACAAUCGUACCCAAGAUCAAGUACAGAUAGUUGUACAUUCACUGCUGCAAUAACUAAUCUGAUGACUUACAAACAUAUCAUGGUCAAUCGUUGAAUGGUAAUGAGUCUUUUGUUAUGCAUUAGUAUUAGUGUGUACACUCUAAUAGAUUGAUACUUAUACUCUUUAAAUUAUCAUAAUAAUACCCUUAAUUAACUUUAACUCUUAAAAAGAAUACGUGUUAAUACACGAGAGUGUGUAACCUGAAUUGUUACUUAUACAUUAGUGUGUAAUAGAUAGGGAUGGCAGUGAGGGCGAGUGCCCGCGGGGGGCUCUCGGGGCGGGGGCGGGGGAGAAUUUUUUCCCCCCGUUUAGAAACGGGGCAGGGGACGGGGGAGUAUACCCCCGCCCCAUCCCCCGCCCCGCCACCCGCAAAAAAAAUUAUAUAUAUAUAAUUAUAUAUAAUAUGUAAUUUAAUUAGUUAUAAACUUAUGAUAAUGAUAUUAUUAGUUAGAUGUAUUAUAUAAUGUAUAUUAGUGUAUGUAAUAUAAUUAAUAUUAUCAAUUAUACGAAUAAUUAGACAUGUCCACUAAUAGAGUUUAUUAAUUAGUUAUACUAAAUUUACUAAUACAUUUGUACUAAAUUUCUAAUUACACUUAAUAGAAUAACACUUUUUUCUAAAAAAAAAAGCACAAACACAAUAAUGAAUUAGUGAUUGUAUUUGUACCAAAAGUGAAAACUUAACUAUUUUAGUUGUAUUUAUUUCAUCAUGUUGGAUUGUAUUCAAAUAAUUUUUGUUUGAUUGUUUUUAUGAGUUUCAAUUGUAAAAUUAAAAUGAAUAAUAACUUGAUGAUGUGUUGAUAUUUUAGUACUUGAUUAUUUAUUGAUUUAACUAUAAUAAAAUUUUAUUUUAUUAAAAUUUAACUAUAAUAAAAUUUUAUUAACCAAACGAGUUAUUAAUCCCGCGGGGGCACCCACGGGGGAAGCGGGGCGGGGCGGGGGAGUGGGAGGCGGGGGACGGGGCGGGGGUGGGGGGAGUUGUAGGUAGCGGGGCGGGGGAUGGGGGAGGGGUCCCCCGCCCCAACCCCGCCAUCCCCCGCCCCGUUGCCAUCCCUAGUAAUAGACUGGCAAGCAUUGUGGUGGUCAUUGAGAACUUACUGGAGAAAUAGUCCUAUAAGCUGUUCAAUGAGCAAUCACAACUUGCUAAUUGGAUGACUAAUAUAGCUCUAGCUGUAAUGUUUUAAUUAAAUUACAUCACUAACGUUGGGAUGACUUUUUAACCAAAAAAAAAUGCCUUAGUUCAAGCUUUUCCCUUUAUUGUGCAUUUUUUAAAGCAUUUGAUAGGCACUGCAAAUCUGUCAUUUUGGACAUUUUAUUAUUGACUAACAAUGAAAGCCGUGACGUCUACCCAUAACCAACACAAGAUUAAAUUAAUAUUAGAAAAAAUAAUUGAGUAAUUGGAAAAAAAAAAAGAGACUCAUUUUCAUUGAAACCCACCGACAAACUAAACGUGUCCAUGGCUUUUGAAUAGUGCAUUCAACGUUUAAUUGUAUAGUCCAGUUCAUUGCAGAUUACAUGGAGUAAAGAUUGUGCUCUUUCCUUUUUCACCCCUUUUGGAAUCGAUACUGUGGAGAAUUGGGUUUUUCCCUUCUUUUUUUCUUUUCUUUCCUUCUGUGCUUUGCAAAACAUAGGUAAAAAUAUGAAAUCCGAAGCAUUCUUUAAUUGGGAUUAAGUAUUGUUGUUGAAAUUAAAAAGAAAAAAGAAAGAACAACAAAAUUCCCAAUCUGGGUUGAUUGUUGAGCUCUAGAUUGGUUGCAUCGUGCUUCCAUAGAAGCUCUCUUAGUGUGAUACACUGCUUUCAAUCAGUUUAACACGGGAAAAAAAAAAAAAGAGAUGAAAAGCAAAUUUGGUGGGGAUAAUUUCAGAAACCUCCCCUGAAGAUUUUGACUAUUCUACUGGUCUCCCUUCAGAUUUUAAAAAUUACACUAAUCUUCCUUGAAGUUAAUUAUCUUGUAACAUUUAAAUUCAAUCAAUAAUUUAAAAAAUGAUAUUAUGAGAGAGAAAAUAAUGAUUUUAUCAUUGCCCCCCAUCUUACUACAUUAUUUAAUUAAUUUAAUAGCAACCCACACAUUAAAGAAAAAUAUUAAAAUUUGUUGUUUAUCAUUAAAGAUCAAAUCGCUUAUAACAUCAAAUAAUAGUAUAUUAUUUAUAUUUUUCACUCAAUAUAAUAUCCAAAUUACUCUUUUCAAUUACAUACCCAUUGUUAGACAAUCAACAACAAAUAACCAAAAAAUUUGCAACCAAAAUAUUACAAAAAAAUAAACUUUAACAUAUAAAUAUUCUUAUCAACAUAUUAAAGUUAGUUACUGAAAUUUUUAUGCUGUUAAACUUCACUCUUUUUGGUUACAGAUUUUUUUGAUUAUUUGUUAUUAAUUAUGUUUGAUGAUGGAUUUAUAAUUGAAAAGAACAAUUUGAAACUUACAUUAAGUAAAAUAUAUAGAGUGAUAUACUAUUUUUUAUAACAUAUGUGAUUCAAUCCUUCUUGAUAGGAUUGGUAAUAGAGGUAGAGGGGGGAGCCGGCUGCAUCCGGUCUACUUUUCAUAGAUAGUACAAUAUUGCGAAAUCGAUCGCAUUCACGCAAUAUUAUUUCCAAGUCAUUGCAUGGCUAAGCUGCAAAAAAAGUACGAACACAUGUUAUUAUAUAGCUUACGAUUCAAAACUUUAGAGCAUAACCCUCCACCUAACACAAUUGAAUAAUGAACAUUCACGUUUGUCAAAUCUGUCAAAGCACAGUUUGAGGACAACCCAUUCCAACCUGCAAAAGAUUUUUUACUUUUCUAAAGUUGUUGAGAGCUGUAAAAAGACUUACCAUGCUUGCAUCCUCCGAGCCUUGGGAGUUAAAAAUGAAGGCACUGAGUGCUAUAAAAAGGGGAAUAGAGGCUGCCUAGAAGCAUAUCAGCCUAAAACAAGAAUUUGUAGUUAAGAUGGGAAGCAAAGCAAAAGCAAUGGGGUCUGGGCUGACUCCUCUUCUUGCCACUGUUUUAGUGGUGUUUGUUGCUCUUGGCUUGCCCUCACAAACUGCAGCUGAUGAUCACUACAAGUAUUCAUCUCCUCCUCCUCCUUACCACUAUCCCUCACCACCACCACCAGUGCAUAUACCUCCACCUCAUCCUGUUUACAAGUACAAAUCUCCACCACACCCCCAGUACAAGUAUAAGUCACCACCACCACCUCCUCAUCCGGUAUACAGUCUCCUCCGCCACCACACACCCAGUUUACAAGUACAAGUCACCACCACCACCUCCUCAUCCGGUACCACACCCAGUUUACAAGUAUAAGUCUCCUCCGCCACCAGUUUACAAAUACAAGUCUCCUCCACCACCACCUCCAGUGUACAAAUACAAGUCUCCACCACCACCAGUUUACCACUACAAGUCUCCACCACAGUUUACAAAUACAAGUCUCCACCACCACCCCCAGUUUACAAAUACAAGUCUCCACCACCACCAGUUUACCACUACAAGUCACCACCACCUCCUCCCCCAGUUUACAAAUACAAGUCUCCACCACCUCCUCACCACUACUAAGCAAUUGCUUCUGAGGUAAUAACACUUGUUCAAUAUACCCACUUCUGCAUGAUAAAGCAUAUCUCUAUCAACACAAACUGUCAUGUCUAUCAUGCUAAGUGCCUUCACUUCAUCCACCAAAAUGACUGCUAGAAAAUUUUUUUUAUGUUACCAAAGAAAGGCAUCAUUUUUUCCCUCUGUUAUCAAGAACUUGUACAGUAUAUAGAUUAAAGAGUAUUUUUUUAACUAGCUUAUCAACUGAGAAAUGCAUAUAGCUGAUAGCCAGCUGAAUAUUUGCAGGCAAAGGAGAAGGAAACCAGUGUUUGAGACCUUCUUGAAGAUGUAGAAGCAUAAGAAUUAAAGCCCAAUGUGAAGAUGAUGAUUUCAAGUUUUUCUACGUUACCAUUUCUUUAUCUAAAUUGGUUGUAGCGCCUUAGUUCCUUUGUUUAUGGGAUUUGUAUCGUUUUACGUACCAUGCAGUACAUGUCAUGUUUGUAAGGUUUUCUAUCCUGCCGGCAAACCGCAGGUUCCAUGUAAUAAAUCAAUACUAUUUAUAUUACGACACUUUUCUCUGUUUCUCUUAUAUUUUGUCGUCUUUAAUAUUCUUAAUCAUAUUUUUAACAAAAAUAUUCAAACACUUAGGCAAUCUGGUCUAAUGCUAAUUGUAUGUUUUACUUUUCUUUUUCACCUGCUCCCCUUUUCAACUCAAAAGGAUGCAAUAGUUUGUGAUCACUGUUUAAGACGGAAGCAUGAUACUAAUGAAUAUCUCAUUGAAACUCAAGGAAACUAACAUUGCGAAAAGUGUAAAUCUUGAUUUGAUGCAACUAUUUAUUCGUGGAAUCUAUAGUUACAAAACUCAAAUUCUGACUGCGCCAUUGAUAAAUUAUUAAUGACGCUAUCAUCAUUAUUUAUCCCUAACUAGUUUCGACUACAACUGAACCCAAUAUUUUCCCCAUGAUAAAAGUUUUUGACUAUUUUACUGGCCUCUCUUCAAAUUUUAAAAAUUACACUAAUCUUCAUUGAGAUUAAUUAUCUUGUAACAUUUAAGUCCAAUUAAUAAUUAAAAAAUGAUAUUAUGAGAGAGAAAAUAAUAUAAUUUUAUCAUUGCCCCCCAUCUUGCUAUAUUAUUUAAUUAAUUUAAUAGCAACCCACACAUUAAAGAAAAAUACUAAAAUUUGCUGCUUUUCAUUAAAGAUCAAAUUGCAUAUGCCAUAAAACAUAGUAUAUCAUUCUAUAUGUUUCACUUAAUGUAAGAUCCCAAUUGUUCUUUUCAAUUACAAACCCAUUGUCAAUAACAAAUAACCAAAAAAUUUGCAACCAAAAUAUUACAAAAAAAAACUUCAACAUCAUAAAUAUUCUUACCACCUCUAGUGCAUUCACCCUCAUAAAAUAAUUCAAGACCCUACUGUCAUAAAAUGACUGAUCAACUCCCGUAAACCUAAUUUGACAACAUUUAAAUGGAGAACUUUAGCUAAAAGAAUUAUGGUCAAGCUAAAGAAAAAACCAGUUAUUUUCCAACAUAUGCAAUCAUUGAUCAGGGAAAAAAAAAAGAGCAAAAAGACAUCUUCAAUCAUUUAAUAGCUUACAGGGCAAAUUAACCCCUAAGCGAAAACUGGUUGCUCUAGAAUCAAAAUUUUACUUUAGUUACCCAGGCAACUUUUUUGUUGCUUUUUUUUUUUUUUUCCUUUAGUUUUGCCCCCUCUGUCAAGCUUAUAAAAUUAUUAAGAUAAUAAAAGUGCCUUGAAUAGUAUUAAUAUAUCCAUUGACUUGAGCUGUCGUCAGUUUGCGAUUCCAUGAGGCCUUUUCAAAGUACUCAGAAAAUGGGGAGUCAUGAAAUCCAUUUGUUCUAUUCAUUGCUAAGAUGCUUUUCUCUAUAAAGAGACUUCCUAACGAAAAUACUUUGUAGAUUUCUUUACUCCAAGUGGUGCAUGGAAAAUUAAUAUUUUCAAUUAUCAAAUAAAAUUCCCUUUUUUCGGCGUAGAUUUCAUCCAUCCAGCUGUUAACACAUUCUAUAAAUCCGAAUUGACUAAUCUUUUCGUUUCCAUUUUCCAACUUGCGAAUACGGCAUAUAGUGUCUGCUAAACACUAUAUAUUCUCUGCCAAAUAUGAAUACAUAUCACUUUUCUGAGCAAGUGCAGAGUCAUUAUCAUUUUUAUUCCCACCUAACAAAUUAGGGAUAAAAAAGUUAAUAAUCUUUACAUGCUAUCAGGUCACAAGUUAAUAAUCUUUUAAAGAACAUGUUAAAUUAAUUUAUUGGUAUGAAUAGUAGUCAAAGAAGUAUGUUAAAGUUAGUAAUCUUUAAAAUAAUAUGUUAAAAUCAUUCGUACAAAUUAGUCAGAGAAGUAGCAUAAACACCGCGAUGCAAUUAAUACUUUCAAUCUCAAGGUCUCUAUUAUGGAAAUUUGCAUCGGUCAAUAUACACUUGGCAUAAUAUAAUCUCCCAACUCAUUUCUUUACAAAUGCACCUUUAAUCACCACCAAAAGGUGUGGACAUGAUCUUUACCCUAGAAAACUAUUCACCGACAGGCAAAUUGACGUCAGAAAUACUGAGGAAUUCUAGUUUCCUUCGGGUUCAUGCCAUGUUGUAUCCUUCAACUGUAACUCGAUUUCUAAGCUGUAAUUUGUGACAUAAUAGUCCUUAAACUAUGAAACCCUUCUUACUUAAUUACAAUGGUUAAUACAAUGCCCGUGACUAGACAAGUAUGAAGCAACCAUAACAGAAAAAAAAUCCAAAAUUAGAGAAAAGAAAGAAGUUUCGCGACCACCACCAGUUUACAAGUCACCUCCACCACCUCCUCCAGUUUACAAGUCACCUCCACCACCUUACCAUUAUUCCUCACCACCACCUCCAGUGCAUUCACCCCCACCACCACCAGUUUACAAGUCUCCGCCACCACCUUACCAUUAUUCCUCACCACCACCUCCUGUGCAUGCACCUCCACCACCAAUUUACAAGUCACCUCCUCCAGUUUACAAGUCUCCACCACCACCUUACGAUUAUUCCUCACCACCACCUCCAGUGCAUUCACCCCCACCACCACCAAUUUAUAAGUCUCCCCCACCGCCUCCCCCAGUAUAUAAGUCACCACCACCACCUCCUCCAGUAUACAAAUCACCUCCACCACCUCCUCCAGUUGACAAAUCUCCACCACCACCAAUUUAUAAAUACAAGUCUCCUCCACUACCUCCUCCAGUGUACAAGUCAUCACCACCACCUGCUUACAAGUCUCCACCUCCUCCAGUUUACAGUUCCCCACCACCACCAAUCUACAAGUCUCCACCUCCACCCUACCAUUACUACUACAAUUCUCCUCCUCCUCCUCGUCACUACUAAGCAAUUGUAUCCAAGUUUUUGAGGUAAUAACGCUUAACCAAUAAAUUAACUUUCGCAUGAUAAACCUUAUCUCUAUCAAGACAAACUGCCAUGUGUAUCAUGCCAAAUACGUACACCUAGAUCCAUGAAAAUGAAUGGUGAGGAGGGCCAUUUAGGCUCGGAGCGCCCUAGGCCUAGUUCCCCACCAUUUCCUGAAGUGCCGCCUCGGGUAUUAUCCUGGAAGGCGAUCGCGGCCCAUUUACCACCUCGGCUACAAUGUCAGGUCGUAACACCGAGGUGGACAUUGAAUGACAACUACGAAAAGGGGAGAUGUGAUCUCUGACACCUGAGCAAAGGCUGCUCUGACCCGCCGCCUGAAUCUGACAGAAUGUCCCAUCACGUCUCUUCAUGGAGACCGGUCAAGUCCACCUGAUCCACUGACUAUCUCAGAUCUUUUGGGACCCGUGCAAACAUCUCCUCUCUCCUAUCAGUCCCCUAUAAAUACACGAUACUUCUACUGAAAAAGGAGAUGACCAAUUUCUGGUAAAACACACUCCACUCAUUAUUUACUUCUCUAUAUCCGAACUGACUUAAGCUUCGGAGUUAUACCGGGGGAUCCAGCCCCUUUCUUAUCCAAGCAGGUGACUUCGUCCAAGAGAGUUGCCCAAGGUAAAGAUAUUCUUCCAAUUGAGGUGACUCACUCCUGCGGGUCGAAAAUCACCUCUUCAAUUGGCGCCGUCUGUGGGAACCGCAAAGAUAUUAGAAGAUGAAGCCUGCGCGUUCUAGAAGCAGAAAAGCUCUCACUAUCGAGGCUGGGCAAAGCAAUGCAGCUCAACAAGAAAAUAUUUCUGAAGGGCAGGAGUCCCCAAGGACUCAGCCCGCAAACGAAAAAGCCAUAACCCGUAUGGCCGAGUUUGUGACCGAGAACCCCAACAUCUUUGAAGAGUUGGGAAGAUACCUGAAGAGGCAAGGCAAACAAAAGGCCGAGUCCUCUAAAAGGAUGUCAGAUGGGUCUCUUGAGGACUCAUCUGAGGAGGAGUCGGAUGGAAGGCACUUAAGCCGAAGUGCCUCAAAGCGAGCAUUUUCUAAGGCCACUUCUAAGGUAGCCUCCCUGACCAAGGCGUUUUCCCGAGGGCUCUUGGGCCGACGACCCGAGGAAGAACCUCGGCCCUUGGGAAUACCCGGGGUGGACUGCAUGAGGGCUCCACCGUUCACGGAUGAUAUAAACGAGGAAAGGCUUCCUCCCAAUUUUAAGCUCCCCGCAGUACAAUCUUACGAUGGCCGAGGUGAUCCCGAGAAUCACAUCCAUACCUUCAUCUCGGCCUUCCAAAUAUACUGCAUCCCAGACCCUGUCAUAUGUCGGGCCUUUCCAGUAUUCCUCAGAGGAACUGCUCGAAAAUGGUUCUGAGCUCUAGAACCUAGGAGCAUUUCGACCCUGGGUGAAUUAGUGGAGAAGUUUCUCCACCGAUUUGUCUCCUCCCGACCUACGACUAGGACCUCGGCUUACCUGCUCACCGUGCAGCAGAACCCGGGAGAGUCACUCCGGUCGUACGUCCGGAGGUUCCAUGAGGAAAGCGUUCAGAUACCUGACCCCAAUGAGCAGGUAACCCUCGCUGCCUUUACCCAUGGACUCGUUGCCGGGGAGUUCAAUACGGGGAUCCAUAAAAAAUACCCCCGCACACUGCAUGAAUUGUGGUUGAAGGUUGAAAAGGGCAUACAGGCCGAAGACCUCCAUCGCAUGAAGAAAGAGGUCCAAGCCACCCGUCCAAGGGCUGAGCCCAGAAAGGGAAAAGACGCUGGCCGAACUGAAGUAGGGUCGGGAAGUGGCUUCCGAAGUCCUGGCCGAGACCGCCGCAGCGUGUUCGACAGGAUAUCCAAGGGGAAGUCACCUAUUCCCGAGUCCGAGUUGACUCCUUUAAAUACUACCCGAUCUCACGUGUUGUCCGUGAUGGAACAAAACAACCUCGGCAAGGGCCCGCCGAGGAUGUUUGGAAGCAGAGACAAGAGGAACUCGAACCUCUACUGCUUGUAUCAUCGUGACAUUGGUCACGAAACUGAGGAUUGCAACGAUCUCAAGAAGGAGAUCGAGAACCUCAUUAGACGGGGACACUUGAAACAGUUCAUCCGCAGAGGUGGAGGUCACCAACGUGACGAAAACCGGCAUGACAAAUGAGGUGACCAACGCCGAGAUGAGCGGCGGAGCUCCAGAAGCAGUUGCCGACCUCCUGAGGAUCCCAGGGAGACGAAAAGGCCUCCCCCAGACGGAUCUUCGGGACAUGGGCCAACCAUUGCCCGGGUCAUUAACACCAUUGCCGGAGGUCCGACGGGAGGGGACAGUCAGAACUCCCGGAAGAGAACCUAUAAGCAGGCUAACCCGGAUCAGGCCGAGUCGAGUUCUCGCCUGUCCGAGGUGAUCACCUACGGGCUCAGUGAUCCCAUCCCAGCUGCAUCCAGCAGUCAUGAAACCUUGGUGAUUGAAGUCCUCACCAAUAACUACAUUGUGAAAAGGUCUACAUAGACCCGGGAAGUUCAGUUGACGUCAUGUACCUCCGUACCUUUGAGAGCCUUAAAAUGGCUAAGGGGUGCAUGACCCCGCUGAGAACCCCUCUUGUAGGGUUCGGGGGACACGUGGUGCACCCCGAAGGGAUGGUGACUCUGACAGUGACCAUAGGGCAUCACUCUCGCUGUAGAACCGUCCCUGUCAAUUUUGUGGUGGUUAAGGCUGACUCCCCAUACAACCUACUUUUAGGUCGGCCUACGCUCAAUGCCUUGCGGGCGGUCUACUCCACCUACCACCUGAGCUUCAAGUUUCCUACCCCAGCAGGGGUGGCCGAGGUCAGCAGCGACGUCUGUGCUGUCCGGGAGUGCUACCUCGCCACCCUACAAGCAGCCUCCCCGUCUACCUCCGGUGCGAGGUCCGAGAAGAGGUCAAAUAUCCUCUCAAUAGAUAGCAUCGAUCCUCAGUGAGCUGAGAAGGUCCCGAGGCUGGAGACUGGGGAUGAGGUGGAAGAGAUUCCCCUGGACCCCACGAAACCUGAUCAGACAGUUCGCGUUGGUACCCGAUUGCCCGGUCCUAUCCGAAGAGGUAUGAUGGACCUCCUCAGGGAAUACCGGGACGUCUUUGCUUGGGCCGCCGAAGAGGUCCAAGGAGUCCCGCACCAUCUCAUGAUGCAUGACUGAACGUCGACCCCCAAGUCCGUCCGGUCAAACAGAAGAGAAGGCACAUCGGCCCUGAGCGCAGCCAAGCUGUUGGUGAGGAAGUGGACAAGCUUUUACCCGCUAAAAUAAUCCGAAAAGUCCAAUACCCGAUCUGGUUGUCUAACUCGGUCAUGGUCAAGAAGGAUACGGGGGCUUGGAGAAUGUGCGUCGAUUUUACCGACCUCAACAAAGCCUGCUCCAAGGAUUGCUACCCCUUGCCCAAAGUCGAUACUUUGGUAGACUCAGCAAUGGGCUACGAGAUCCUCUGUUUCUGGGAUGCAUUCAAAGGCUAUCACCAAAUUGGGAUGAGUCAAGAAAACCAGGAGAAAACGGCCUUCUACACCGACCGCGGCACGUACUGUUAUACUACCAUGCCAUUCGGGUUGAAGAAUGCCGGAGCCACUUAUCAACGCUUGGUCAACCAAGCAUUCAAGUCUCAAAUCGGCCGGAAUGUUGAGGCCUAUGUAGAUGACAUCCUCCUCAAAAGCCAGACGAACUCCACCUUCCUGGCCGACUUGAAGGAGGUCCUUGACAUCCUGCGGAAGGUGAAAAUGAUGCUGAACCCCAAGAAAUGUGUUUUUGGGGUCACCUCGGGGAAAUUUCUAGGUUACCUCGUCUCAAGGCGAGGUAUCGAAGCAAAUCCGGAUAAGGUGCGAGCCAUCCAGGAGAUGUCUCCACCCCGGUGCGUCCGCGAUGUCCAAAGGCUGACAGGGCGAUUAGCCGCCCUGAAUCGGUUCUUAUCGCAGUCGGCAGCUAAAGCACUGCCCUUUUUCAAAGUGUUGAAGAAAGCUGACCAUUUCUCCUGGACGGAAGAGUGUCAACAGGCGUUUGAGCAGUUGAAGGAUUACCUUCACUACCUUCCAACGCUCACCUCACCUCGUCCGGGGGACAAAUUAAUCUUAUACCUUUCUGCUGCGGCCGAAGCGGUGAGUGCCGUGCUGAUAAGGAAGGAAGGGGUCCAAAUGCCCGUCUACUACGUUAGCCGAGUCCUCCGAGGUCCAGAGACCAGGUACACACAAGCAGAGAAACUUGUGCUAGCCCUGAUCCACGCCGCCCGCAGACUCAAGCCCUACUUCCUAGCUCACCACGUCUGCUUGAGGACUGAUCAACCACUUCGGCAGAUUUUGACACGACCAGAGGUUUCGGGACGUCUUACCAAAUGGGCCAUUGAGCUGGGGGAGUACGACCUAACUUAUGAGCCUCGCACAGCGAUCAAGGCCCAGGCUCUCGCAGACUUCGUAGCCGAGCUCACCUUUGACGAGGUGCAAGGAUCCGUCCCGGCUGCCACAUCGGCCACAGUUGAUGUGGCCACCACUGGGCUCCAGCGGUGGAUCCUACACGUGGACGGUUCGUCAACAGUGAGGGUAGUGGAGCAGGCUUGCUCCUCGAAGACCCCCAAGGAGAAAUAUGCUAAUAUGCCUUAAGAUUUGACUUCGCUGCUUCAAACAAUGAAGCUGAAUACGAAGCCGUCAUUGCUGGACUGCAGCUAGCUCGCAAGCUCGGGGCCGCACACAUCUUGGUUUAUAGUGAUUCCCAACUCGUCGUGUGCCAGAUAUUAGGUGAGUACGAAGCCAGGGACGAGGUGAUGCAUCGUUACCUCUCCAAGGUCCUCCAGUUGGCGACUCACUUCGAGUCUUUUGAAAUUCAAAGAAUACCGCUAUCGAAAAACAGAAGGGCUGACGCCCUCUCCCGGCUUGCCUCAACCUCUUUCUCUGACCUGAACAAGACGGUUCUCGUUGAAGUUCUAGCCGAACCAGGAUAUGUAGCCGAGGUAGUAUACCCCGUCUACCCUGGGGACACCUGGAUGGGUCCCCUGACUCGAUUUUUCAGCCAGGGUGAGCUCCCCGAAGACCGAGCUGAGUCACGGAAGCUCCAACGAAAAGCAGCACGGUACAUUCUCCGACAAGGCCUUUUAUACAAAAGGUCUUACCUCGGCCCUUAGUUGCGAUGUAUCACGCCCGAGGAAGGCCAGAGAAUCCUCCAAGACAUACAUGAGGGGCUCUGUGGUGCUCACGUCGGCUACAGAAUGCUGGUAAAAAAGGCUUUGUUACUUGGGUAUUUUUGGCCCACUAUGAGGAUAGAUGCCCAGGUCAUGGUCCUUUGCUGCCCCUCCUGCCAGCAUCACGCUCCUGAGCACCACCAGCCGACCAAUUUAAUGAUCCCUAUCACCUCGUCAUGGCCAUUUGAGCAAUGGGGAACGGACAUAAUUGGCCCCUUUCCCAGAGCUCCAGGCAAUUAUACCUACGUGGUGGUAGCAGUGGACUACUUCACCAAAUGGGUCGAAGCUGAACCCCUAAAAAAUAUCACUGGUGCGGCAGUCCAGAAAUUCUUCUGGAAGAAUGUGGUUUGCCGCUUCGGCCUACCCCGGGUGAUCAUCUCGGAUAAUGGCCGACAGUUCGCCGAUAAUCCUUUCAAGGCCUGGUGUGAGAACCUCGGGGUCAAACAGCAUUUCACUUCGGUGGGACACCCCCAAGCCAACGGACAAGCCGAAAACUUCAAUCGCACGCUCCUCCAUGGCCUCAAGACCAGGCUCCACCAGGCUGGAUCGUUUUGGAUGGAAGAGCUCCCCAGUGUGCUGUGGUCCUACCGAACUACGCCGAGAUCAGCAACCCAGGAAACCCCGUUUUCCUUAACCUACGGGUCAGAAGCUGUUGUUCCAGCCGAAUUCAUCACCCCGAGUCCACGAAUGGCCGCAUAUGCUGCCGAAGUCAAUGAAGAAGAACGGCGAGUUGACCUCGACCUCGUCGAAGAGAAGCGUGAUAUGGCCGCGGCCAAAGUUGCUGUUUACAAAAAUAUCGUAGCUGGCUACUACAACGCUCGGGUUAAACAUUUGCGGUUCAGUCCGGGAGACCUGGUGCUCAGGAAGAACUCAGUCAGCCGGGCUGAACCUCAGGGUAAACUAACCCCCAAGUGGGAGGGACCAUACCGUGUUGUUGAGUCCAGCCAAAAUGGAUAUUGUAAAUUGGCAUACCGAGAUGGGUCUCUGAGUGCCCCGAACUUGGCAUGCUGAAAAUCUUAAGUUGUACUACCCUUGAGGGUAUGUGCUUUUAAUCUUGAGUUAUUUCACACUUAUUUUCAUUUCAUUAUAAGUGAAAAAUAAGGGGACAAAGUAGCAGUAAAGAGGAAAACCGAAUUUAAUUAAAAAGAAAGCAAGAAUAUGAACUCAAUUCCAUUGAAUUACAUAAAAGUAGAAAGCCGAGGUCACCUUUAAUUAGGAAGAAAGCAAGAAUAUAAACUCAAUUCCAUUGAAUUACAUAAAAGUAGAAAGCCGAGGUCACCUUUGACCUCGGCCUACAAUGACAAAAAAAAAAACAAGUGCCUCUAGGCACUCCCUACCCUGACAUCCUGGCCCCCCGUGGUCGCGCCACCCGUUUCGGCACCCUGUCCACCCUCAGCUCCUCCACCGGCCUGGUCGUCUUCAGUACCAUCUAGUUCAAACUCCUGGAGCCAUUUGUUGAAUUCGGCUCGGACUUCGGUUAGGUCUUUCUCAGUCCGGAUGCCCUCAGCCAUGCUGUCGCAUAGCUCCUUGGCAUCCUCGUUAUAGUGCGAAGUGCUCUGAAGGGACUCCAGUUGUUCAGAGGGAAGAAAGGAUGCCGCGUCAUUAAUAGCCGACGUGUACCCGAACAUGAAGCUUGGCCGGGUGAGCUCGCCGAGGUCACGGAUGAAGGACUCUGACGUCCGGAAGGCUUCCACAGCAGUGACCCCGGCCUUGUCCAUGGCCUCCCUGUUUGACUGUUCUUCUUGGGCCCUCCUUUUUUUCUCCUCAUCAAGAGCAGUCACCAGGGAAUUGUUCGCGACCUCGGCCCUUUUGUUAGCCGCCUUGGCCUUGUCACGCUCCAACUCGGUUGCCUUCAGUUUUUCUUCCAACUCGGCAAUUCUCUUCUGGAGCUCGGCAGGAGGCUCAUAGUUUUCCAUGAACUUUCCAUACCGUUGAAUCAUCUCGACAAAAAAAGCCGUGGUAGAGGCCCAUGACACCGAGGCGCUCUGCAUCAACUCCCCUGCGGAGAGCUUCCUAGCAUAAGUGCUAUCUCGUGGCAGCACUGAAUGCACCAAGAGCUCCUGAGCGACCAAAGGGUUCUUGCAGCGAUCGUUGAAAUUAAUCUCCCACUCUGGACACCAGUGUGAUCCGGGGUGUCUCUUGUCCUCCUCAGCUGCCUUGAAAGGCACAUGAUGGAGUUUGAACAAAGAUGACCCCGUGACGGGGUUCUCCGGAAAUAUGGUCACACCCUGACCCCGGGGGGGAGUGGCAAUCGUGACCCAGCGAGAAGGGAUUCCCACCGGAAUUGCCGAGGCUCGGGAACCUCCCGGAGUGGCCGAGGUGUGCGAGCCCUCGCCCACGAUCACCACGGCAGGCUCGCGGUCGCCCGACGCCGCGGUGGUUUUCUUAGCCGGCCUGGAAGAGGACCCUGCAGUGUCCUUGCGCUUUUUGGGAGCUCUUUUGACCACCUCGACAUCUCCCGAGGUUAUCAGGUCGAAAAUCUUCGUCACUGCAAAGUAGGAGACGAAGUCAGUUAGAAUUCAAGAGGGAUAAACUAAAAGGGAAGAAAUGGAAAAAUACAAAGUCUGUGAAGCCUAGUCGAGAGUAAGACAGGCUGGUCAGAGCUCGUCAAGGCUCAACUGAUCCCGCCUUCCACGAGCACCACUUCGGGAAAAUCCCAGCAGUUUAUCCUGAGGCCCGACCCCGUUAACUUCUGGAAGUUACGCUCUUCUAACUUCCCUGGAGAUAUCUCCUUGAUCGAGGUGGGAGGCCUCCACCAGAAUCCGCGAGGGAAGUCAUCGGCCGAGACGAAGAAGAAGUUUUGCUUCCACUCCUUUAUUGAGUUCGGAGCAUCAACCACCAACUUCGGAACUUUGUUUCCGAAGUAGAACCAUCCUUUUUCACUUCUGCUGUUCUUGAGUGAGUAACAGCGGCGAAAGAGGUUGACCUAAGGUUGUAUCUCCUGAUGUCGGCAAAGUAGCUGGAAGCCAACGAGAAUGCGAAUAGCGUUAGGGGUGAGUUGAGUGAUUCUCACCCCCCAGUACCUCAGGCAGUCCCGAAGAAACCUCGUCGUGGGCACUCUGAGUCCGGCCUCCAGCUGUUCCUGAUAGAUAGUCACCUUGCCCUUUGGUGGCAGUGCGGCUGACUGAUGCGGUUGGGGUAUGUAAAUACUAUAAUCCCUUCUCCAGGGAUACCUGCGGACCACCUCGGCUAUUGAGGCUUGUCCCAUACCACUACUGAAGAACGGCAUCUGGCCGUAGUCGAGAGUUGCCACGUUUGGAGGAGUGGAAGGUUCUUGUACUCCCUCGUCUCUAGGGAUCUCAAUCCCGAGGUCAUCGUUGUAUAGGACCUCGGGCUGGACCUCGAUCUCCUCGGGCUGCACCUCAACCGCCUCAGCUCGGCGUGAUGCCUCGGCACCUCCACCCUCAGCUUGGUGAGAUGCCUCAGCACCUCCGCCCUCGGACGCGGUCCUUUCCUGGGAGGGGUCAGGCCUCUCUGCCUCAGUGAGGUCAGGUCUCACUGUCUCUUUGUGCGUACGAGCUGUUCUAGCCAUUGUAUCAGAAGGGGAAGAAGUGAACUUACUUAGAAUCUGCGACUGGAAGAAGAUGCCGAAGUAGACGUGGUUUAGAAAGGUUGCCGAAGUGAAAAGAGAAAGAAACAGAGUUCUGGGGUGAUUCUUGAUUUUUGGUGAAGAGUAAAACGGUGAAAAAAGACCACUAUUUAUAGGCCACCAGGGUGAAACCCAAGAGACGGCACCCUCUCUCUUCAUUAAUGGGAGGACUGUUCGUCUGCCAACACAGCUGACAGCCGUCCCUUCAGUUAUCACUCAGUCCCAUCUAUGCGGUCAUGACGUGUCCGUGUUCCGUGUUUUAUACGCUUCUCAGCUUCGGGAAGUAACGACCACGGCGGAUGCCCAUCUCGCCCUUCUCAAAGCUUGGGGGGCUUAGUGAGGAGGGCCAUUUAGGCUCGGAGCGCCCGAGGCCUAGUUCCCCAUCAUUUCCUGAAGUGCCGCCUCGGGUAUUAUCCUGGAAGGCGAUCGCGGCCCAUUUACCACCUCGGCUACAAUGUCAAGUCGUAACACCGAGGUGGACAUUGAAUGACAACUACGAAAAGGGGAGAUGUGAUCUCUGACACCUGAGCAAAGGCUGCUCUGACCCGCCGCCUGAAUCUGACAGAAUGUCCCAUCACGUCUCUUCAUGGAGACCGGUCAAGUCCACCUGAUCCACUGACUAUCUCAGAUCUUUUGGGACCCGUGCAAACAUCUCCUCUCUCCUAUCGGUCCCCUAUAAAUACACAAUAUUUCUACUGAAAAAGGGGAUGACCAAUUUCUGGUAAAACACACUCCACUCAUUACUUACUUCUCUAUAUCCGAACUGACUUAAGUUUCGGAGUUAUACCGGGGGAUCCAGCCCCUUUUCUUAUUCAAGCAGGUGACUUCGUCCAAGAGAGUUGCCCAAGGUAAAGAUAUUCUUCGAAUUGAGGUGACUCACUCCUGCGGGUCGAAAAUCACCUCUUCAAAUGGUAGAAAGUUUUCUUAAGAACCAAGAACAGCAUUAGUAUUCCCUCUGCUUCCAAAAACUUGUGUAUUAAAUAGAUUAAUGAAUUGUUUAACAUGCUCAUCUACUUGAAAAUGCACAAUACCCAUAACCCACUGAAAUUUUUGCAGGAAAAGGGAAAGAGAAUCUGUGUUUGAGAGCUUCAUGAAGAUGUUGAAGAAUAAGAAUAAAAGCCCAAUGCGAGGAUGUUUUCAAGUUUUUCUAUGUCCACUUUAAUUUGUAAAUUGAAUUUUACAACUCAAUUAAUUCCUUGUUUGUGAGGUACGUAUUGUUUUACGUACCAUGCCGUACAUGUUUGUAAGGAUUUCUAUCCUAUUGGCAAAAGUCGGUUCCAUACAAUUAAUCAAUUCAUUUCACUUCUAUUGGCUCUACUAUUUAUGCAUGUUACGACACUCUUUCCCUUAUAUUUUGCCUUUAAUAUUAUGAGUCAAUAGUAAUAAUGGGCCUUUUUCUUAAAAUUAUACUAUUAUACAUAGGUAGUUUGGUCUAACGCUAAAUUCAUGUUUGUCUUUCUUUUAUUCCCUUUACAUCUCAAAGUAUACUAUAGUUUGUAAUCAUUGUGGUGAUGAUAUUACCAGCUGGUACUUAUAGUUUAAGGCAGAGACAUGAUAUUAACAACUAUCUCAUUGAAACAUAAGUCAAAAUCAUGACAAGUGUGAGUCUUGGUUAAUGCACAAUUUGUUAGUGGAAUUUAUAUUUAUAAAACUCAAAAAAAAUUUUUGACAAUGCUAUUACUAAUUAAUUAAGGACUUCAUUGCUAUAAUUUAUCGCUUACUAGUUUAAACUAUAAAUGAUCUCAAUACUUUUCUCCAUGAUGUCGAUUUCUUUAGACUACGAAAGGGAAAAAUUAGUGACAUAUCCCUUACUGAUUACAACAUCAGCAAAAAUUAGUUAUAAACUUUUCCGGUGGUUUUAAAUCCCUCGGGCACUAAGGUUUUUUGCACAUCGAGUGAAUUAAGGAACAUAGGCAAUUCGUUCUGCAUACCAAGUCCUUGUUUAAGAUGCACGUACUAAAAUGCAUCCACUUCAUUAAUUUGGAAAAUUGCCAUAGUUUUUUUUAAGCAUUUUGAUUUUUUACAUGAUUCAAAAUUUUCUUAUUGGAUACAAUCACUUUGUGUCAAGAACACAUUUUCAAUCAUCUUUUUUAUCUUCUCAAUAAGAAAAUAAAAAUUUAUUCAUGCUUUUCUAACAUAUCCAAUCAUUGAUCUGAAAAAUAAAGAAUUAAAAAAAAAAGACAUUUUCAAUCAUUGCUUACAGGGCAACUUCCCCAUGUGAACCUCUUCAAACAAAGCCAAUAAUAUGAAGGAACAUCUAAAUACACUUUUGCCCUAAAGGCUGGUUGCCUUGGGGUCAAAAUUUAACCUUCGGGAGUAUAAUUACCCGCCAAAUUUAUUAUUUUUUAUGGGUAUAUAGUUCCAAUUUUGCCUCCUGUUAAGCUUAUAAAUAUAUUACGACCCAGAAAAUAAAGGAAUCUUGAAUAGUAACAUGUCCAUUGACUUGAGUUGUCAUCAAUUUGGCUACUUCGAUUCCAUGAGGCCAAUCCAAUUCACACUAGCUAGAGAAAAUGGUGAUAAAGGCACUUAGAAAUUUAUAUGUAAUAUUGAUUGGUAGUAACUGAUAAGUAUAUAUUUUACGUGUUUUAAAUAUGUUUUAUUAGUUAGUUUUGGUGUGUUUUAACUACUUUUAUAACUAAUUAACUAGGAAUCUAGUGAAAAUAUGCAUUUUGUGGUUUGAAGUGUGAAAAUUGUAUUUCUAUGGAUUUUAAUGGUGAAAACUUCAUGUUUUUGUAGGUUUAAUGAUUCAAUCAUCAAAUGACAUGAUUUGAGAAGAUAAUUAGAUGAUUGAUGAUGUUUUGAAGUGAUAAAAAGAGAAUACAAAGUGCAAGAGAGGAAAUGCAAUCAAGAAUAAAAGAAGAAAAUUUUUGUAGCUUUGACAUAUUGUGGUAUUUUGGCAAUAUAUUGAGCUACAAUGAUUGGAUUAAGGUGAUUCUUAAACCAUUUGAAGCUAAGAUAUAGAUCUACAUUUGGUAUGAAGGCAUCGAAACCCAUGUCAGUCAUUUUCCUUGUCAAAAUGUUGAAAUACAGAAGUGCAACUCUGUUCUCGAAAGCUAAAACAGAGCUCUGGCUAGUCGAGGGUAUUUUCAUCAUUUCUUAGUCCACAGAGCUCCAAAUGAGAUGAUUCUUAAGGCAUUAGAACCCUAACUCAAAGAGCUACAACUUUCAUAUUUUGUACAAGAGUUAGUUCGGCCUCCAUCAUUCAGAAAAUAGUAGUUGAAGUGGUGCCAAAUGCAUAGAAGUGAAAACGCGAGCUAUCAAUACUCGACCUGAAGUCGCGUAUUCCUGAGGUCAUGCAUUCUCUUCUAUUUUCUGCAACUUGCCCUGCUUUCACAUAAUUUUUUCAUCUCAAUUCCAACUAUCAAUUUCGGCUAUAUCUGAUCAAGAAAAGUGUGGAAAGUUUGAAAGACAACUCAUAGGAGUUUCAAGAGUCAAAAAUUACAAUUAGAAACAACUCAUUUGGCUCUUGAAUCCUCUAUAAAUAGAGGCCUUUGAAGAACAUUUUCACAACUUUGGAAGGUUAGAGAAACUCCACAAAAACAUAGUCUUCACUAGAAUUUCCUUAGUUCAUUAGUUAGGGUAGUAUAGUAUAGUUAGUGUAGCUUUUCCUUCUUGUAUUUAUAGUUAGGUUUGAAUGAAGAUUCAGGAGCAAAGAUAGAGAGGUUGAUCUCAUGUGACAAGGGUGAUAUCUCUUCUACUACUUUCUCUUUUGUAUUUGAUUUCAUAUUUAACUAUACUACAAAUUUGGCUUUGUUUUUUUUUUUUAUCAUGUUUAGUUAAAGUUUAUGCCUAGAGUAUGGAUGACCUUUCUAUAUCUUGUUUGUGAUAUUUAACUGGUUAUUUGAUGAUGUUAUUUUUGAGCAAGUUAUUUAUCACUUUUGCUUUUCUAAUCGUGAUUAACUGGCCAUUAGUUGUGAUUAUCUAAAAGUGUUAAGUUUGUAAUGAGAAUUGGAGUUUAACACUAGUUCAAGGAAGUGAUAAAUUUAGGGAGUUCACUCAUGAGAGUAGAGGAACACCUUUGUGACCUAAGUGACUUGUUUCAUAUAAUUUCAUAGAAAAAAUGAACUUGUAAUUAAUUUCAUAACCACGAGAGUAAGUAUGGUUUAGCUAUAUGUAUAGUUGAUUCACUACGAGAGUAGGUUUCACAUACAUUAGAAAAUUACAUCAUAACUAGUCAAGAUAAUAUCAUUCAUUUAAUCAGUAAUCUCAUUUGCAUGAGUAGUAAGGCAUUCCAUAUCUCUAGGAGGUUUUUAGUAUUAUUUUCAUUACUUUUAUGUUUAUGGUAGUCUAGAUAAUAAUGGAGUUCAAAAACUACUAGUAAUUGAAAAUUUUCCCUGUGGGAUCGACCUUUAAUACCCUAUACUCGCUCUCGACUCGUAUACUUGCGAAAAAUCACGUGUGCGGUAUUUAGAAUUUAUAAAUGUAAAACUUGACUGUAGAUGAACUAAUUGAUAUAUGUAUACCCCGCACUCGUCAGUAACCAGCUUGUAUUGAUCCCAUUAUUGUGGAUAAUUGUGCUCUUAUGAAAAAAAAUUAUAAAAAAAUUAGCAAAAUUUAUGAUAACAAAUUAAAUUUAUUCAUACAAAUCAGUGAAAGAAGUAGAAUUUUAAAGACCAUGAUGAAAUUAAUACUUUCAAGGGCUCUAUUAGGAAGACUUCACUUGUUGGUGAAACUACACUAGCACAGUUAUAUGCACAUUUACUGUUUUGGUAUCUAAUUUCCUUGCCUUAAGUUGGGUGCAGAUGUUUAUAUUACAAAUAGAUGGUAUCAUAAAAUUGUUGUAUUCACGUUUGUUCUUUUUUUUUCUUCCUUAAGUUUUUUUCUUUAUUCUCGUGACUUCAAAAAUACGAACUCAAGAAAUUGGCUGCUUAAUCAAUAUGUCAUACAGGCUUCGCUAGUGAGGUAUAACUUCACAACUAGAGUCAAUAGAAAUUAUCAAAUGAUUUUUUAACAUCCAAAUUAAGCAAUAAAUUUUGUUUUCAUUUUAUGACAUAUAAUAGUACUACUUCAUGAGAGAUUUUAUAGUUUCUUUUAGGUAUCAUACCUACAAGUGAUAUUUGUCAUUGGAUAGUGACAGAAGUGUUAAUGAUUGUAAGAUUAAAUAUUGUUAAAUAUUGAAAUUUAAACUAUUUAUCUUUAUUGAAAGAUACAAGUUAAAGAAUCGUUCAAGGGGGCAAUUUUCCAUCUUGUCUUUUUGAAAAAACGCUAUCACAUUGUAUAGGCAUGAUAGGUUCAAAUUUGUCAUUAAAUUUAUGAUUGAUUUCCCUUUUAUUCAAGCCAAAUAUUGUUUUAAUUAUCAAAUUCUACUUAUAUUUGGUUAAUUGUACUAAUUGUAGGGCGGUAGAGCAAAAGUUGCUAAAAAUAGGUGAUUUUCUGCAAAUUGGUUGUCAAGGCUGAAGGAUUUGGGAUUCGCAUGUUCAAGGCCUGUUUCCAAGUUUGAUUCAAACUCUGGACAGUUUUAGAGGAAGAUUUGGAAGAUUUGAAAUUUCAUUAUUAGUUUUAUGGUUGAAUUAGGAAUCUUGGAAUAAUUUCUUUUGUGAUUUAUUUUUCUAUUUAGGAGACUAGUUGUUAUUUAGUAGUAGACUUCAAUUAGAAAACAAAGAGAAAAAGAAGGCCGGAAUCCCGCUUGAUUAAUACCUUGGCCAGGGAACAAUCUCGGUGGGGAGGACGGCCACUUAGCCUCUCAAUUCAUCUUGCUUUUCGUUAGUUUGAGAGGAAAACCAAUUGCAACUAGAUUCAAUGGAGUCUGGCAGAAUUUCUUCUAGGAUGCGUAGCUAAAUCCUCAAUUUUUAGUCGAAGGUCAAUUUGAAAAUUCGGUUCCAAAUAUCUGUGAAAUCGAAUUAUUUUACUUAUUUCUUUUAUUUAUUGGUAUUCGCACGUUUUCUGAUUUAACUUUUUAUGAUUGUUUUGUUAUUUGAAUGUCAAGGGUCCGAUAUUCGAAUUAACUUAAUAAUCUACUGCCAAAUUAACCGGUUAAAUCCGUAAUUGUUUGAUUGAUUAAUAUCAGUGGCGACUAGCGUGAUUGGUCCCAUGUUAGGAAAACGUCUGAUCUAAUUUAAACAAACCGUCGUAGCGUGUUUGUUGAUUAGGGUUGGACUUUUCUAAUUCUUAAUUCAAUUGAGAAAUUAAAUCUCCCGGUCGUACCUAAGAUUAUUUUUUUGUUAGCGAAAUAGUUAAUGGUCGUACCUUGACUAUCGAAAAAGUAAGGAAGAGUUGAUUGUUUAUCGCGUGUACGACAACUAUAAUCAAUCUAUUAAUGAGUAAUUGAAUUAUCUUUGCAUCAGUAAUCAGUUGAAUGGACCGUGUCUGAAAAGUUGUACCUUUGGCUAGAGUCUUAUCUGUUGUUGAUUCAUUCAUAUCUAUCUUCAUGCGUUGUUUUAAUUUAGUUAAUUAGUUAUUUUUAUAAAAACCCCUCAUCUCUGGACUCUAAAAGAAAUAAAUUAUUUCUAGUUCCUGUGGAUUCGAUCCUACUCACCGCUAUAUACAAAAUUUGUAUUUUUUUGAAUAAAUAAUUAUUAUUACACAGGCUUGACACCUGUCAAGGCAAAAUUUCCUUAACUUCAUCAUCUGUAGACGUAAACUUUCUACGGGUGAUAUAAUAUAAGGAAAUUUUGCCUAUACGAUGUGAUAGCAUUUUUUCAAAAAAGACAAGAUGGAAAAUUGCUCCCUUGAACGGAAAAAAUCAUGAUCUUUCCUCAAACUAGUCUACUAGUCAAUUCUUUACAAAAGAAUACUCGCUCCUAAACAUAGCCUGUUCAUCUACACUGUCCCGCAGAAUUCUAGAAAGUUAGGCAAAACUAGACAAGUUGACAGGUAUAAUCAUACCCAAGAUCAGGAACAAGCAGUUGCACAUUUCAAAAUUCGCUGCUGCAACAGCUAAUUUGAUGACUUACAACACUACACGGUCAAACUUUGAAUGGCAAUGGAUCUUUUGUUGUACGUCAUGAUGUAAUUUUCAUGUUACAUACAUUAAUAGGUUGAUAUCUAUAUUCUUUAAAUUAUCAUGAUAAUACCCUUAAUUAGAUUUAACUGAUAAAAAGAACACGUGUUAAUAUACAAAAGUGUGUAACGUGAAUGUUACAUUACUGUAUUGCAGAAGACCUAUAGUCUCUUCAUAUCUCUUCCUGCACGUAUCAAUUCGUUUCCUCUAGAUAAUAAUCUCCCAACUCGUUUCUUUACAAAUGCACCUUUUAUGUUUUAUUACCUCCAAAAGCCUUUACAGGGUCUUUACCCUAAAAAUCAAUUCACCGACUCGCAUUUGAUGUCAGAAAUUCUUAAGACGAAUUCUACUUUACUCAAAGAUUGACUGUUAAUAAUGAGACAGCGACCAUUUUGUAUUAUUAGACCGUCCUUCUUGAUAGGUAAAAGAAAUAGAGAGGAAAGUGGGUCCGUAUAUGGUCUUUUAUUCAUAGAUAAUACAACAUUACGCCAUCGAGCAUUCACACAAUAUUUCAAAGUCAUAGCAUGCCUAAGGCCCUGUUUGAUAGCUCAAUUUCGUAAUUAAAUUUAAUAGAUUCAAAUUUUAACACAUUUAAAUCAUUUGAUAACAAAAAAUUGAAUAUUUAAAUUAAUUAAGUAACACUGAACUUUCUAAACAAAACUUGCUUUCAAAAUUAAGUGAUAAGUUAUUCACUUAUCUUUGAAUGUGAUAUGCACUCAAAUAUAUUAAAUUUAAUAAUUUAAUGGAUUCAGAUUUCAGAUUUCAGUUUUAUUACACACCCUAAGUUGCAAAAUAAUACCAAAACUUGUUAUUAUAUAGCUUGAGAUUCAAAAAUUUAGAGCAUAAUUCUCAACCUAACACAAUCGAAUAAUGAAUAUUCACGAUUGUUUCAAAGUACAAUUUGAGGACAACCCAUUCCAACGCGUACACGAUUUUUAACUUUUCUAAAGUUGUUGAGAGCUGUUAAAAGAGAUUUACCAUGUUUACAUCUUCCAAGUCUUGGAAGUGAAAAAUGAAGCCACUGAGUGCUAUAAAAAGGGGGCUAGAGGCUGCCUAGAAGCAUAUCAGCCUAAAACAAGAAUUUGUAGUAACAAUGGGGAGCAAAGCAAAAGCAACGGGGUCUAGGCUGACUCCUCUUCUUACCACUGUUUUAGUGGUAUUUGUCGCCCUUGGCUUGCCCUUGGAAACUGCAGCUGAUUAUUACAAGUAUUCAUCUCCUCCUCCUCCUCCUUACCACUAUUCUUCACCACCACCUCCAGUGUAUUCACCUCCACCAACCCCUGCUUAUAAGUUACCCCCACCAUCUCCUCCAGUUUACAAGUCCUCACCACCACCUUACCACUACUCACCACCUCCGGUGUAUUUACCUCCACCAUCUCCAGUUUACAAGUCACCACCACUACCCCCUCCGGUAUACAACUCCCCGCCUCCACCAGUGUACAAAUACAAGUCCCCACCACCACCUCCUCCAGUUUACAAAUCUCCAUCGCCACCAGUUUACAAAUACAAGUCACUCCCACCACCUCCUCCGGUAUACAAGUCUCCUCCGCCACCUGUUUACGAGUACAAGUCUCCUCCACCACCUCCUCCAGUGUACAAGUCCCCACCACCUCCAGUUUACAAGUACAACUCACCUCCACCUCCUCCCCCAGUUUACCUGUCUCCACCUCCACCCUAUCAUCACUACUACGGUUCUCCUUCUCCUCACCACUACUAAGCAAGUGCAUAAGUUUUGAGGUAAUAAUACCUAUCCAAAACUUUAUCAACACAAACUGCCAUGUAUAUUAUCAUGCUAAGGACGUACACUUGAUCCAUGAAAAUGACUAGUAGAAGAUUUUUUUUAAGAACCAAAGAAAUACAUUAUUUUUUCGGUCUGUUUUCAAGAAUUUGAGCAGUAUACAGAUUAAAGAGUGUUUUUUUUUUUGUAAACUUGCUUGUCAACUUAAAAAUGCACAUAGCUGAAAGCCAACUGAAUAUUUGCAGGCAAAGGAGAAGGCAAUCGGUGUUUGAGACCUUCAAGAAGAUGUAGAAGAAUAAGAAUAAAAGCCCAAUGCGAGGAUGAUUCCAAGUUUCUACGUUACCAUUUCUACAUCUAAAUUGACUUUAGCUCCUGAGUUCCAUGUUUAUGGGGUUUGUACCGUUUUACGUACCAUGCAGUACAUGCUUGCAAGGUUUUCUGUCCUGUUGGCAAACUGCAGGUCCAUAUAAUAAAUGAAUACUAUUUACAUUACGACACUUUUCUCUUUUUCUCUUAUAUUUUGUCUUUAAUAUUGUUGAUCAUUUUUUUUUUAUCAAAAGCAUCAAAUGCUUAGGUAAUUUGGUCUAAUGCUAAUUGUUUUACUUUUAUUUUUCACCUACACCCCUUUUCAACUCAAAGGAUGCUAUAGUUUGUGAUAAUUGUUUAAGACCGAAGCAUGAUACUAAUAAAUAUCUCAUUGAAAGUCAAGGAAACUAACAUUAGGAAAAGUUUAAAUCUUGAUUUGAUGAAACUAUUUAUUCGUGGAAUUUAGAGAUACAAAACUCAAAUUGUGACGGUGUUGUUGCUAAAUUAUUAAGGACAUUAUCACCAUUAUUUUUCCCUGAUCACUAGUUUCAACUGCAAUGAUCUCAAUCUUUUUGUGACUAAUUCUUUCCUUAAUAAUUUAUAAAGACAAAACUCACAAAGAAUAUGUGACUAAUUCUUUCCUUUCGUCUUCUAAAGAAAAUGCCAACUGUUAGUUUAUCAAGGGGAAAAAGGAUCGACAUCAGUUAUUAUUGAAACUAGUAAGGAAUAAAUAAUGGUGAUAAUGUCCUUAAUAAUUUAACAACAGCACCAUCAGAAUUUGACUUUGAGCUUCGGUCUUAAACAAUGAUCACAAACUACAGCAUCCUUUGAGUUGAAAAAGGAAGUAGGUGAAAAGAAAAGUAAAAAAUACAAUUAGCAUUCCCUCAAAUUGUAGAAAGUUAGGUAGCAUUAUAGACAAGUUGAUAGCGGCAAUUUUACAUUUCAAACUUCACCUAUUCAAUAACUAAUUCGAUGGCUUGCUACAUGGUCAAUCUUUGGACCCCUUCCUGCCUCCAGAUAUCCCUUUCCUCAAUCAGGGGCUUCUACAAUUACCAGUUUCAAUUGUAUGGUAUAGUGUAAAUAUCAACAAAUUAGAUGUAGAUGCUAACAUAAUAAAUGUGAAUGCUAAGACAGCAACAUACAAUCGAACCUGCAAUUGUAUGAACCCCAAUCUCGCUUCCUAGUCCACCAUCUUUCUCUAGGUAAUAAUCUCCCUUCUAAUUUAUUCACAAAAUGCACCUUUCAUCACCUCCAAUAGCGUCGACAUGAUCUUUACCCUAGAAGACUAUUCACCGACUCUCAAUUGACGUCAGAAAAUCUAAGAGUAAUUCUACUUUACCCUAAGAUUGAUAUCAACAAGACAAGGACAAUUUAGAAUUAUUACACGCCUCUUCUUAAUAGGAAAAAGAAAUAGAGAAGAAAGUCAGGCCAGGUCUAAUUUCUUUUCAAAGGCAAUACAACAUUACGAAAUCAAGCAUUCAUUCAUACAAAUAUUUCAUAGUCACCGGUUUGCUGAGUAGAAAAAUUUAGACAAAAACUUAAUAUUAUAUUGUUUAAGAGUUAACAAUUUAGAGCUUAAUCUCCUUGUACUUUGGAGUUAACAAUUUAGAGCUUAAUCUCCUUGUACUUUGGACUAAACUUGAACGUGAAAGGAAAUCCCAAAACCAUAUUGGGCAUGAAUUCACACUUAAUAUACCCAAUAAAAGAUGGCGACUGGUGAAAGGCAGUGGAGACUGGUGGAGAGAUUUGAGGAAUAGAAGCAGACGGAAAAGCAACAAAUUUUUGCCGAAAAACGGUCACUUUCAUGGUUAAUUUUGCUACUCUCCAAUUGUACUUGACCAAUUACAACAAUUUCAUGGAGUUUGAUACGUGAAAAGAAUUUUUUAUAAAUUUUAUUUUGAUCCAUAAUGUUAUCUUUACAUAUAUAAAACAUUUUACAAUUUUGAUUUUGGCGCAGCUAACUUUUGGUUAACAAAAAUGCUCAUGUUUAAAAAACCAGAAAUAAAACAAAACAAGAAACAAAAGAAAUAAGAGGGUAGCAUAGACAUUUUGGAUUUUUCCGUUAAUUUGGAUGAUUUCCACCCACGUUCUAAUUUAAUCCAAAACACAAAGGAAUUACGUAGAGGUUUUAAAUAAUGAGGGAGCUUCAUGAUCGAACCCCAAACCACAAGGCGAUUUACUAUAUUUUACUCUUAAAUUUUGGUUUCAUCUCAUAGCAUACAAGAGUUCUAUUUCACUAUCUGUAGACAAAGACUUUCUAUGGUUGAUGUACCAUAGGAAAAAAUCUGCCUAUACAACGUGAUAGCAUUUUUUCAAAAACACAAGAUGGAAAAUUGCCCCUUAAACGGGGAAAUUCAUGAUCUUUCGUCGAACAAAGAAUACUCACGCCUAUUCAAGAUGGAAAAUUGCCCCCUUAAACGUCUAUUUGUCAAUUCUUGAAAAAAGAAUACUCACGCCUAAAACACGGCCUCUUCAUCUGCAGAAUUCUAAAAAGUUAGGUAAACUCUAUAAACAAGUUGAUAGGUACAAUCGUACCCAAGAUCAAGUACAGAUAGUUGUACAUUAACUGCUGCAAUAACUAAUCUGAUGACUUAUAAACAUAUCAUGGUCAAUCGUUGAAUGGUAAUGAGUCUUUUGUUAUGCAUUAGUAUUAGUGUGUACACUCUAAUAGAUUGAUACUUAUACUCUUUAAAUUAUCAUAAUAAUACCCUUAAUUAACUUUAACUCUUAAAAAGAAUACAUGUUAAUACACGAGUGUGUGUAACCUGAAUUGUUACUUAUAAAUUAGUGUGUAAUAGAUAGGGAUGGCAAUGGGGGCGGGUGCCCGCGGGGGGCUCUCGGGGCGGGGGUUGGGGCGGGGGGGAAUUUUUUCCCCCCGUUUAGAAAUGGGGCAGGGGACGGGGGAGUAUACCCCCGCCCCAUCCCCCGCAAAAAAAAAAUUAUAUAUAAUAUGUAAUUUAAUUAGUUAUAAACUUAUGAUAAUGAUAUUAUUAGUUAGAUGUAUUAUAUAAUGUAUAUUAGUGUAUGUAAUAUAAUUAAUAUUAUCAAUUAUAUGAAUAAUUAGACAUGUCUACUAAUAGAAUUUAUGAAUUAGUUAUACUAAAUUUACUAAUACAUUUAUACUAAAUUUCUAAUUACACUUAAUAGAAUAACACUUUUUUCUAAAACAAAAAAGCACAAACACAAUAAUGAAUUAGUGAUUGUAUGAUAGGGUGUAAUUUUACUAUUUAUUUUAUUAUUAAUUUCCCCUAUCACCUGACCUGAUGUGGAUUAAUUGCUGGAUUCUGCUCACUUUUAGUACUUUGUAUUUAUUUCAGGGAGUAGAACGGAAAUUUGAUAACAGGUGCUAAUUUGGCAGAAAAAGAGUCCAGAUGAUAGAGCUUGCCCCAAGGGCAUUUUUGGAAAGGAGAACUUGUGCCCAUCUUGGUAAUUUGGGAGAAAAGGGAAACAGACAAAAUGGGUCUAACAUGGAUUGGAAGCGGCCGCACAGUAGCAGGGAAGAGGGCAGACGUAAAAGCAAUUGCAGGGGGGAAAAGGAGUUUUUUUAGUUUUUAGCUUAGCAUCUGAUUUUCCCUGGGAGACUUUUGUUAAAGAUUUCCUUUUGGCUGAUAUUACGCAUGGCAGAUGGCUUUUAACUUAUUCCUCCAUCUUUGACUUUUCUUCUUUAGCUUGUGGCAGUGGAUUGCUACUUACGAAUGUCAGCACUUAGCCAUUCGUGGCUUUUGAUCUUUUCUUCCUUAGAAAUUCUGAGUAACCUCUUUUCCUUUGUGCGCCAGACGAAGUGAAAACUAUAAACUUUUGUAGUUUUUCUAUUCAUUCAAUAUAUUGAGACGAGUUGGAUUCUACCAAAUUUCAACGGACAUGGCCGCUGGUUUCUCUUCAAUUUUAUAUGGGCUUUGUUCAUCCAACAUGAACUAAUUUCACCACUCUAGUCAAGGAGCAACGAAGGCUCUGAUUUGCCUAAAAAUUGUGAGAUCGUUUUAAUUUAAUCUUUUCCUUUUAUUUAUUGGUAUCCGCACAUUUCUUGAUUGCUAUGCUUAUGGUUAUUUAAUUAAUUGAUUGUCUUGGAUCCAGAUAAUUAAUUGAUCUGAUAGCCUAUUGUCAAUUAGGGCAUUUAAAUCCGUAAUUGUUUAAUUGUCCUGAAAUAGUGACAACUGGCACGAUUAGAUUCGUGCCAGGGGGGAUAUGCGGGCUAAUCUAAAAUAACCCUGGUAGUGUGUUAUUUGGUUAGAAUAGGGCUCCUCUAAUACUAAGGCAAUUGGGGAAUUAAAUUCUACGGGCGUACCUAGGAUUAUUUCUUAAUUAGAGCAGUGAUUAACGGGCGUACCUUGAUCACCGACACAGUAAGGAGGGGUUGACCGUCAUCGCUUGUUUGGCAGUUAUAACCUAUUUAUCAGUAAAUAAUUGGGAUUGCCUUGCAUCAAUGAUCAAUUAGGUGAACCAUUGUUGAAGUUACUUCUUGGUUAGAUCUUUAGUUAAUAUUACCUUGAUUUUGGUGAAUUGCCAUUUGAUUUUUAGUUGCCUACUUUAUUUUAUUUUUAAUUGUUUCCUUGCUUUAAUUGAGUUAGGCCUUUAAUUAUUGUUAUUCUAAGUUUAGUGAAUUGUGGUUUAAUUCCUAAUUAGUUAUUUAUUUUUACUUUCUUAUUUGAAUUUAUUUGCUUGUUAUCAUUCCUACGAAAUCACCCCCCUGUGUUACUUUGGAUUUCUUAAGAAACAAAUAUACCCAAUCCCUGUGGAUACGACCCUACUUGCUCUGUUCACGAAUUCAUAAUUAUUUGUGAAAAGAAAUAACCAUUCCACUCGGGUAUAUCGGAUCAAGCAAAUUCUUCGGGAACAGGGUGAAUCAAGUAACCCAAUGCACACCUAGAGUCCCUGCUCCAGUACUUGGAAUUGGGUUUUGGUCAUUUUAACUGGCAAUUAGGUUUAAUUUUAUUAUUGCACAGGCUGACGACCCUGUCAAUUUUUGGCGCCGUUGCCGGGGACUGGCGUUAUUAUUUGUUUCUUUUUAAAUUCAUUCUUUGUCCUAAUUUUCUGGUUUUCUUCUAGUGUAUGCCUCGAUCUUCUCGUACAGGUAAUUUGAUUUUUGACCCUGAGGUAGAGAAGACCGCAUGUAGAACGAGAAAGGAAACCAGACAGCUCAGAGAAGAGCACUCCAGUGCUACAUCUCAGAGACCCGAGUCAGAAGUUGAACUAACAGAUUCGUUUGGUAACACUUCGAGUGACUCUGACCAGGAGGAAGACACCAUGGCUAAUGCACGAACAUUAAGGGAGUUGGCUGCUCCUGAUUUAACUCAGCAGCCUUUAUGCAUUACUUUCCCCACUUUAAAUGAUAACAUUCCAUUUGAACUAAAAUCUGGUCUGAUUCAGCUUUUACCCUCUUUUCAUGGUUUACCAGGUGAAGAGCCGUAUAAGCAUCUGCAGGAGUUUGAUGUCGUGUGUAAUAGUAUGAAACCCUCGGGAAUCACAGAAGAGCAGAUAAAAAUGAGGGCAUUCCUCUUCUCCUUGAAAGAUUCUGCGAAGGACUGGCUGUACUACCUGUCACCAGGUAGCAUCACCACGUGGGACCAAUUGAAGAAAAAAUUUUUGGAUAAAUAUUUUCCUGCGUCCAGGGCUGCAAGUCUAAGGAAAGAAAUUUGUGGGAUCAAGCAGCAUCCAGGGAAGUCACUUUAUGAGUAUUGGGAACGGUAUAAGAACUUGUUGCGCAGGUGCCCCCAACACCAAAUAAGUGAGCAAUUGAUCAUACAGUAUUUUUAUGAGGGGCUCCUUUUUAGAGACAGGAGCAUCAUUGAUGCCAGGGGGGAGGGUUGGGAUGGGUGGUACGGGGGGAGGGAGUGUAAGCAAGAGGUCUCGGGUUCGAGUCCUCCCGCUUACACACAAAAAAAAAGAUGCUGCAAGUGGAGGGGCACUGGUAAACAAAACCCCUCAGGAAGCACGGGAGUUAAUAGAGGGGAUGGCAGAGAAUUCACAACAAUUCAGUACAAGAGAGGAUGUCCCAAUACGUAAGGUGAAUGAGGUAGAGACACCCUCUAUGCAGCAGCAGCUAACUGAGUUGACCGCGUUUGUUAGGCAACUGGCUGUGAGAAAUGCAUCACAAGCCAGGGUGUGCGGGAUUUGCACUGGUAUGGGUCAUUCUGCAGACAUGUGCCCAAUGAUUCAGGAAGAAACUGCAGAACAGGUGAACAUGGCUGACCACGCGCCCGCGCCAAGGAAGCAGUACGACCCUUACUCAAGCACCUACAACCCCGGGUGGAGAGAUCAUCCCAACCUCAGUUAUGGAGAAAAUAGGCAGCCCAACAUUACACCGAACAGGCAGUCUAACUUUGUGCCAAAUAGGCCACCAGGGUACCAGCAGCAAUAUCAACCCCGACCACCUCCGUCCCCAAGCUCUGGCCCAUCUUUGGAGGAGAUGAUGAAACAAAUGAUGACAACUAUGGCUCAAAAUCAGCAAAUGACGGAGGCAACCAUUAUGCAAAAUCAGCAAAGGACGGACUCCGAAAUGAAGGAUAUAAGGAAUCAGAUAAGUCAAAUGGUCACAACAAUCAACCGUUUGGAUUCCCAGAACCAAGGUAAAUUGCCAUUUCAGCCCGAAUUAAAUUCGAAGAACGUGAGCGCAAUGACCCUAAGGAGCGGGAAAGAAAUUCAGGGGUCUGAACCUGUGAUCCCUAAGGAUAAGGAUGAGGAAAAGAUCGAAAAUGAGCUUGAAAGGGAGGACAGCAAUGGUGCAGAUCUAAAGGUACUUCCUGACCCAAUAAUUACAGCUAAAACUAACCCGCCUCCUUUUCCUAGCAGGUUGGAAAAAUCGAAAAAAGAGGAUAAGGAGAAGGAGAUCUUGGAGGUUUUUCGCAAGGUUGAGAUAAAUAUCCCCCUCUUAGACGCAAUCAGACAAGUACCAAAAUAUGCCAAGUUCCUAAGGGACUUGUGUGUCAACCGAAGGCAGUUGAGGGAAGAUGAACGGGUUAUUGUUGGGGAGAAUGUGUCAGCAGUCCUGCAGAGAAAGCUCCCACCAAAGUGCGGGGACCCAGGUAUGUUUACUAUUCCCUGUAGGAUAGGUAAUACUGUGAUAGAAGGGCCAUGUUGGAUCUGGGAGCAUCAAUUAAUCUCAUACCUAAAUCUAUCUAUGCUUCUCUAAAAUUAGGUCCAUUAAAAGAAACUGGAAUAAUCAUUCAAUUAGUUGACCGAACUAAUGCAUAUCCUGAUGGGUUGGUUGAAGAUGUGUUGGUAAAAGUUAAUGAUUUGAUGUUUCCAGCUGAUUUUUAUGUACUUGAUAUGGAUGAUGAUCACUCCCCUGAUCCCUCACCUCUGUUAUUGGGUAGACCCUUUAUGAGCACAGCACAGACGAAAAUUGAUGUUAAUAAGGGUAUCUUGUUCAUGGAGUUUGAUGGGAAAAUUGUGCAUUUCAAUAUCUUUGAUACUAUGAAAUAUCCCUCAAACUCCAACUUUAGCACAGUUUUCUCUGUGAGUGCUAUUGACCCUGUAGUGCAGGAAGUGUUUGAAACUGAUGGCAGGGAUGAGUUGGAGGUGGCUUUGACCAAGCACCUCGAGUUGGAGACAACUCCUGAGGUGGAAUGGAGCGAGGACCUAAAAUGCACAAUAGGUGCAUUACACUCAUUGCAGUCCACCACGAAAAGGUAUGAAGUCUUACCUAUUUUUACUCCCGAACCUCACCAGAGGGUGUUGCCAUCUGUGGUGCAGGCACCUGUACUAGAAUUUAAACCUCUAUCAGAGCACCUGAAAUAUGCAUAUCUGGGUGAUAAUGAGACACUCCCGGUGAUUAUCUCAUCGACACUGUCAAAAAUCCAGGAGGAGAAACUGAUCCGGGUCCUUAGAGAGCAUAAAGAGGCGAUAGGUUGGACAAUCGCAGAUAUUAAGGGGAUCAGCUCGGCCAUCUGUAUGCACCGGAUUAGACUAGAAGAGGAUGCCAAACCUGUUAGGCAGGCUCAAAGGAGGCUCAACCCCCUAAUGAUGGAAGUUGUAAAGAAAGAAAUUUUAAAAUUGCUAGAUGUGGGGAUUAUUUUUGCAAUAUCAGAUAGCCCUUGGGUAAGCCCGAUCCAGGUAGUCCCAAAGAAGGCAGGGGUGACGGUGGAGGCAAACCAAACGGGUGAGCUCGUGCCAGUGCGCAAACCCACUGGAUGGAGGCAGUGUAUAGACUACCGUAGGCUAAACGCCGUCACCAAAAAGGACCAUUUCCCUCUCCCUUUCAUUGACCAAAUGGUUGAACGUUUAGCUUGUAGAGCUUAUUAUUGCUUUUUGGAUGGAUUUUCAGGAUACUUUCAGAUAGCAAUUGCUCCAGAGGAUCAAGAGAAGACAACCUUCACGUGCCCGUUCGGGACCUUUGCUUAUAGACGAAUGCCAUUUGCGUUGUGCAAUGCACCUGCAACAUUCCAGAGGUGUAUGGUAAGUAUUUUUUCUGAAUAUGUGGAGAAAAUUAUUGAAGUUUUCAUGGACGAUUUCAGUGUGUAUGGUGAUAGUUUUGAUACGUGUUUAGAUAAUCUGAAAUUGAUCCUGAUAAGGUGUAUAGAGACUAAUCUUGUGCUUAAUUGGGAAAAAUGUCAUUUUAUGGUUGAGCACGGGAUAGUCCUGGGUCAUAUUGUAUCGUCUAAGGGCAUAGAAGUUGACAAGGCUAAAAUAGAUAUUAUUUUUGCAUUACCUUACCUCGCGAGUGUGCGGAAGGUGCGUUCUUUUCUUGGACAUGCAGGUUUUUAUCGAAUGUUCAUCAAGGAUUUUUCAAAAAUUGGAGCCCCGUUAUUCCAACUCCUACAAAAGGAUGUGACCUUCGAAUUCGAUGAUAAGUGUGAGGAAGCCUUCAACAAGUUGAAAGAAUUGUUGACCUCACCCCCAAUUAUCCAGCCCCCUGAUUGGAGUCUACCAUUUGAGAUCAUGUGCGAUGCCAGUGAUCAUGCCGUAGGGGCUGUAUUGGGGCAAAGAGUAGGGAAGGCAGCUCACGUCAUCUACUAUGCAUCCCGAGCAUUGAAUGGAGCCCAAUUGAAUUACUCCACUACUGAAAAGAAGCUUCUUGCAGUUAUUUUUGCUUUAGAAAAAUUCAGGUCAUAUUUGCUAGGUGCUAAAGUAAUUGUAUUUUCUGACCAUGCAGCAUUAAGGUACCUAAUGACCAAGAAAGAUGCCAAACUGAGGCUCAUUAGGUGGAUAUUGCUACUGCAGGAAUUUGACCUGGAGAUACGGGAUAAAAGGGGCUCAGAGAAUUUAGUAGCUGACCAUCUGAGUCGUAUACCCGUUGGAGAGGAUAAUGAACCAUUGAGGGAUGCGUUCCCUGAAGAGCACUUAUUUUCUUUAAAUUCUCAGUUGCCUUUGUAUGCCGAUCUGGUCAAUUAUUUGGUAACUGGUAAUUUUCCUGCAGGUUGACCAAAAUCGAAGAGGGAUAAAUUGAAGAGCGACGCCAAGUAUUUUAUUUGGGACGACCCGUACCUAUGGAAGAGGUGUGCAGAUCAAGUGAUGCGGAGAUGUGUAAGUGAAAUGGAAUUUCAAUCGAUUUUAGCUUUUUGUCAUACUUUUGCCUGUGGAGGUCAUUUGGACCCAAGAGAACUGCUCAUAAGGUUUUAGAAAGUGGAUUUUAUUGGCCUUCAUUGUUUAAGGAUGCCUAUGUGUUUUGUAAGUCAUGUGAUCGCUGUCAAAGGGUAGGUAAUAUACCCCGUAGAGAUCAAAUGCCCCAAGUCCCGUUGAUUUUUAUUGAAAUUUUUGAUGUCUGGGGUAUAGAUUUCAUGGGGUCUUUUCCUACUUCAUUUGGUUUUUUAUAUAUUUUGCUGGCAGUUGAUUAUGUGUCUAAAUGGGUGGAGGCUAAGGCCACUCGAACUAAUGACUCGAAAGUAGUUGCAAAUUUUGUCAGGUCUAAUAUUUUUGUGCGAUUUGGAAUGCCUAGUGCUAUUGUCAGUGAUAGGGGAACGCACUUUUGCAACAAAAUCAUAGCUGCGUUGUUUCGCAAGUAUGGUGUACUCCAAUGGGUCUCAACGUCGUACCACCCUCAGACCAAUGGUCAAGCGGAGGUGUCGAAUCGAGAGAUCAAGUCUAUCUUGGAGAAAAUGGUGCGCCCCGAUAGGAAAGACUCGAGUCAAAGGCUGGAGGACGCACUUUGGGCCUAUCGGACGGCGUACAAGACUCCUAUAGGGAUGUCACCGUACAGGUUGGUAUUUGGGAAGCCGUGUCACCUUCCAGUGGAGUUUGAGCACAAAGCUUUUUGGGCGAUAAAGUAAUGCAACAUGAAUUUAGAGGAAGCCGGUGCCCAACGAAAGUUGGAUUUGCAAGAAUUAGAAGAGAUCCGGAACGAGGCUUACGAAAAUGCACUAAUUUAUAAGGAGAGAAGCCGGAUAUUUCAUGAUCAACAAAUUUCAAGAAAAUCCUUUGAAGUUGGUCAGAAGGUCCUACUAUACCAAUCCAGGCUCAAGCUAUUCCCAGGUAAACUACGUUCCCGUUGGAUUGGACCUUUUCUUGUUACUCAUGUUUUUCCAUAUGGUGCAGUUGAAAUCCGGAGCGCUAAAACAGACAACAAAUUUGUGGUGAAUGGACACCGUCUCAAGCAUUACUACGAAGGAUUUUCAGGUGAAAAGGUGGAGACAAUAAGUCUAGACGCGCCACCGUGUCCUAAUCAGUGACAUUUUACUAUGUCUAGCCAAAGACAUUAAAGACAGGCGCUCAUUGGGAGGCAACCCAAUUGUCCCUUUUAAUUAUUUGUUUGAUUUCGUGUGAUAGUUUAAAUAUGUUUUCCUUGAAUUCGACUGAUUUUGGGUUUCAGUUUUCGUUUUUGCUGAAUUGUAGGUGACCUUCAGUCUUGACGCGCCCGCGUGAUGACAUGCAGGAAGCUCACGAUCAGAAUCGUCUGAAAGCUCUCUUGCCCUUUUGACGCACCCGCGUGAUGACGUGCAGGAAGCUCACGAUCAGAAUCGUCUGAAAGCUCUCUUGCCCUCUUGACGUGCCCGCGUCACGUUCGCAGGAAAGGUACGGGUUUCAAAAAUUUAAAGAAAAAAUAAUAAUAAUAAUAAUUUAAAAUUUUGAAAUUAACUUCCGUAAAAAAAAAAAAGAAGAAAAAAAAUUUCACCGUGGCUUAAAUAGAGCCUAAAGAAGAGAAAAAAGAAACAAUUUCUUUCUUUUUUUUUUCUUUUUCUUCUUUCUUCCUUCUUUCUUUCUUUCUUCUUUCUCUUUUCCCUCUCUCUUCUCCCCUGUUUCUUCUCCCCUGUCCGUCGCCCGUGCGCCCCAUCGCUGCUCCACCUCCACACGCACGCCGACGCUGCGAGCCACCUGCGACCCCAGCGCCAGAUCUGGACCAUCGCCGAAACCCGCAGCCUCCGCCACCUCCACCUGAGCUCUGCCUCGCGCGCAACCCAGCUGCUCUGCGCCCGAAGCUCCACCGCCGCCACAGCCUCCCCACGCAGCUCCCUGCUCACGCGGCCACAAGCCCAUUGGAAACGGGACAGAGACUGCCGCCGAGCCACUUGCCCGCGUGACCGCCGCUGUUUUCCACCACCUCCCUCACGCGAGCUCUUUCCCUCUCAGCAGCAAUCCACUUCACAGCGCACCCGCUGCGCGCCGUCGCAGCCCUCGCAGCUCCAGCCCGUCUGGUCUAGUCCGCCGCGCGCACCAACCACCCACGGACGCUACCCCCAUCGCUAACCCACGCGGCCUCCACUCCAGUCUGUCCGCCGCCGCUGCUCGUGUCUCCCUUGCGCACCUCACGCCACCCGCUACUGUCCCCUUCCGUUUGGUUAGCAUCCACGGUGGAGGUAAUUGGAGGUUAUUUUCUCAAUUGUGUGACUUCCGCCUGUGAUACUGGUUGCAUUAUUUUUGCUGGGAAUUGCUACUUCUUUUGGGUUGGGUUCAACUGUGCAAUUAAUUGGCCAACUGGAGCCAUUUGUUGGGAUUUUGGGUGAGCUGAAAUACUGCAUUUGUGUGUUACAUUGGGAGGUUUAUUGGGUACAUUCUAACCGCUGUUUUCCAUUGUUACUCUCGCUGGGGUGUCUAUUAAAUUGCGAUUGAAGUAUUUUGGAUAUUGCAUGUUGAGAUUGAGGUUUCAUUGAAUUUGGCCUACGUUCUGCCCCCAGUGGUACUGGUGGGAAUAUUUUCAAUUGAAUUUGUUACCUCUAGUUGGUUGGCUACAUUAUUAUGGUCGAAUUCCUAAGUUGUCGUCAUUGCAUUUGUUGAUCUUGAUUUGGGGCAUUAACCGGCCAACUGGAGCCAUCUGUGCGUUUUUAGGCGCUAUUAUUGGUUUCUUCUCCCUUAACUUUGUCAACUAUAUUUGGUUGGGUAUUUGGUUGACUGCCACGGACUUGUAACUGUGUUUUGCUUCUAAUUGACCAGUUGCACAGCAGUUUUUUUUUAAUUGAUAGGGUGGUUAUACCUCUGGAUAUUUGUAUCCACUGGUUUGAGGACAUGGUGAGACCAAAAUCCUCCUCUAGGUCUAGGACCCCUAGAACCUCGCAAUCCCAACCCCAAGCCUCUACUCUAGUCAAUACCCCUAUAAAUCAACCUACUGCUCCCGGUGUCCGAACCUGGUUAGGUAGGGGUAGAGGUGCCCACGUGGCUUCCGCCACUCACUUGGGAGGGCAUUUGGAAUUCACUAGAGCCGCCGAUCAGCGACGCUAUGCUCAAGCUUGUGAGCGGCGUAUCAUUCCGUGCAAAUGCGCGGACCACAUUACUAUGGUUUUUCUGGGGAUCCAAGGGGAGGUUGAGCGCAUGUACACCGCCAUUGGAUGGCGCCCCUAUCUGGAUAUUUUCCAGCCAGCCUUUGUCGAGUUGACUAGAGAGUUUUACACCACUUUUAAGUUUGAAUUACCGACUAGGUAUACUGUUGCGACUCCCGAUAUCAUUCACUUCCGUCUCAUGGGCCAGGAAUUCAAUUUCUCUAUCACCCAGUUCAAUCUGGCUUUCGGUUUCAUCACUCGGGAGUAUGCAGAGACUAGGGAAUACGGUGAGAGUGCCUGCGAUUUUGUGGAACCUUUCCUUACCGCCUACCGUGAGGUGUGGGAGGACAUGUCUGUGGACAUGCAGCGUUACGAUCCCUCUCGGUCUCGGAGCUCCUUUCUAGAGGACCCGAGUGCUCGGUAUGUUCAGCGGCUUUUAGCAUAUAGCUACUCGGGCAGAAAGAACAGCUUCGGUAUUAUCUCUCGGCCGGAGCUCUUCUUCCUUUGGUGUAUGAAGAAUGGGUUCAAGGUCAAUUUGGGUUGUUGGUUGGCGGCACAGUUCAAGACCGUCAUGGCAAAGAAGAACAAGCCGUUGAUUCUUGGGUCGUAUAUCACGUACUUGGCGGUCCAGCUAGGCGUUCUGAAUCUACAGGAUCACGAUUUGCACUUGGCCUGCGACAUGGAGUAUCUCACUGCUGACCGGCUAGAGAAGAUGGGGGUUCUGGAGCUUGUCGAUGGCCACUACCGAUUUGUGCCCCCGGGACCGCCCCGCGCCCCGCCUCGCUCUUCCUCCACCCAUUCGGCCCCAGUUGGCGGUGAUCCUGGCCCGUCGACAUCCGCUCAGCUCCCUCCACCAGCAGGGGCUGAAGAUUGGCACCAAAUCAGGACGCAGAUUCAGAAUUUGGACGCCCGGAUGAUUAGCAUCGAGAGCAACGUGGCGGCUAUAUCACAGAAUCUGGCGGCAUUCCUGCAGCACUCGGGUUUCCCGCCCCCAAUCCCACCUCACCCUCCACUAUGACCCGGUUUCAGGGAAGUUUGGUUACUUUCUCCCUCACUUUUGUUGUUUUUUGACACAUUGAGGACAAUGUGUCCUAUAGGUGUGGGGGGGUCUAUAGUCUUUCUAGUUUUUAGUAGUUGUUAGUUUUUAGUUUUUUAGUAGUUUUAGUUUUAUUUCUAGUUGCGUAUUUUCUUUCUUUUCUUAGUGCUUAUUCCCCAUGUGAAAAGAAAAAGAAAACAAAAAAAAAGAGAAAAAAAUGUUGGUUUAUUGACUCUAACUCUACUUUUGCCAAGUUUUUUUUAAAUAAAAAUGUAUCGGGUUAAUGUGGUUGGAUCCAGAAUAUCUCCCUGGUGAAUAUCGGAUUGCUUGGCUCUUUUGAUUUCUGUGUUAAUUUCUCUAGGCAUAGGGAAUGACUGUUGGCAUUUUAAUGUGAACUGGUCCAAUAUUGACUCCAGUUCUCUAUGUUUGGCAAUAAUGAGGCGAGCUGUUCCUAUUUUUGGUUCUUAGUGUUGUUAUUAUGUGUUUUUGGCUUUGUUUGGCUGUGAAUAAUCUGGACUGUACUCCGCUAUGAGUUACUACUGAGUAACCGAGGAUCGGCACCUAAAAGUGUCGAUUCUCGCGUCAAAAGGUGGUACUUUAUAUGAGUACGUGGUCGUAUAGCAGUAGGAGCUGAGUAACCGGGCUCCUUCAUCUAAAAAUGUUGGAGUUCGCGUCAAAAGGCCCCGACGGCUAACGACUAAGUCUUUUUGUGUUAAUUAUUAUUGCUUUGAAAAACAAAAAAAAAAAAGAACGAAAAAAGAGAGAAUAAAUAAUAGGAAGGCUUGCCGGUUUAUGGACUUAAUAUGGAGACUUGUGUGAAUAUUUGGACCAUUAGCUAAUAAAUGUUGUGCGCCAUUCCCUUUUCUUAGAGUAGUUAACCUGGAAAUUGAAGGAAUUUGCAGUUUAGGGGCUAACCGGGGGGGAGGCUUCUUGGAUUUUAAUCACCAAUGCUCGAUAUAUGUUUUUCUCUUGAAGAUCUUGGCAAUAUAGGAGAUUGGACAAUGGCCAUCAUCGAAUUUUGGUGUUCGUUUACUAUUCUUAUGCUUGAGGACAAGCAUGGUUUAGGUGUAGGGGGAAUUGAUAGGGUGUAAUUUUACUAUUUAUUUUAUUAUUAAUUUCUCCUAUCACCUGACCUGAUGUGGAUUAAUUGCUGGAUUCUGCUCACUUUUAGUACUUUGUAUUUAUUUCAGGGAGUAGAACGGAAAUUUGAUAACAGGUGCUAAUUUGGCAGAAAAAAGUCCAGAUGAUAGAGCUUGCCCCAAGGGCAUUUUUGGAAAGGAGAACUUGUGCCCAUCUUGGUAAUUUGGGAGAAAAGGGAAACAGACAAAAUGGGUCUAACAUGGAUUGGAAGCGGCCGCACAGUAGCAGGGAAGAGGGCAGACGUAAAAGCAAUUGCAGGGGGGAAAAGGAGUUUUUUUAGUUUUUAGCUUAGCAUCUGAUUUUCCCUGGGAGACUUUUGUUAAAGAUUUCCUUUUGGCUGAUAUUACGCAUGGCAGAUGGCUUUUAACUUAUUCCUCCAUCUUUGACUUUUCUUCUUUAGCUUGUAGUAGUGGAUUGCUACUUACGAAUGUCAGCACUUAGCCAUUCGUGGCUUUUGAUCUUUUCUUCCUUAGAAAUUCUGAGUAGCCUCUUUUCCUUUGUGCGCCAGACGAAGUGAAAACUAUAAACUUUUGUAGUGUUUCUAUUCAUUCAAUAUAUUGAGACGAGUUGGAUUCUACCAAAUUUCAAUGGACAUGGCCGCUGGUUUCUCUUCAAUUUUAUAUGGGCUUUGUUCAUCGAACAUGAACUAAUUUCACCACUCUAGUCAAGGAACAACGAAGACUCUGGUUCGCCUAAAAAUUGUGAGAUCGUUUUAAUUUAAUCUUUUCCUUUUAUUUAUUGGUAUCCGCACAUUUCUUGAUUGCUAUGCUUAUGGUUAUUUAAUUAAUUGAUUGUCUUGGAUCCAGAUAAUUAAUUGAUCUGAUAGCCUAUUGUCAAUUAGGGCAUUUAAAUCCGUAAUUGUUUAAUUGUCCUGAAAUAGUGACAACUGGCACGAUUAGAUUCGUGCCAGGGGGGAUAUGCGGGCUAAUCUAAAAUAACCCUGGUAGUGUGUUAUUUGGUUAGAAUAGGGCUCCUCUAAUAUGUAAGGCAAUUGGGGAAUUAAAUUCUACGGGCGUACCUAGAAUUAUUUCUUAAUUAGAGUAGUGAUUAACGGGCGUACCUUGAUCACCGACACAGUAAGGAGGGGUUGACUGCCAUCGCUUGUUUGGCAGUUAUAACAUAUUUAUCAGUAAAUAAUUGGGAUUGCCUUGCAUCAAUGAUCAAUUAGAUGAACUAUUGCUGAAGUUACUUCUUGGCUAGAUCUUUAGUUAAUAUUACCUUGAUUUUGGUGAAUUGCCAUUUGAUUUUUAGUUGCCUACUUUAUUUUAUUUUUAAUUGUUUCCUUGCUUUAAUUGAGUUAGGCCUUUAAUUAUUGUUAUUCUAAGUUUAGUGAAUUGUGGUUUAAUUCCUAAUUAGUUAUUUAUUUUUACUUUCUUAUUUGAAUUUAUUUGCUUGUUAUCAUUCCUACGAAAUCACCCCCCUGUGUUACUUUGGAUUUCUUAAGAAACAAAUAUACCCAGUCCCUGUGGAUACGACCCUACUUGCCCUGUCCACGAAUUCAUAAUUAUUUGUGAAAAGAAAUAACCAUUCCACUCGGGUAUAUCGGAUCAAGCAAACUCUUCGGGAACAGGGUGAAUCAAGUAACCCAUUGCACACCUAAAAUCCCUGCUCCAGUACUUGGAAUUGGGUUUUGGUCAUUUUAACUGGCAAUUAAGUUUAAUUUUAUUAUUGCACAGGCUGACGACCCUGUCAUUGUAUUUGUACCAAAAGUGAAAACUUAACUAUUUUAGUUGUAUUUAUUUCAUCAUGUUGGAUUGUAUUCAAAUAAUUUUUGUUUGAUUGUUUUUAUAAGUUUCAAUUGUAAAAUUAAAAUGAAUAAUAACUUGAUGAUGUGUUGAUAUUUUAGUACUUGAUUAUUUAUUAAAAUUUAAUUAUAAUAAAAUUUUAUUAACUCAACGAGAAAAAUUUUAUUAAUCCCGUGGGGGCACCCGCGGGGAAAGCGGGGCGGGGCGAGGGGAGUGGGAGGCGGAGGACGGGGCGGGGGCGGGGGAUGGGGGAGGGGUCCCCCGCCCCAACCCCGCCAUCCCCCGUCCCGUUGUCAUCCCUAGUAAUAGACUGGCAAGCAUUGUGGUGGUCAUUGAGCAACUUAUAGGAGAAAUAGUCCUAUAAGCUGUUCAAUGACCAAUCACAACUUGCUAAUUGGAUGACUAAUAUAGCUCUAGCUGUAAUGUUUUAAUUAAAUUACAUCACUAACGUUGGGAUGACUUUUUAACCAAAAAAAAAAAGCCUUAGUUCAAGCUUUUCCCUUUAUUGUGCAUUUUUUAAAGCAUUUGAAAGGCACUGCAAAUCUGUCAUUUUGGACAUUUUAUUAUUGACUAACAAUGAAAGCCGUGGACGUCUACCCAUAACCAACACAAGAUUAAAUUAAUAUUAGAAAAAAUAAUUGAGUAAUUGGAAAAAAAAAAAAAAGAAGAGUCUAAUUUUCAUUGAAACCCACCGACAAACUAUACGUGUCCAUGGCUUUUGAAUAGUGCAUUCAACGUUUAAUUGUAUGGUCCAGUUCAUUGCAGAUUACAUGGAGUAAAGAUUGCGCUCUUUCCUUUUCACCCCUUUUGGAAUCGAUACUGUGGAGAAUUGGGUUUUUCCCUCCUUUUUUUCUUUUCUUUCCUUCUGUGGUUUGCAAAACAUACGUAAAAAUAUGAAAUCCGAAGCAUUCUUUAAUUGGUAUUAAGUAUUGUUGUUGAAAUUAAAAAGAAAAAAGAAAGAACAACAAAAUUCCCAAUCUGGGUUGAUUGUUGAGCUCUAGAUUGGUUGCAUCGUGCUUCCAUAGAAGCAAGAUUUGUAAAAUCGGAAUCCUACAUAGGAUCGAUUUUAGUUUCACAGGAUCGGAUUGUAAAAUCGUAAGAUCCUACCAAAAGCUCUCAAUUGCAAUUAAAGGUUGCAAUUCUUUAAUAAAUUACAAAUAUACCACAAAUAUUUUCAUUUACUUGCAAAAUGGAGCUUCGUAUUUCACAAAUUUACAAAAAAAUUGUAGGAUCGUACGAUCCUACCGAUCCUACGAUCCUACACGAUCCUACCGAUCCUGCUACGAUUCUAUGCGAUCCUACAAAGAUUAAUAUGAUUUGCGACUCUGCAUACGAUCCGGAUCGAUUUUGGUUAUCCGGAUCGUAGGAUCGUAUGAUCCUACGAUCCGGAUCGCGAUUUUGACAACUAUGCAUAGAAGCUCUCUUAGUGUGAUACACUGCUUUCAAUCAGUUUAACACGGGAAAAAAAAAAAGAGAUGAAAAGCAAAUUUGGUGGAGAUAAUUUCAGAAACCUCCCCUGAAGAUUUUGACUAUUCUACUGGUUUCCCUUCAGAUUUUAAAAAUUACACUAAUCUUCCUUGAAGUUAAUUAUCUUGUAACAUUUAAAUUCAAUCAAUAAUUUAAAAAAUGAUAUUAUGAGAGAGAAAAUAAUAUGAUUUUAUCAUUGCCCCCCAUCUUACUACAUUAUUUAAUUAAUUUAAUAGCAACCCACACAUUAAAGAAAAAUAUUAAAAUUUGUUGUUUAUCAUUAAAGAUCAAAUCGCUUAUAACAUCAAAUAAUAGUAUAUUAUUUAUAUUUUUCACUUAAUAUAAUAUCCAAAUUACUCUUUUCAAUUACAUACCCAUUGUUAGAGAAUCAACAACAAAUAACCAAAAAAUUUGCAACCAAAAUAUUACAAAAAAAAUAAACUUUAACAUCAUAAAUAUUCUUAUCAACAUAUUAAAGUUAGUUACUGAAAUUUUUAUGCUGUUAAACUUCACUCUUUUUGAAUACAGAUUUUUUUGAUUAUUUGUUAUUAAUUAUGUUUGAUGAUGGGUUUAUAAUUGAAAAGAACAAUUUGAAACUUACAUUAAGUAAAAUAUAUAGAGUGAUAUACUAUUUUUUAUAACAUAUGUGAUUCAAUCCUUCUUGAUAGGAUUGGUAAUAGAGGUAGAGGGGGGAGUCGGCUGCAUCCGGUCUUCUUUUCAUAGAUAGUACAAUAUUGCGAAAUCAAUCGCAUUCACACAAUAAUAUUUCGAAGUCAAUGCAUGGCUAAGUUGCAUAAAAGUACGAACACUUGUUAUUAUAUAGCUUAAGAUUCAAAACUUUCGAGCAUAACCCUCCACCCAACACAAUUGAAUAAUGAAUAUUCACGAUUGUCAAAUCUGUCAAAGCACAGUUUGAGGACAACCCAUUCCAACCUGCAAAAGAUUUUUUACUUUUCUAAAGUUGUUGAGAGCUGUAAAAAGACUUACCAUGCUUGCAUCCUCCGAGCCUUGGGAGUUAAAAAUGAAGGCACUGAGUGCUAUAAAAAGGGGAAUAGAGGCUGCCUAGAAGCAUAUCAGCCUAAAACAAGAAUUUGUAGUUAAGAUGGGAAGCAAAGCAAAAGCAAUGGGGUCUGGGCUGACUCCUCUUCUUGCCACUGUUUUAGUGGUGUUUGUUGCUCUUGGCUUGCCCUCACAAACUGCAGCUGAUGAUCACUACAAGUAUUCAUCUCCUCCUCCUCCUUACCACUAUCCCUCACCACCACCACCAGUGCAUAUACCUCCACCUCAUCCUGUUUACAAGUACAAAUCUCCACCACCCCCACCACCACACCCAGUUUACAAGUAUAAGUCACCACCACCACCUCCUCAUCCGGUAUACAAGUAUAAGUCUCCUCCGCCACCACCACACCCAGUUUACAAGUACAAGUCACCACCACCACCUCCUCAUCCGGUACCACACCCAGUUUACAAGUAUAAGUCACCUCCACCACCUCCUCAUCCGGUACCCACAGUUUACAAGUAUAAGUCACCACCACCACCUCCUCAUCCGGUAUACAAGUAUAAGUCUCCUCCGCCACCACCACACCCAGUUUACAAGUAUAAGUCACCACCACCACCUCCUCAUCCGGUGCCACACCCAGUUUACCACUACAAGUCACCACCACCACCUCCUCAUCCGGUACCACACCCAGUUUACCACUACAAGUCACCACCACCUCCUCACCCAGUUUACAAAUACGAGUCUCCACCACCACCAGUUUAUAAGUACAAGUCACCACCACCUCCUCCACCAGUUUACAAGUAUAAAUCUCCUCCACCACCACCACCAGUUUACCACUACAAGUCUCCACCACCUCCUCCCCCAGUUUACAAAUACAAGUCUCCACCACCUCCUCACCACUACUAAGCAAUUGCUUCUGAGGUAAUAACACUUGUUCAAUAUACCCACUUCUGCAUGAUAAAGCAUAUCUCUAUCAACACAAACUGUCAUGUCUAUCAUGCUAAGUGCCUUCACUUCAUCCACCAAAAUGACUGCUAGAAAAUUUUUUUUAUGUUACCAAAGAAAGGCAUCAUUUUUUCCCUCUGUUAUCAAGAACUUGUACAGUAUAUAGAUUAAAGAGUAUUUUUUUAACUAGCUUAUCAACUGAGAAAUGCAUAUAGCUGAUAGCCAGCUGAAUAUUUGCAGGCAAAGGAGAAGGAAACCAUGUUUGAGACCUUCUUGAAGAUGUAGAAGCAUAAGAAUAAAAGCCCAAUGUGAAGAUGAUGAUUUCAAGUUUUUCUACGUUACCAUUUCUUUAUCUAAAUUGGUUGUAGCGCCCAAGUUCCUUUGUUUAUGGGAUUUGUAUCGUUUUACGUACCAUGCAGUACAUGUCAUGUUUGUAAGGUUUUCUAUCCUGCCGGCAAACCGCAGGUUCCAUGUGAUAAAUGAAUACUAUUUAUGUUACGACACUUUUCUCUGUUUCUCUUAUAUUUUGUCUUUAAUAUUCUUAAUCAUAUUUUUAACAAAAAUAUUCAAACACUUAGGCAAUCUGGUCUAAUGCUAAUUGUAUGUUUUACUUUUCUUUUUCACCUGCUCCCCUUUUCAACUCAAAAGGAUGCAAUAGUUUGUGAUCACUGUUUAAGACGGAAGCAUGAUACUAAUGAAUAUCUCAUUGAAACUCAAGGAAACUAACAUUGCGAAAAGUGUAAAUCUUGAUUUGAUGCAACUAUUUAUUCGUGGAAUCUAUAGUUACAAAACUCAAAUUCUGACUGCGCCAUUGAUAAAUUAUUAAUGACGCUAUCAUCAUUAUUUAUCCCUAACUAGUUUCGACUACAACUGAACCCAAUAUUUUCCCCAUGAUAAAAGUUUUUGACUAUUUUACUGGCCUCUCUUCAAAUUUUAAAAAUUACACUAAUCUUCAUUGAGAUUAAUUAUCUUGUAACAUUUAAGUCCAAUUAAUAAUUAAAAAAUGAUAUUAUGAGAGAGAAAAUAAUAUAAUUUUAUCAUUGCCCCCCAUCUUGCUAUAUUAUUUAAUUAAUUUAAUAGCAACCCACACAUUAAAGAAAAAUACUAAAAUUUGCUGCUUUUCAUUAAAGAUCAAAUUGCAUAUGCCAUAAAACAUAGUAUAUCAUUCUAUAUGUUUCACUUAAUGUAAGAUCCCAAUUGUUCUUUUCAAUUACAAACCCAUUGUCAAACAUGAUCAAUAACAAAUAAUCAAAAAAUUUGCAACCAAAAUAUUACAAAAAAAAACUUUAACAUCAUAAAUAUUCUUACCACCUCUAGUGCAUUCACCCUCAUAAAAUAAUUCAAGACCCUACUGUCAUAAAAUGACUGAUCAACUCCUGUAAACCUAAUUUGACAACAUUUAAAUGGAGAACUUUAGCUAAAAGAAUUAUGGUCAAGCUAAAGAAAAAACCAGUUAUUUUCCAACAUAUGCAACCAUUGAUCAGGGGAAAAAAAAAAGCAAAAAGACAUCUUCAAUCAUUUAAUAGCUUACAGGGCAAAUUAACCCUUGAGUGAAAACUGGUUGCUCUAGAAUUAAAAUUUUACCUUAGUUACCCAGGCAACUUUUUUGUUGCCUUUUCUUUUUCUUUUUUGGGUAUAUAGCUCCAGUUUUGCCCCCUCUGUCAAGCUUAUAUAAUUAUUAAGAUAAUAAAAGUGCCUUUAAUAGUAUUAAUAUAUCCAUUGACUUGAGCUGUCAUCGAUCGGUUUGGGCUACUUCGAUUCCAUGAGAACAAAUGGUAAUAAAAGUACUCAGAAAAUGGGGAGUCAUGAAACCCUUUUGUUCUAUUCAUUGCUAAGAUGCUUUUCUCUAUAAAGAGACUUCCUAACGAAAAUACUUUGUAGAUUUCUUUACUCCAAGUGGUGCAUGGAAAAUUAAUAUUUUCAAUUAUCAAAUAAAAUUCCCUUUUUUCGGCGUAGAUUUCAUCCAUCCAGCUGUUAACACAUUCUAUAAAUCCGAAUUGACUAAUCUUUUCGUUUCCAUUUUCCAACUUGCGAAUACGGCAUAUAGUGUCUGCUAAACACUAUAUAUUCUCUGCCAAAUAUGAAUACAUAUCACUUUUCUGAGCAAGUGCAGAGUCAUUAUCAUUUUUAUUCCCACCUAACAAAUUAGGGAUAAAAAAGUUAAUAAUCUUUACAUGCUAUCAGGUCACAAGUUAAUAAUCUUUUAAAGAACAUGUUAAAUUAAUUUAUUGGUAUGAAUAGUAGUCAAAGAAGUAUGUUAAAGUUAGUAAUCUUUAAAAUAAUAUGUUAAAAUCAUUCGUACAAAUUAGUCAGAGAAGUAGCAUAAACACCGCGAUGCAAUUAAUACUUUCAAUCUCAAGGUCUCUAUUAUGGAAAUUUGCAUCGGUCAAUAUACACUUGGCAUAAUAUAAUCUCCCAACUCAUUUCUUUACAAAUGCACCUUUAAUCACCACCAAAAGGUGUGGACAUGAUCUUUACCCUAGAAAACUAUUCACCGACAGGCAAAUUGACGUCAGAAAUACUGAGGAAUUCUAGUUUCCUUCGGGUUCAUGCCAUGUUGUAUCCUUCAACUGUAACUCGAUUUCUAAGCUGUAAUUUGUGACAUAAUAGUCCUUAAACUAUGAAACCCUUCUUACUUAAUUACAAUGGUUAAUACAAUGCCCGUGACUAGACAAGUAUGAAGCAACCAUAACAGAAAAAAAAUCCAAAAUUAGAGAAAAGAAAGAAGUUUCGCGACCACCACCAGUUUACAAGUCACCUCCACCACCUCCUCCAGUUUACAAGUCACCUCCACCACCUUACCAUUAUUCCUCACCACCACCUCCAGUGCAUUCACCCCCACCACCACCAGUUUACAAGUCUCCGCCACCACCUUACCAUUAUUCCUCACCACCACCUCCUGUGCAUGCACCUCCACCACCAAUUUACAAGUCACCUCCUCCAGUUUACAAGUCUCCACCACCACCUUACGAUUAUUCCUCACCACCACCUCCAGUGCAUUCACCCCCACCACCACCAAUUUAUAAGUCUCCCCCACCGCCUCCCCCAGUAUAUAAGUCACCACCACCACCUCCUCCAGUAUACAAAUCACCUCCACCACCUCCUCCAGUUGACAAAUCUCCACCACCACCAAUUUAUAAAUACAAGUCUCCUCCACUACCUCCUCCAGUGUACAAGUCAUCACCACCACCUGCUUACAAGUCUCCACCUCCUCCAGUUUACAGUUCCCCACCACCACCAAUCUACAAGUCUCCACCUCCACCCUACCAUUACUACUACAAUUCUCCUCCUCCUCCUCGUCACUACUAAGCAAUUGUAUCCAAGUUUUUGAGGUAAUAACGCUUAACCAAUAAAUUAACUUUCGCAUGAUAAACCUUAUCUCUAUCAAGACAAACUGCCAUGUGUAUCAUGCCAAAUACGUACACCUAGAUCCAUGAAAAUGAAUGGUAGAAAGUUUUCUUAAGAACCAAGAACAGCAUUAGUAUUCCCUCUGCUUCCAAAAACUUGUGUAUUAAAUAGAUUAAUGAAUUGUUUAACAUGCUCAUCUACUUGAAAAUGCACAAUACCCAUAACCCACUGAAAUUUUUGCAGGAAAAGGGAAAGAGAAUCUGUGUUUGAGAGCUUCAUGAAGAUGUUGAAGAAUAAGAAUAAAAGCCCAAUGCAAGGAUGUUUUCAAGUUUUUCUAUGUUUCCACUUUAAUUUGUAAAUUGAAUUUUGCGACUCAAUUAAUUCCCUGUUUGUGAGGUACGUAUUGUUUUACGUACCAUGCCGUACAUUUUUUUUUUCCAACAAACGGUAUCAUGUUAUAGAUAUUAACACUUGACCUUACAAGGAUUAGUUACAAAAAGGGGAUACUACCCUCAACUCUGUCCUAGCUAAAUCAGUCAGCCAUAUUGGGAAAUUAGUUUCCCAUUCAAUAUCAUGUACAAGCUUCACAGCAUAUUGUGCUAAUUGAUGGCUGAUGUGAUUUUCAGUUCUAGGUAUAAACACAAAAGAACAUUUUUCAAAAGCUAGACUAAGUUCCUGCACAUCUUCUAAGAUAGUUGCAGUCGUGUAGUCAUACUCCUUGCGUUUAGUAAUCUGCUCUACCACUGAUUUGCAGUCUGUAUGGACUAUAAUUUGUGUCCAACCUGCUUGGGUAGCCAUCAGCAGAGCAUUUCUCACAGCCCGAGCUUCCACUUCACUUGCCGAUCCCUUUCCCUGUGUGACAAUUCCUUUUGCUUUCAAAAGCUGUCCUUUCCAAUUUCUUGCUAUAAUCCCUUGUCCGGUCCUGACUCGUUUAGCUGAUAUCGCUGCAUCGGUAUACAGCCUUAUCUCUUCCUUCCUUGGCCGCACUCUCCUGGUAGGUAAGGCAUCAUUCAGCUUCCCUGCGAUCUCCUUCUGGUCUGUACUCCCUACCUGUUCAAACUCAAGCCAUUCCUCCUGUGCUUUCCUUACUAUUUUUACUGGAUCCUGGUUGGCUUGUUCAAAAAAUUUUUUGUUCCUGGCUUUCCAAAUUUGCCAAAGGAUAUUGAUAGUAAGACUAACUCUCUCCUGACCUUGGUUCAGUGCCAGCGAUUGUGUGACUUGUUCCCACCAUAACCAAAAGUUAUAUUGCAUACCCAGUAAUCCAUCCCACCUGACCGGUGCUAGCUUCCACGUUUCCACAGCCUUUUCACAGAAGAAAAACAAAUGCUCAAUAGUUUCCAUAUCUUCACCACAGCAACCACAUCUGCCUUCCCCUCUAUGUAGCCUUUUCGACAUCUGUUCAUUGACUGGCAGACAAUUUUGUAAGCACUUCCACAUGAAGUGUUUUAGUUUGGCCUUCACCUUCAAAUGCCAUAGCUGCUUCCACACAUUUCGUUUUCGUAUCUCCCAACUUGUUUCUGCCUCUUGGCCUGUCCUUGUACCUGCUUUUCCUUCCCGUUGCCUUGCUAAAGCAUAACCAGAUUUCACGCUAUAAAUUCCAGCUUUGGAAUGCCCCCAUACCAACCUAUCCUUUCUUCUUCCUAUACUUGUUGGAAUUCCCUUUAUGUGCUCUGCAUCUUUUGCACAAAACCACUUGAGAAGCAAAUCAUUUUUCCAUUUCCCUUCCUCUAUCAGCUCACUUACCCAUUCCAACUUGCAUCCCACAGGUUGUGUGGUUGAUGCAAAGCCGGUAUCUGAACCAACUAUCCAUCUGUCCCGCCACAUGUUGACUGACUUGCCAUCUCCAAUUCUUUUCCAAAGACCAUCAUACAGAAAGGAGGCUGCACUAUGAAUACUCUUCCAACACCAUGAGGCUGAAGAGACUGGCUUCUUGUCCAUCCAUUUUUCAUCACUCAUAUACUUCGCCUUCAUUACCUUACUUACUAACAAAUUUGGAGCCAUUAAGAAUCUCCAAAUUUGUUUUGCCAGUAAUGCUGUGUUGAAGGCCUCCAAAUCUCUAAAGCCUAAACCUCCUCUUCCCUUAACUUCUAAGAGCUUCUUCCAGCUUGCCCAAUGUACACAGGUACCCUUUUCUCCCUUCCCCCACCAGAAACUCGCUAUUUUACCUGUGAUUUGUCUACACAAACCCCUUGGAAGUCUAAAGCAAGCCAUCACAUAUGUUGGCAUAGCCAUAAUCACUGAUUUGACCAGAAUUUCUUUCCCUCCUUGGCUCAACAGUUUUUGUUUCCAACCUUGCAACUUGUUACUAAUUUUGUUCUGGACAAAUGCAAAGACCUGUGUCUUUGAUCUUCCAAUUGCCAUUGGGAGUCCUAGGUAGGUUCCAUUCCUUGCCUCUUUAAUGUUAUCUAAUACCUCCCUCACUCCAUUCUUCCUUUGAUCAGUGGUAUUUUUGCUAUAGAAGAUAGCUGACUUUUCAAAAUUCACCACCUGUCCGGAUGCUUGACCAUAUCUUUCCAAUAUGCUUUUGACCUUCCUCGCCUCCUGCUUGGUUGCUUGGCAGCAUAGUAGAGAAUCAUCUGCAAAAAAUAGGUGAGAAACCAUCGGACUGUCCUUGCAUAUUUUGAUCCCUGUAAUUUCCUUGUUCAUCAUAGCUUUAUGGAUCAAACAUGAAAGACCUUCAGCGCAUAUAAUAAACAAGUACGGGGAUAGGGGGUCUCCUUGUCUAAGCCCUCUACUCGGUUGAACACAGCCUACCUUUUGCCCAUUUAAGUUGAAGGAGUAAGUCACAGUAGAUAGGCAAGACAUGAUCCAUUUAACAAAAAUUGGACAAAACCCCAUUUUCAUCAUAACUCUCCCCACAUAUUUCCAUUCGACUCUAUCGUAAGCUUUGGACAUGUCCAGUUUAAGAGCCAUAAAUCCUACCCUUCCCUUUCUCCUAUUUUUCAAAAAAUGCAGGAUUUCAUGUGCAACUACUACAUUAUCAAGAAUUUGACGGCCUGGGAUAAAAGCGGAUUGAGAGGGACUAAUACAAUGAUGCAAGACACCUUUCAAUCUAUUAGCUAUGAUUUUAGAAAUGAUUUUAUACAGGACAUUGCACAAGCUAAUAGGUCUAAAAUGCACCACAGAUUCAGGAGUAUCAACUUUAGGAAUCAACGAAAUAAUAGUAUCAUUCACAGCUUUGAGCAAAUGCCCAGUAUGAAAGAAACUCUUAAUAGCUGCUACCACAUCAUCCUUGAUAAUAUCCCAAUAGUGUUGAAAAAAUAGAGGAGACAUACCAUCCGUUCCUGGUGCUUUAUUAGGGUGCAUCGAGAACAAAGCUUUCCUGAUCUCACUUUCCUCCACUUGUCGUAUCAGUUGUCCAUUCAUAUGACUCGAAAUAGUGCUUGGAAUUUCAGCUAGAAUGUCCUCAAAGCAGUCCGGGUUAGUAGUGGUAAAAAGGUCUUUAUAGUACUCACAAAGUUCCUCCUCAAUCUCAUGUUCCUCCUUGCACCAUGUCCCAUCUUUUUUCUGCAAUAUAGUGAUCUUAUUUCUCCUCCUCUUUGCCAUGACCGAAGAAUGGAAAAAAGCUGUAUUCUUGUCCCCUUCUUUGAGCCACUUGUUCCUGGAUUUUUGACUCCAAAACAUCUCUUCCUCUGCAUAAGCUUUAUUCAAUUGUGCUUUUAGUUCAGCCACUUGUACUCUUUUCCCUUCAUCCUUUCUUGCUUUCACUUCAGCCAAUUUCUCCUUUAACACUUUAAUUCUAACCUUUGAGUUUCCCUGCACCUUUUUCCUCCAAUCCAGAAUAGCCAUGCGACAUUCCUUUAUUUUUGUAGCCACUCUAAACAUCCUGGACCCUGACUUCACCUUUGUCCAUGCUCCUUGAAUCACCCUUUUUGCUUCUGGAUUUAGCGUCCAUCGUUGAUCAAAGUAAAAUCUCCGUUUUCUCCUUGUGUUUUCCGGGUUUGUAUCCACAAGAAGCAUUAGAUGAUCAGAGGCUUCAGUAUCUAAAUGAGUACACUGUGCCUUUUCAAAUCUUUGCAGCCAUUCGGUGCUGCAUAAACAUCUAUCCAACCUCUCUUUCACUUCCCCAUCCCCCUCCCAACUAUUGCACCAAAUCCACGGGACCCCUUGAUAACCUAAGUCAACCAGGUUAUUGUCUUUGAUAAACCUGUUGAACUCCCUAAAACAUCUUUCAGCUCUAUCCCUUCCUCCCCACUUCUCCUCACUAGACCUCAAAUCAUUAAAAUCUCCUACAAUGAUCCAGCCAUCCCCCCAGUCCCUCAUCCUGUCCUCUAAAUAUUUCCAUUGUGCUUUUCUAAUGUUACUAUCUGUGCUUGCAUAAACACACACUAGCCCCCAGUAUCCUUUAGUAUCCUUGUCCUCAACUCUAGCACUAAUACACCAAUCAGUACUUACAAUCUGGUCUAAAAUCACCUCAUUGUUCCAGAAUAAUGCUAGACCGCCUGCUUUACCUAUUGAAUUCACAAAAAAGCUAUUGUCAUACUGAAUCUUCCUUUGAACCUUGCCCAUAAACCCUUCCUGAUUCUUAGUUUCACAAAGGAACACCACCUUAGGAGAGUGGAAGUUAGUCACUUCCUUUAGUUGGGGACUUGUCAAGGGGCCUCCUACACCUCGACAAUUCCACACCACAACCUUCAUUUACACUUUGGAGGCUUUCCGGGGCUAGCCUCCAUUUCCCCUAUUGUACUAACAUUUAUUAGAUCCAGUUUCAUAACCUUUACCUUCGGUACAUUAUCAUCAUCCUCCUCUAUCGGUUGUGUUCCCUGAAACAUACCAUCAGCCUUCCUUUUAGCACACGAAACCUGCGUUACUUGUCCAUUUGUAUCUGCCUUUAAGGAUGUUUUAGCCGGCCUCCCUCUUCUUUUAAAACUGCUUCUUUUUUCAGCUUUGUUAUCUUCUUCCCCUGGAGUAGCCUCCUUUCUUGGCAUUCUUGCAUUUGUCUCCUCCUGCUUUAUUGACCCUACCCGCAAACUUUCACAUUCCUGUUUUGAGCUGUCCGUUUCCAUAUCCUCAUAAUCUACUGGUGGGAUUACGCUGCUCCCUCCUUUACUCCCUUCCUGUACCCUACCCUCCUUUUCACCAUUUCCCUCCAUUAAGACCACAGCCAAACUUUCCACCCGUUGGUUUGCCUUUCCAUACUGCCUGCUGUCUUUUAGAAUCUCAUCCCACCUCUCUUCAUAUUGUCUCGUCAUCAUUUUCUCCUUAUCCCCCCUUUCCUUUCCCCCCAAGACUCUACCAUUUUUUCCCCCAAGAGUUAAUGUAUCUCCAGCCAUUUGUACUCCAGUUUGAACUUCACUACUAGGAGACCCUGCCCCCACCCUCCUUGCAUCAAUUUCACUUACUCCUUCCAGCCGUCCCUUUAAGGGAGAUACCAUUAUAUUUCCAGCUCUCAUCCAGGCACCAUAUUGUUCCUCUCGCUUCUCCCCCCCACCCUUCCUACCACAGUACAAGUCCUAUCACUAUGCCCAAUGAUACCACACCUAUAACAGAAAUCAGGGCAGCGUUCAUACCUGAACUCAACCCACACUGCCUGGUUCUUACAGUUGAUCUUUGUCCCUCUAACCAGUGGUUUCGUUAUAUCUACCUCAGCCAUAAUCUUCAUGUGGCGACCCUCUUUCCCACCACUUCCUGGGAGAAUCACUCCCCUCACUGAUUUAAAGAUCCCUCCUAUUUUCAAACCCACUGCUCUGCUCAACCAGUGCACCGGUAGGUUCCAUAGUUGAAUCCAAAGAAAGGAAUGCUGGAAAAAGCUGCUGUUUGUAUCAUACCCCUCUACCCACUCCUUCACUAUCAGCAACUGGUUGUCCAUGACCCAAGGCCCUCCAGAUAAGAUCUUUUUCUUUUCCCCUUCAUCUCCCAGAUGGAAAUGGAAUAAGUUAGGACCUAACUCAGUCACUUUCAUCUUUGAGGGGUAUCCCCAUGCAUGAUUUGUAAAGUUCUUUAACCCCGUAAAGUUGGCAAUUUUUUCACCAAUCAGCUUUCCUACCAGGCUUCCUUGACACUCAGAGACGCCUUCUUCCAGGUCCUCACCACUCAGAUCGACACCUCCUAACUCUGUUUCAGACAAGUCAAAAUUUUGAAAGGCUCUUUCUAAAGCAUCCGCCAUUGCUGUGACGAGAGCUCCUUGAGAAACCAAGCACUAUUUCUGAGCUAUGAGUGACCCACUGACAGACCUGUGAAGAAUUGCAAAGACAGACAAAGCUGUGUUAUCCGUACACACUAAAAACCAACCAGAAAAACAGAGAGGAACUCGACAGAAAAAGCACAGGCACAAGAAGAAACGAAAGAAAAAAGAAAAACCAACAAACCACUAUCCCACUCCCGACCACAUAACAGCAUUAAAGAAAGGGACACAAAUACGACACUCCAACUUCCGAUCACAUGCUCUGACUCAAUGGAUCAUAUCUUGCCCAAAGCGUUUACUCCUCCAACCGAUUCCAAACCACUACAGACAUUGUCUCCCAUUUUGAAGCCGGAAGAAAGGUGGCUUCUGGACAGGGAACAUGAAAGCAAAGGUUGAACUAAAGAUUUGAUUUUAGAUCUGAAAAUUACGCUGUAGGAAAAAGUGCUAUGUGUUUGUACCUCACCCACUCUCCCACACCGAGGAGGGGAACCUCUAAAGUUAGAGAGAGAAGCUCUCAAGUUAGAGAGAAGCUUUGGAAGUUAAUUACCAACGUACCAUGCCGUACAUGUUUGUAAGGAUUUCUAUCCUAUUGGCAAAAGUCGGUUCCAUACAAUUAAUCAAUUCAUUUCACUUCUAUUGGCUCUACUAUUUAUGCAUGUUACGACACUCUUUCCCUUAUAUUUUGCCUUUAAUAUUAUGAGUCAAUAGUAAUAAUGGGCCUUUUUCUUAAAAUUAUACUAUUAUACAUAGGUAGUUUGGUCUAACGCUAAAUUCAUGUUUGUCUUUCUUUUAUUCCCUUUACAUCUCAAAGUAUACUAUAGUUUGUAAUCAUUGUGGUGAUGAUAUUACCAGCUGGUACUUAUAGUUUAAGGCAGAGACAUGAUAUUAACAACUAUCUCAUUGAAACAUAAGUCAAAAUCAUGACAAGUGUGAGUCUUGGUUAAUGCACAAUUUGUUAGUGGAAUUUAUAUUUAUAAAACUCAAAAAAAAUUUUUGACAAUGCUAUUACUAAUUAAUUAAGGACUUCAUUGCUAUAAUUUAUCGCUUACUAAUUUAAACUAUAAAUGAUCUCAAUACUUUUCUCCAUGAUGUCGAUUUCUUUAGACUACGAAAGGGAAAAAUUAGUGACAUAUCCCUUACUGAUUACAACAUCAGCAAAAAUUAGUUAUAAACUUUUCCGGUGGUUUUAAAUCCCUCGGGCACUAAGGUUUUUUGCACAUCGAGUGAAUUAAGGAACAUAGGCAAUUCGUUCUGCAUACCAAGUCCUUGUUUAAGAUGCACGUACUAAAAUGCAUCCACUUCAUUAAUUUGGAAAAUUGCCAUAGUUUUUUUUAAGCAUUUUGAUUUUUUACAUGAUUCAAAAUUUUCUUAUUGGAUACAAUCACUUUGUGUCAAGAACACAUUUUCAAUCAUCUUUUUUAUCUUCUCAAUAAGAAAAUAAAAAUUUAUUCAUGCUUUUCUAACAUAUCCAAUCAUUGAUCUGAAAAAUAAAGAAUUAAAAAAAAAAGACAUUUUCAAUCAUUGCUUACGGGGCAACUUCCCCAUGUGAACCUCAUCAAACAAAGCCAAUAAUAUGAAGGAACAUCUAAAUACACUUUUGCCCUAAAGGCUGGUUGCCUUGGGGUCAAAAUUUAACCUUCGGGAGUAUAAUUACCCGCCAAAUUUAUUAUUUUUUUUAUGGGUAUAUAGUUCCAAUUUUGCCUCCUGUUAAGCUUAUAAAUAUAUUACGACCCAGAAAAUAAAGGAAUCUUGAAUAGUAACAUGUCCAUUGACUUGAGUUGUUAUCAAUUUGGCUACUUCGAUUCCAUGAGGCCAAUCCAAUUCACACUAGCUAGAGAAAAUGGUGAUAAAGGCACUUAGAAAUUUAUAUGUAAUAUUGAUUGGUAGUAACUGAUAAGUAUAUAUUUUACGUGUUUUAAAUAUGUUUUAUUAGUUAGUUUUGGUGUGUUUUAACUACUUUUAUAACUAAUUAACUAGGAAUCUAGUGAAAAUAUGCAUUUUGUGGUUUGAAGUGUAAAAAUUGUAUUUCUAUGGAUUUUAAUGGUGAAAACUUCAUGUUUUUGUAGGUUUAAUGAUUCAAUCAUCAAAUGACAUGAUUUGAGAAGAUAAUUAGAUGAUUGAUGAUGUUUUGAAGUGAUAAAAAGAGAAUACAAAGUGCAAGAGAGGAAAUGCAAUCAAGAAUAAAAGAAGAAAAUUUUUGUAGCUUUGACAUAUUGUCGUAUUUCGGCAAUAUAUUGAGCUACAAUGAUCGGAUUAAGGUGAUUCUUAAACCAUUUGAAGCUAAAAUAUAGAUCUACAUUUGGCAUGAAGGCAUCGAAACCCAUGUCAGUCAUUUUCCUUGUCAAAAUGUUGAAAUACAGAAGUGCAACUCUGUUCUCGAAAGCUAAAACAGAGCUCUGGCUAGUCGAGGGUAUUUUCAUCAUUUCUUAGUCCACAGAGCUCCAAAUGAGAUGAUUCUUAAGGCAUUAGAACCCUAACUCAAAGAGCUACAACUUUCAUAUUUUGUACAAGAGUUAGUUCGGCCUCUAUCAUUAAGAAAAUAGUAGUUGAAGUGGUGCCAAAUGCAUAGAAGUGAAAACGCGAGCUAUCAAUACUCGACCUGAAGUCGCGUAUUCCUGAGGUCAUGCAUUCUCUUCUAUUUUCUGCAACUUGCCCUGCUUUCACAUAACUUUUUCAUCUCAAUUCCAACUAUCAAUUUCGGCUAUAUCUGAUCAAGAAAAGUGUGGAAAGUUUGAAAGACAACUCAUAGGAGUUUCAAGAGUCAAAAAUUACAAUUAGAAACAACUCAUUUGGCUCUUGAAUCCUCUAUAAAUAGAGGCCUUUGAAGAACAUUUUCACAACUUUGGAAGGUUAGAGAAACUCCACAAAAACAUAGUCUUCACUAGAAUUUCCUUAGUUCAUUAGUUAGGGUAGUAUAGUAUAGUUAGUGUAGCUUUUCCUUCUUGUAUUUAUAGUUAGGUUUGAAUGAAGAUUCAGGAGCAAAGAUAGAGAGGUUGAUCUCAUGUGACAAGGGUGAUAUCUCUUCUACUACUUUCUCUUUUGUAUUUGAUUUCAUAUUUAACUAUACUACAAAUUUGGCUUUGUUUUUUUUUUUUUAUCAUGUUUAGUUAAAGUUUAUGCCUAGAGUAUGGAUGACCUUUUUAUAUCUUGUUUGUGAUAUUUAACUGGUUAUUUGAUGAUGUUAUUUUUGAGCAAGUUAUUUAUCACUUUUGCUUUUCUAAUCAUGAUUAACUGGCCAUUAGUUGUGAUUAUCUAAAAGUGUUAAGUUUGUAAUGAGAAUUGGAGUUUAACACUAGUUCAAGGAAGUGAUAAAUUUAGGGAGUUCACUCAUGAGAGUAGAGGAACACCUUUGUGACCUAAGUGACUUGUUUCAUAUAAUUUCAUAGAAAAAAUGAACUUGUAAUUAAUUUCAUAACCACGAGAGUAAGUAUGGUUUAGCUAUAUGUAUAGUUGAUUCACUACGAGAGUAGGUUUCACAUACAUUAGAAAAUUACAUCAUAACUAGUCAAGAUAAUAUCAUUCAUUUAAUCAGUAAUCUCAUUUGCAUGAGUAGUAAGGCAUUCCAUAUCUCUAGGAGGUUUUUAGUAUUAUUUUCAUUACUUUUAUGUUUAUGGUAGUCUAGAUAAUAAUGGAGUUCGAAAACUACUAGUAAUUGAAAAUUUUCCCUGUGGGAUCGACCUUUAAUACCCUAUACUCGCUCUCGACUCGUAUACUUGAGAAAAAUCACGUGUGCGGUAUUUAGAAUUUAUAAAUGUAAAACUUGACUGUAGAUGAACUAAUUGAUAUAUGUAUACCCCGCACUCGUCAGUAACCAGCUUGUAUUGAUCCCACUAUUGUGGAUAAUUGUGCUCUUAUGAAAAAAAAUUAUAAAAAAAUUAGCAAAAUUUAUGAUAACAAAUUAAAUUUAUUCAUACAAAUCAGUGAAAGAAGUAGAAUUUUAAAGUCCAUGAUGAAAUUAAUACUUUCAAGGGCUCUAUUAGGAAGACUUCACUUGUUGGUGAAACUACACUAGCACAGUUAUAUGCACAUUUACUGUUUUGGUAUCUAAUUUCCUUGCCUUAAGUUGGGUGCAGAUGUUUAUAUUACAAAUAGAUGGUAUCAUAAAAUUGUUGUAUUCACGUUUGUUCUUUUUUUUCUUCCUUAAGUUUUUUUCUUUAUUCUCGUGACUUCAAAAAUACGAACUCAAGAAAUUGGCUGCUUAAUCAAUAUGUCAUACAGGCUUCGCUAGUGAGGUAUAACUUCACAACUAGAGUCAAUAGAAAUUAUCAAAUGAUUUUUUAACAUCCAAAUUAAGCAAUAAAUUUUGUUUUCAUUUUAUGACAUAUAAUAGUACUACUUCAUGAGAGAUUUUAUAGUUUCUUUUAGGUAUCAUACCUACAAGUGAUAUUUGUCAUUGGAUAGUGACAGAAGUGUUAAUGAUUGUAAGAUUAAAUAUUGUUAAAUAUUGAAAUUUAAACUAUUUAUCUUUAUUGAAAGAUACAAGUUAAAGAAUCGUUCAAGGGGGCAAUUUUCCAUCUUGUCUUUUUGAAAAAACGCUAUCACAUUGUAUAGGCAUGAUAGGUUCAAAUUUGUCAUUAAAUUUAUGAUUGAUUUUCCUUUUAUUCAAGCCAAAUAUUGUUUUAAUUAUCAAAUUCUACUUAUAUUUGGUUAAUUGUACUAAUUGUAGGGCGGUAGAGCAAAAGUUGCUAAAAAUAGGCGAUUUUCUGCAAAUUGGUUGUCAAGGCUGAAGGAUUUGGGAUUCGCAUGUUCAAGGCCUGUUUCCAAGUUUGAUUCAAACUCUGGACAGUUUUAGAGGAAGAUUUGGAAGAUUUGAAAUUUCAUUAUUAGUUUUAUGGUUGAAUUAGGAAUCUUGGAAUAAUUUCUUUUGUGAUUUAUUUUUCUAUUUAGGAGACUAGUUGUUAUUUAGUAGUAGACUUCAAUUAGAAAACAAAGAGAAAAAGAAGGCCGGAAUCCCGCUUGAUUAAUACCUUGGCCAGGGAACAAUCUCGGUGGGGAGGACGGCCACUUAGCCUCUCAAUUCAUCUUGCUUUUCGUUAGUUUGAGAGGAAAACCAAUUGCAACUAGAUUCAAUGGAGUCUGGCAGAAUUUCUUCUAGGAUGCGUAGCUAAAUCCUCAAUUUUUAGUCGAAGGUCAAUUUGAAAAUUCGGUUCCAAAUAUCUGUGAAAUCGAAUUAUUUUACUUAUUUCUUUUAUUUAUUGGUAUUCGCACGUUUUCUGAUUUAACUUUUUAUGAUUGUUUUGUUAUUUGAAUGUCAAGGGUCCGAUAUUCGAAUUAACUUAAUAAUCUACUGCCAAAUUAACCGGUUAAAUCCGUAAUUGUUUGAUUGAUUAAUAUCAGUGGCGACUAGCGUGAUUGGUCCCAUGUUAGGAAAACGUCUGAUCUAAUUUAAACAAACCGUCGUAGCGUGUUUGUUGAUUAGGGUUGGGCUUUUCUAAUUCUUAAUUCAAUUGAGAAAUUAAAUCCCCCGGUCGUACCUAGGAUUAUUUUUUUGUUAGCGAAAUAGUUAAUGGUCGUACCUUGACUAUCGAAAAAGUAAGGAAGAGUUGAUUGUUUAUCGCGUGUACGACAACUAUAAUCAAUCUAUUAAUGAGUAAUUGAAUUAUCUUUGCAUCAGUAAUCAGUUGAAUGGACCGUGUCUGAAAAGUUGUACCUUUGGCUAGAGUCUUAUCUGUUGUUGAUUCAUUCAUAUCUAUCUUCAUGCGUUGUUUUAAUUUAGUUAAUUAGUUAUUUUUAUAAAAACCCCUCAUCUCUGGACUCUAAAAGAAAUAAAUUAUUUCUAGUUCCUGUGGAUUCGAUCCUACUCACCAUACAAUCCAACCUGCAAUUGUAUGAACCCCAAUCUCGCUUCCUAGUCCACCAUUUUUCUCUAGGUAAUAAUCUCCCUUCUAAUUUCUUCACAAAAUGCACCUUUCAUCACCUCCAAUAGCGUCGACAUGAUCUUUACCCCAGAAGACUAUUCACCGACUCUCAAUUGACGUUAGAAAAUCUAAGAGUAAUUCUACUUUACCCUAAGAUUGAUAUCAACAAGACAAGGACAAUUUAGAAUUAUUACACGCCUCUUCUUAAUAGGAAAAAGAAAUAGAGAAGAAAGUCAGGCCAGGUCUAAUUUCUUUUCAAAGGCAAUACAACAUUACGAAAUCAAGCAUUCAUUCAUACAAAUAUUUCAUAGUCACCGGUUUGCUGAGUAGAAAAAUUUAGACAAAAACUUAAUAUUAUAUUGUUUAAGAGUUAACAAUUUAGAGCUUAAUCUCCUUGUACUUUGGAGUUAACAAUUUAGAGCUUAAUCUCCUUGUACUUUGGACUAAACUUGAACGUGAAAGGAAAUCCCAAAACCAUAUUGGGCAUGAAUUCACACUUAAUAUACCCAAUAAAAGAUGGCGACUGGUGAAAGGCAGUGGAGACUGGUGGAGAGAUUUGAGGAAUAGAAGCAGACGGAAAAGCAACAAAUUUUUGCCGAAAAACGGUCACUUUCAUGGUUAAUUUUGCUACUCUCCAAUUGUACUUGACCAAUUACAACAAUUUCAUGGAGUUUGAUACGUGAAAAGAAUUUUUUAUAAAUUUUAUUUUGAUCCAUAAUGUUAUCUUUACAUAUAUAAAACAUUUUACAAUUUUGAUUUUGGCGCAGUUAACUUUUGGUAAACAAAAAUGCUCAUGUUUAAAAAACCGGAAAUAAAACAAAACAAGAAACAAAAGAAAUAAGAGGGUAGCAUAGACAUUUUGGAUUUUUCCGUUAAUUUGGAUGAUUUCCACCCACGUUCUAAUUUAAUCCAAAACACAAAGGAAUUACGUAGAGGUUUUAAAUAAUGAGGGAGCUUCAUGAUCGAACCCCAAACCACAAGGCGAUUUACUAUAUUUUACUCUUAAAUUUUGGUUUCAUCUCAUAGCAUACAAGAGUUCUAUUUCACUAUCUGUAGACAAAGACUUUCUAUGGUUGAUGUACCAUAGGAAAAAAUCUGCCUAUACAACGUGAUAGCAUUUUUUCAAAAACACAAGAUGGAAAAUUGCCCCCUUAAACGGGGAAAUUCAUGAUCUUUCCUCGAACAAAGAAUACUCACGCCUAUUCAAGAUGGAAAAUUGCCCCCUUAAACGUCUAUUUGUCAAUUCUUGAAAAAAGAAUACUCACGCCUAAAACACGGCCUCUUCAUCUGCAGAAUUCUAAAAAGUUAGGUAAACUCUAUAAACAAGUUGAUAGGUACAAUCGUACCCAAGAUCAAGUACAGAUAGUUGUACAUUCACUGCUGCAAUAACUAAUCUGAUGACUUACAAACAUAUCAUGGUCAAUCGUUGAAUGGUAAUGAGUCUUUUGUUAUGCAUUAGUAUUAGUGUGUACACUCUAAUAGAUUGAUACUUAUACUCUUUAAAUUAUCAUAAUAAUACCCUUAAUUAACUUUAACUCUUAAAAAGAAUACGUGUUAAUACACGAGAGUGUGUAACCUGAAUUGUUACUUAUACAUUAGUGUGUAAUAGAUAGGGAUGGCAAUGGGGGCGGGUGCCCGCAGGCAACCGCCCCGCGGGGGGCUCUCGGGGCGGGGAGGGGGGAAUUUUUUCCCCCCGUUUAGAAACGGGGCAGGGGACGGGGGAGUAUACCCCCGCCCCAUCCCCCGCAAAAAAAAUUAUAUAUAUAUAAUUAUAUAUAAUAUGUAAUUUAAUUAGUUAUAAACUUAUGAUAAUGAUAUUAUUAGUUAGAUGUAUUAUAUAAUGUAUAUUAGUGUAUGUAAUAUAAUUAAUAUUAUCAAUUAUACGAAUAAUUAGACAUGUCUACUAAUAGAAUUUAUUAAUUAGUUAUACUAAAUUUACUAAUACAUUUAUACUAAAUUUCUAAUUACAUUUAAUAGAAUAACACUUUUUUCUAAAAAAAAAAGCACAAACACAAUAAUGAAUUAGUGAUUGUAUUUUUACCAAAAAUGAAAACUUAACUAUUUUAGUUGCAUUUAUUUCAUCAUGUUGGAUUGUAUUCAAAUAAUUUUUGUUUGAUUGUUUUUAUGAGUUUCAAUUGUAAAAUUAAAAUGAAUAAUAACUUGAUGAAUAAUAAUGUCAAUCGUUGAAUGGUGUGUACACUCUAAUAUUAUGCAUUAGUAUUAGUGUGUACACUCUAAUAGAUUGAUACUUAUACUCUUUAAAUUAUCAUAAUAAUACCCUUAAUUAACUUUAACUCUUAAAAAGAAUACGUGUUAAUAACUCUUAACCUGAAUUGUUACUUAUACAUUAGUGUGAAAUAGAACGGCAAGCAUUGAGCAACUUAUAGGAGAAAUAGUCCUAUAAGCUGUUGGAUGACUAAUAUAGCUCUAGCUGUAAUGUUUUAAUUAAAUUACAUCACUAACGUUGGGAUGACUAAUGGUUUAAAAAUAAUUGAGUAAUUGGAAAAAAAAAAAGAGACUAAUUUUCAUUGAAACCCACCGACAAACUAAACGUGUCCAUGGCUUUUGAAUAGUGCAUUCAACGUUUAAUUGUAUAGUCCAGUUCAUUGCAGAUUACAUGGAGUAAAGAUUGUGCUCUUUCCUUUUUCACCCCUUUUGGAAUCGAUACUGUGGAGAAUUGGGUUUUUCCCUUCUUUUUUUCUUUUCUUUCUUUCUGUGCUUUGCAAAACAUAGGUAAAAUUAUGAAAUCCGAAGCAUUCUUUAAUUGGGAUUAAGUAUUGUUCUUGAAAUUAAAAAGAAGAAAGAAAGAACAACAAAAUUCCCUGAUUGGUUGCAUCGUGCUUCCAUAGAAGCUCUCUUAGUGUGAUACACUGCUUUCAAUCAGUUUAACAUGGAAAAAAGAAAGAGAUGAAAAGCAAAUUUGGUGGGGAUAAUUUCAGAAACCUCCCCUGAAGAUUUUGACUAUUCUACUGGUCUCCCUUCAGAUUUUAAAAAUUACACUAAUCUUCCUUGAAGUUAUAACAUUUAAAUUCAAUCAAUAAUUUAAAAAAUGAUAUUAUGAAAGAGAAAAUAAUAUGAUUUUAUCAUUGCCCCCCAUCUUACUACAUUAUUUAAUUAAUUUAAUAGCAACCCACACAUUAAAGAAAAAUAUAAAAUUUGUUAUUUAUCAUUAAAGAUCAAAUCGCUUAUAACAUCAAAUAAUAGUAUAUUAUUUAUAUUUUUCACUUAACAUAAUAUCCAAAUUACUCUUUUCAAUUACAUACUCAUUGUUAGACAAUCAACAACAAAUAACCAAAAAAUUUGCAACCAAAAUAUUACAAAAAAAAAUAAACUUUAACAUCAUAAAUAUUCUUAUCAACAUAUUAAAGUUAGUUACUGAAAUUUUUAUGGUGUUAAACUUCACUCUUUGUAAUAUUUUGGUUACAGAUUUUUUUUGAUUAUUUUUUAUUAAUUAUGUUUGAUGAUGGGUUUGUAAUUGAAAAGAAUAAUUUAAAACUUACAUUAAGUGAAAUAUAUAGAGUGAUAUACUAUUUUUUAUAACAUAUGUGAUUCAAUCCUUCUUGAUAGGAUUGGUAAUAGAGGUAGAGGGGGGAGUCGGCUGCAUCCGGUCUUCUUUUCAUAGAUAGUACAAUAUUGCGAAAUCAAUCGCAUUCACACAAUAAUAUUUCGAAGUCAAUGCAUGGCUAAGUUGCAUAAAAGUACGAACACUUGUUAUUAUAUAGCUUAAGAUUCAAAACUUUAGAGCAUAACCCUCCACCUAACACAAUUGAAUAAUGAAUAUUCACGUUUGUCAAAUCUGUCAAAGCACAGUUUGAGGACAACCCAUUCCAACCUGCAAAAGAUUUUUUACUUUUCUAAAGUUGUUGAGAGCUGUAAAAAGACCUACCAUGCUUACAUCCUCCGAGCCUUGGGAGUUAAAAAUGAAGGCACUGAGUGCUAUAAAAAGGGGGCUAGAGGCUGCCUAGAAGCAUAUCAGCCUAAAACAAGAAUUUGUUGUUAUGAUGGGAAGCAAAGCAAAAGCAAUGGGGUCUGGGCUGACUCCUCUUCUUGCCACUGUUUUAGUGGUAUUUGUUGCUCUUGGCUUGCCCUCAGAAACAGCAGCUGAUGAUCACUACAAGUAUUCAUCUCCUCCUCCUCCUUACCACUAUCCCUCACCACCGCCUCCAGUGCAUUUACCUCCACCAGUGUACAAAUACAAGUCCCCACCACCACCUCAUCAUGUUUACAAGUACAAAUCUCCACCACCCCCACCACCACACCCAGUUUACAAGUAUAAGUCACCACCACCACCUCCUCAUCCGGUACCACACCCAGUUUACAAGUAUAAGUCACCACCACCACCUCCUCAUCCGGUAUACAAGUAUAAGUCUCCUCCGCCACCACCACACCCAGUUUACAAGUAUAAGUCACCACCACCACCUCCUCAUCCGGUACCACACCCAGUUUACAAGUAUAAGUCUCCUCCGCCACCAGUUUACAAAUAUAAGUCUCCUCCACCACCACCUCCAGUGUACAAGUACAAGUCUCCACCACCACCAGUUUACAAGUACAAAUCACCACCACCUCCUCCCCCAGUUUACAAAUACAAGUCUCCACCACCACCAGUUUACCACUACAAGUCACCACCACCUCCUCACCCAGUUUACAAGUACAAAUCUCCUCCACCACCAAUUUACCACUACAAGUCACCACCACCUCCUCCCCCAGUUUACAAAUACAAGUCUCCACCUCCUCCUCACCACUACUAAGCAAUUGCUUCUGAGGUAAUAACACUUGUUCAAUAACACUUGAUAGCCAGCUGAAUAUUUGCAGGCAAAGGAGAAGGAAACCAGUGUUUGAGACCUUCUUGAAGAUGUAGAAGCAUAAGAAUUAAAGCCCAAUGUGAAGAUGAUGAUUUCAAGUUUUUCUACGUUACCAUUUCAAUAUCUAAAUUGGUUGUAGCGCCUUAGUUCCUUUGUUUAUGGGAUUUGUAUCGUUUUACGUACCAUGCAGUACAUGUCAUGUUUGUAAGGUUUUCUAUCCUGCCGGCAAACCGCAGGUUCCAUGUAAUAAAUCAAUACUAUUUAUAUUACGACACUUUUCUCUGUUUCUCUUAUAUUUUGUCUUUAAUAUUCUUAAUCAUAUUUUUAACAAAAAUAUUCAAACACUUCAGCAAUGGUUCACCUAGUUGAUCAUCGAAGCAGAGGCAAUUCCAAUUAUUUAUCAAUAAAUAGGAUAUAACUACCAAACAAGCGAUGGCAGUUAACCCCUCCUUACUGUGUCGGUGAUCAAGGUACGCCCGUUAAUCACUGCUCUAAUUGAGAAAUAAUCCUAAGUACGCCCGUAGAAUUUAAUUCCCCAAUUGCCUUACAUAUUAGAGGAGCCCUAUUCUAACCAAAUAACGCACUAUCAGGGUUAUUUUAGAUUAGCCCGCGUAUUCCCCUGACAUAAAUCUAAUCAUGCCAGUUGUCAUUAUUUUGAGGUAAUUAAACAAUUACGGAUUUAACACCUCAAUUGACAAUAGAUUAUUAAAUUAAUUAAUUAUUCGGAUCCAAGACAAUCAAUUAAUUAAACAACCAUAAGCACUACAAUCAGAGAAUAUGCAAAUACCAAUAAAUAAAUAAAAAAUAAAAUUAAAUCGAUCUCACAAUUUUUAGGCGAAUCAGAGCAUCCGUUGUCCCUUGACUAGAGCAAGGAAAUUAGUUCAUAUUUGAUGAACUAAACCCAUACAAAAGGGAAGCGAGAAAUGCAGCCAUUAUCCUUUGAAAUCUGGAAAAUUCAACUUGUCCGAAUAUCGAAUAGAUAGUAAUACUACAAAAGGUAAUUCAUAGCUUCCCUUUCGUCUGACACACAAGAAGAAAAAAAAGGGCUGCUAAUAACUAAAGGAGGAAAAGUCAAAGUCCUAAGCUAUGCUACAAGACGAAAAACUAAAGAAGACAAAAAGGCAGUGCUCAUUCCCUGCAAUCUCAAUUCCUAUUCUAUCUAAGUGCUCUCCAAUGUGCGGCGGCUCCCCUUCCGGAGAGGACGAAGUGGCACCCUUUUUUCCUGCGCAAUUUUCCUAUAUAAAGUAGUGCUCCUUGCAGCGGCUCCUGUGCGAAAAAAUGAAGACUUCGGCCCAAUUUGCCUAACAAGGGCUCACGUUUUGUUGUUCUAAAAAUGUCCCUAGGACAAACUCUAUCAUCUGAACUCUUUUCUUGCCAAAUUAGUACCUGUUAUUAUAUUUUCGUUCUACUCCCUGAAAUAAAUGCAAAAUAUCAAAAGUGAGUAGAAUCUAGCAAUUAAUCCACAUUAGGUCAGGUAAUAGGGAAAAUUAAUAAUAAAAUAAAUGAUAAAAUUGCAAUCUAUCACGGGACCACUGUGGUAAGGUGUGUUUCGCCUAUUAUAAGGAGUUCGGAGAGUUAGACGUGUUGGAGGCGGAGGCGCGGUCACUCCUGCACGCCCUCCAGCUGUGUGCAGAUCGCGAGGUACGGGCGUUGACUGUAGAAUCUGAUUCAAAGGUGCUUGUUCAACUAGUUUGCUCGGAUAUGAGGUCGAAGUGGCCGGUGUGUAUCGUAUUGCGGGAAAUAAGACAUUUGAUCCGGCGGAUGGGUGCAUCCCUUCAUCAUAUAUUCCGUGAGGCCAAUUCGGUGGCGGACGCAUUGGCUUCUCUGCAAUUGGGAGGGCAGCAGUACUACACCUCAGGCGUGGCGCUGCCUUUCAGGCCCAGAGGAGAGGCUCUGCUGGAUCGUCAAGGAGUACCUCGCAUCCGUGAGGCGCUCACUAAGGUUUGAUAGGCUAUGUCCUCCUUUCAAAAAACUUAUUUCAUCUACUCCUUGUAAUCAUUUUUCUUAUCAAUAAAUUGAGGCUUUUUAUUUAAAAAAAAACAUAUAAUUUAAGGCAAAAAUAUGAUCCUAGCGAGUAUCGCACUGAGACAUUAGGAAACAUCAUUAAAAGAGUAUUUCUUGAGUUAGUGCAACUAUUUCUUAGGGGAAUUUAUAGUUACAAAAUUCAAAAAUUUGAGAUUCUAUUACUGAUUAAUUAAGGGCGUUAUCACUAUUUUUCUUAUUAUCACCAUUAUUUACCCCACAUACUAUAAGUUUUUUUAGGGCACAGGAAAAGAGGUGGGCCGAUGUUUAGUUAUGUACAAAAGUUCAAAAUUUGUAGAUAACUUAUCAUGUGCCCUUAGAGCGUAGAAUACAGAAAAAAUAUCUUAAACUAUAACUAAUCCUAAUAUUUUUCUCUAUGAUAAACUAGCUCUUAUCCAUUUCUUUAGAUGAUGAAAGGAAAUAGUUAGUCACCUGUCCUCUAGUGAUUACAACAGCAUCAAAACAAAUUAGCACUCUUUUCCCGUAGUUUAAAAAUCCCUCAGCCACUAAGAUUUUGCAUGUCGAACGAAUUAAGGAACAUAGAAGGUUCGUGCUGCACCACAGUGUCCUUGUUGACGAUGCAAAGACAGAAAUGCAUCCGCGUAUACUUCCUUAAGCAUUUUGAUUACUUUAUGAUUCGAACUUUUCUUGUCUGACAGCUGGACUUAAUUGAAAAACACAAGUAACAAUAUUUCAAAGUUGAUUCGUCAAAGUUUACCCAAUUGGUGAAACUUUCUUCAUAGAGCUGACUUUGUAUUAGGUGACAAUGAUAUGGAAUUGAUGUCCUUCCCUUUUUCCUUUUUUUGUGUUGAAGACGCACAACGUUUUCAAUGGCAAAUUUAUAUGGGCUUUUCACGACAAAAUGUGUUCUGAAAAGUUCAUUCCAGAGGUUAAAAUUUUGUGUGUUAAAAAUUUGCUUCUCAGGACUUUGAUGGGAAAGUCUUGGUGUUUCCAAAAAGUUUAAGCAGGAUGCUUCUGGCUUUCUCUCCAUGUAUUUGUGAGUUAGAUCUAAAAUUAUCAGGGCUCCAGAGAUCUCUUGAAAUCGCAGCAUAUAUUGAAGUCUUUCCAGAAGGAGUCUUUUUUUUUUUUUUUAUGAAUUAUGAUAGAUAAUUAAUCUGACGGUGCAUAUAUAUAUAUAUGUGAUUUGCAGUAGGGUGUUUGACGAAAUGGUUAGGCUUCCUAAGUAAUGAUAGGAAUGCCAUUUGCAAAGAAGGACAGGGGGCUGGUGCUGUCAUAUUUUAUGCGAUUUGAUCCGUUGUUGUAUAAGUUUAAACUUUUGACGUGCAAUUGUGCUAUAAUAUUAUACUAAAUAUAUGUGUGAAAUAUUUUGUCUAUAUACAUCACUUUUAUCAUGAAUACAACAGCUGAGUAUAAUAAUAUAGUAUAAUGUAAUUGUACACCAAAUAAUGUAGCAAAUAUAACAAUUGAUCCGAAUUACACGGAACCAUAACAACAAGAUCACCGCCUCCCAAAUUUUACAAAAUUAGGUUUUUUUUUUUUCUCUUAGAUUAUUGAAAAUUUUCAAAAAUAAUCUACAUAAUUUAAGCUUUUGUCCUACAAAAAUUUGAAGAGAUUUUACAUUACAAGCUUAAGCUUAGAUAUAUUAAACUUUGCCCCCAAGAUUAAUUUUCCGUUUUUAUCUAUGAACCGAUCCAUAUAGCUAGUUAGACUGUAGUCCUCACAUUUGUGGGAUUUAACACCCAAGAUUCUCCUUCUUGGAAUGUAAAAUGUAGAUCUUCUAUGUUAAUAAUUCAAGACCCUACUGUCAUAAACGAAAUGACUGAUCAACUCCUGUAAACCUAAUUUGACAACAUUUAAAUGGAGAACUUUAGCUAAAAGAAUUAUGGUCAAGCUAAAGAAAAAGCCAGUUAUUUUCCAACAUAUGCAAUCAUUGAUCAGGAAAAAAAAAAAAAAGCAAAAAGACAUCUUCAAUCAUUUAAUAGCUCACAGUGCAAAUUAACCCCUAAGCGAAAACUGGUUGCUCUAGAAUCAAAAUUUUACCUUAGUUACCCAGGCAACUUUUUUGUUGCUUUUUUUUUUUUCUUUUCCUUUUUGGGUAUAUAUAUAGCUCCAGUUUUGCCCCCUCUGUCAAGCUUAUAUAAUUAUUAAGAUAAUAAAAGUGCCUUGAAUAGUAUUAAUAUAUCCAUUGACUUGAGCUGUCAUCGAUCGGUUUGGGCUACUUCGAUUCCAUGAGAACAAAUGGUAAUAAAAGUACUCAGAAAAUAGGGAGCCAUGAAACCCUUUUGUUCUAUUCAUUGCUAAGAUGCUUUUCUCUAUAAAGAGACUUCCUAACGAAAGUACUUUGUAGAUUUCUUUACUCCAAGUGGUGCAUGGAAAAUUAAAAUAUUCAAUUAUCAAAUAAAAUUCCCUUUUUUCGGUGUAGAUUUCAUCCAUCCAGCUGUUAACACAUUUUAUGUAUCCGAAUUAUAUAUUCUCUACCAAAUAUUGUAACUUUUCUGAGCAUCUUUACAUUUUUAUUCCCACCUAACAAAUUAGUUGUUGAGCAUCUUUACAUGCUAUCGGAUCACAAGUUAAUAAUCUUUUAAAGAACAUGUUAAAUUAAUUUAUUGGUAUGAAUAGUCAAAGAAGUAUAUUAAAGUUAGUAAUCUUUAAACACCACGAUGCAAUUAAUACUUUCAAGCUCAAGGUCUUUUUUUUUUUUUUUUUUGGUACUGUACUUCCUUGCUUUAUAGUAUGCACGUUUAUUUCUGUGGAUUGCUUAAGCUUAUAUUGUUAAUAAUUGGGCAUUUAACCAUAAAUUAUAAUGAUUAUGAAGUCAUAUAUAUAUAUAUAUAUAUAAGAAAAUUACCACAAUUAUUCAAUUUUUUUUGCAAAUUCAAAUUUUAUUAAUAAGAAAUAGGCAGUAAGCUUUUACAAACGGAAAAAAAAAAUCCUACAACAACUCUAGGACCUUUGAAAGAAAGAAAAAAAAAAGAAAAGAAAAGCUUAAGGACUCUACCUCAUAGAAGCUAAACAAUCCUACAAAUAAACUGCAAAAUAAAUCACAAUAACGCAAAAUUUUUGUCUUUCUUCCGUAUGAAAUGAAACUACGAAGUCAAGAAUUGACUCCUUUAACCGCUAUUGCCAGCGGGCUCCGUCAGCAAGAUACAACUUUGCAAUUUGAUUCAAUAGAAAUCCUCAAAUAGCUAUUUUGACAGGCAAAUUAAGCAUUAAUUUUGGUAUCCCUUCAUAAAAUACAAGAGUACUUUUGAUUAUAUCUAUAGAUCAACUUUCUAGGCUAUUUUGAUGUAUUAUAAGAAAAUCUGCCUCAACAAUUUUGAUAGCAUUUUUCCAAAAGCAGAAGAUGGAAAAUUGCCCAUUUGUACUGGGGAGUUCGUGAUCUUUUCCUCCUUCUAGUCUACUUACAAUUCUUGGAAAAAGGAAUACUCACAUCUCAAACAACUGCCUGUUCAUCUGCAAUGUCCUGCCGAAUUCUAGAAAGUUAGGUGGCAAUGCUAAUUACAUUUCAAAAUUGACUGCUGCGAUGACUAAUUCGAUGGCUUACUACAUGGUCAACGUUUGGAUCCCUUCCUGUCCUUUUUGGAUGCACAUUUUUUUUCUCUAGGCAAUAUAUAAUCUCCCAACUCAUUUCUUUACAAAUGCACCUUUAAUCACCACCAAAAGGUGUGGACAUGAUCUUUACCCUAGAAAACUAAUCACCGACAGGCAAAUUGACGUCAGAAAUACUAAGAGGAAUUCUAGUUUCCUUCGGGUUAAUGCCAUUUUGUACCCUUCAACUGUAACUCGAUUUCUAAACUAUAAUUUGUGACAUUAUAGUCCUUAAACUAUGAAACCCCUCUUACUUAAGUACAAUGGUUAAUACAAUACCCGUGACUAGACAAGCAACCAUAACAAAAAAAAAUCCAAAAUUAGAGAAAAGAAAGAAGUUUCGCGACCAAAGUAUGUAUCAAGGCAUAGUAUAGAAAUAAAAGUGUCCAAAUUAAGAGUUUAGGGAUAAAAGAGAUCAAGAUAUAGUUUAGGGAUUGAUUUGUCUCAAUUAGAGUUUUGAUGUCAACUAAGAAGAGAGAUAUAGUUGAAGGGUAGAAUAUAGAUAUAACAGUUCAAUGAUUGAUAUCAACGAGACAAUGACAACUUUGGAUUAUUACCAACCUCUUCUUGAUGGGAAAAGGAAAUAGAGAAGAAAGUCGGGCCUGGUCUAAGCCUGCUUCGGAGGCAAAACAACAUUAUGAAAUCACCGGCAUUCACACAAAUAUGUCAAAGUCACCGGCAUGCUAAGUUGCAUAAUUUAUACAAACACUGAAUAAUAUAUUGUUCUUAAAAUUUUUGUUUAAGAUUUAACAAUUAGAGCACGGUACACGAAUUAGCAAUAUUAAAUAAUGAAUGUUCACGAUUGAUAAAGUUAUCAAAGUACAGUUUGAGGACAACCCAUUCCAACGUGUACAAGAUGUUUAGCCUUUGAAAAGUUAAUUAGAGAAGGUGACGAGAUUUUACUAGGCUUAAAUCUUCUAGGCCUCGGAAGUAAAAAAUGAAGGCCUUUGAGUGCUAUAAAAAGGGGGCUAGAUGUUGCCUAGAAGCAUAUCAGCCUCAGACCACAUUUUGUAGCAAUGGGGAGCAAAGCAAAAGCAAUGGGGUCUAGGCUGACUCCUCUUCUUACCACCGUUUUAGUGGUAUUUGUUGCUCUUGGCUUGCCUUCAGAAACUGUGGCUGAUUACUACAAGUAUUCAUCUCCUCCUCCUCCUUACCAUUAUUCCUCACCACCACCUCCUGUGCAUUCACCUCCACCACCGCCAAUUUAUAAGUCACCCCCACCACCUUACCACUACUCCUCACCGCCACCUCCAGUGUAUUCAUCUCCACCACCACCUUCGCCAGUUUACAAGUCUCCGCCACCACCUUACCAUUAUUCGUCACCACCGCCUCCGGUGCAUUCACCUCCACCACCACCUGUUUACAAGUCACCUCCACCACCUUCGCCAGUUUACAAGUCUCCGCCACCACCUUACUAUUAUUCGUCACCACCGCCUCCGGUGCAUUCACCUCCACCACCACCGAUUUACGAGUCACCUCCACCACCUCCUCCAGUUUACAAGUCUCCGCCACCACCUUACCAUUAUUCCUCACCACCACCUCCAACGCAUUCACUCCCACCACCAGUUUACAAAUCACCGCCACCACCUCCUCCUAUGUAUAAGUCCCCUCCACCACCUUAUCAUUAUUCCUCACCACCACCUCCAGUGCAUUCACCCCCACUGCCACCAAUUUACAAGUCUCCGCCACCUCCAAUCUACAAGUAUAAGUCACCACCACCUCCUCCCCCAAUUUACAAGUCACCACCACCACCUCCUCCAGUAUAUAAGUCCCUACCCCCACCAGUGUAUAAGUACAAGUCUCCACCACCACCUCCUCCAGUAUACAAAUCACCUCCACCACCUCCUCCAGUUUACAAAUCUCUACCACCACCAAUUUAUAAAUACAAGUCUCCUCCACCACCUCCUCCGGUUUACAAUUCCCCACCACCACCAAUCUACAAGUCUCCACCUCCACCCUCCCAUUACUACUACAAUUCUCCUCCUCCUCCUCCUCAUCACUACUAAGCAAUUGUAUCCAAGUUUUUGAGGUAAUAAUGCUAAACCAAUAUAUUAACUUUCGCAUGAUAAACUUUAUCUCUAUCAAGACAAACUGCCAUGUGCAUCAAGCCAAAUACGUACACUUCGAUCCAUGAAAAUGACAAGUAGAAGGUUUUCUUAAGAACCAAGGAACAGCAUUAGUAUUCCCUCUGUUUCCAAAACUUGUGUAUUAAAUAGAUUAAUGAAUUGUUUAACAUGCUUAUCUACUUGAAAAUGCACAAUACCCAUAACCCACUGAAAUUUUUGCAGGUAAAGGGGAAGAGAAUCUGUGUUUGAGAGCUUCAUGAAGAUGUUGAAGAAUAAGAAUAAAAGCCCAAUGCGAGGAUGUUUUCAAGUUUUUCUAUGUUUCCACUUUAAUUUGUAAAUUGAAUUUUUCGACUUAAUUAAUUCCCUGUUUGUGGGGUACGUAUUGUUUUACGUACCAUGCCGUACAUGUUUGUAAGGAUUUCUAUCCUAUUGGCAAAAGUCGGUUCCAUACAAUUAAUCAAUUCAUUUCACUUCUAUUGGCUCUACUAUUUAUGCACGUUACGACAUUUUUUCUCUCUUUCCCUUAUAUUUUGUCUUUAAUAUUAUUGAGUCAAUAGUAAUACUGGGCCAUUUUUUUUAAAACUUAUACUAGUAUACAUAGGUAGUUUGGUCUAACGCCAAAUUCAUGUUUGUCUUUCUUUUAUUCCCUUUACAUUUCAAAGUAUACUAUAGUUUGUGAUCAUUGUGGUGAUGAUAUUACCAGCUGGUACUUAUAGUUUAAGGCAGAGACAUGAUAUUAACAACUAUCUCAUUGAAACAUAAGGAAAAAUCAUGACAAGUGUGAGUCUUGGUUAAUGCACAAUUUGUUAGUGGAAUUUAUAUUUAUAAAACUCAAAAAAAAAAUUUUGACAAUGCUAUUACUAAUUAAUUAAGGACUUUAUUGCUAUAAUUUAUCGCUUGCUAGUUUAAACUAUAAAUGAUCUCAAUACUUUUCUCCAUGAUGUCGAUUUCUUUAGAUACGAAAGGGAAAAAUUAGUGACAUAUCCCUUACUGAUUACAACAUCAGCAAAAAUUAGUUAUAAACUUUUCCGGUGGUUUUAAAUCCCCGGGCCCUAAGAUUUUUUGCUCAUCGAGUGAAUUAAGGAACAUAGGCAAUUCAUUUUGCAUACCAAGUCCUUGUUUAAGAUGCAAGUACUAAAAUGCAUCCACUUCAUUAAUUUGGGAAAUUGCCAUAGUUUUUUUAAGCAUUUUGAUUUUUUACAUGAUUUAAAAUUUUCUUAUUGGAUACAAUCACUUUGUAUCAAGAACACAUUUUCAAUCACCUUUUUUUAUCUUCUCAAUGAGAAAAUAAAAAUUUAUUCAUGCUUUUCUAACAUAUUCAAUCAUUGAUCUGAAAAUUAAAACAUUAAGAAAAGGACAUUUUCAAACAUUAAGAAGUAGUAUUUUAAAGACCAUGAUGAAAUUAAUACUUUCAAGGUCUCUAUUAGGAAGACUUCCUUUAUUAAUACUCUACUAGGCAGAGUUAUAUGCACGUUUACUGUUUUGGCCUUAAGUUGGGUGCAGAUGCUUAUAUUACAAAUAGAUGGUAUCAAAAAAUUGUUGUAUUCACGUCUGUUCUUUUUUUCUUCCUUAAGUUUUUUUCUUUAUUCUCGUGACUUCGCUAGUGAGGUAUAACUUCACAACUAGAGUCAAUAGAAAUCGUCAAAUGAUUUUUUGACAUCCAAAUUAAGCAAUAAAUUUUGUUUUCAUUUCAUAACAUAUAAUAGUACUACUUCAUGGGAGAUUUUAUAGUUUCUUUAGGGUAUCAUACCUACAAUUGAUAUUUAUCAUUGGAUAGUGAAAGAAGUGUUAAUGUCUCUAAGAUUAAAUAUUGUUAAAUAUUGAAAAUUUGAACUAUUUAUCUCUAUUGAGAGAUACAACUUAAAGAAUCCUACCCAAAAGAGACUAGAAUUUUCUCUGUUUUUCAUCAUCUGUAGACAUAAACUUUCCACGGUUGAUAGCAUUUUUCAUCAUCUAUAAGGAAAUUUUGCCUAUACAAUGUGAUAGCAUUUUUCAAAAAGACAAGAUGGAAAAUUGCCCCCCUUGAACGGAAAAUUGCCCCCUUGUCAAUUCUUUAAAAAAGAAUACCGUCCCGCAGAAUUCUAGAAAGUUAGGCAAAACUAGACAAGUUGACAGGUAUAAUCAGACCCAAGAUCAGGAACAAGCAGUUGCACAUUUCAAAAUUCGCUGCUGCAACAACUAAUUUGAUGACUUACAACACUAAAUGGUCAAACUUUGAAUGGCAAUGAAUCUUUUGUUGUACAUCAUGAUGUAAUUUUCAUGUUACAUAAUAGAUUGAUAUCUAUGUUCUUUAAAUUAUCAUAAUAAUUAAAUUUAACUGAAAAAAAGAACACAUAUCAAUACACAAAAGUGUGCAACGUGAAUGUUAUUUUAGUGUAUUGCAGAAGACCUAUAGUCUCUUCAUAUCUCUUCCUGCACGUAUCAAUUCGUUUCCUCUAGAUAAUAAUCUCCCAACUCAUUUAUUUACAAAUGCACCUUUUAUGUUUUAUUACCUCCAAAAGCCUAAAAAUCAAUUCACCGACUCGCAUUUGGUAUCAGAAAUUCUUAUUACGAAUUCUACUUUACUCAAAGAUUGACUGUUAAUAAUGAGACAACGACCAUUUUGUAUUAUUACACCGUCCUUCUUGAUAGGCAAAAGAAAUAGAGAGGAAAGCGGGUCCGUAUAUGGUCUUUUAUUCAUAGAUAAUACAACAUUACGCCAUCGAGCAUUCACACAAUAUUUCAAAGUCAUUGCAUGCCUAAGGCCUGCUUGAUAAUCUAAUUCCGUACUUAAAUUUAAUAAAUUCAAAUCUUAACACAUUCAAAUCGUUUGAUAACAAAAAAUUGAACAUCUAAAUUAAUUAAGUAACACUGAAUUUUCUAGGCAAAACUUGCUCCCAAAAUUAAGUGAUAAGUUAUUCACUUAUCACUGAAUAUGAUAUGUAUUCAAAUGUAUUAGAUUUAAUACUUAAUAAUUUAAUGAAUUCAAAUUUCAUAUUUCAUAUUUCAGUUUUAUCAAACACACCUUAAGUUGCAAAAUAAUACCAAAACUUGUUAUUACAUAGCUUGAGAUUCAAAAAUUUAGAGCAUAAUUCUCAACCAAACACAAUUGAAUAAUGAAUAUUCACGAGUGUCAAAUCUAUCAAAGUACAAUUUGAGGACAACCCAUUCAAACGCGUACACGAUUUUUAACUUUUCUAAAGUUGUUGAGAGCUGUUGAAAGAGAUUUACCAUGUUUACAUCUUCCAAGUCUUGGGAGUAAAAAAUGAAGCCACUGAGUGCUAUAAAAAGGGGGGUAGAGGCCACUUGAGAUCCUCGGUGACAUGUUUUCUAUGCCAAUCCAAUGCCACCAAUAGUGUUGCGCCAAGUGUCAUGUUAUUAUUUACACUUGUGUUAAACUAAGCCAAGUUGAAUUAUUAGAAAAUUAAAGUGUAAAUAAUAACAUGACACUUGGCGCAAUACUAUUGGUGACAUUGGGUUGGCAUAGAAAAUAUGUCACCGAGGAUCCCAAGUGGAUAGAUGCUGCCUAGAAGCAUAUCAGCCUAAAACAAGAAUUUGUAGUAACAAUGGGGAGCAAAGCAAAAGCAACGGGGUCUAGGCUGACUCCUCUUCUUACCACUGUUUUAGUGGUAUUUGUUGCCCUUGGCUUGCCCUUGGAAACUGCAGCUGAUUAUUACAAGUAUUCAUCUCCUCCUCCUCCUCCUUACCAGUAUUCCUCACCACCACCUCCAGUGUAUUCACCUCCACCAACCCCUGUUUAUAAGUUACCCCCACCAUCUCCUCUAGUUUACAAGUCCUCACCACCACCUUACCACUACUCACCACCUCCUGUGUAUUCACCUCCACCAUCACCAAUUUACAAGUCACUGCCACCACCCCCUCCAGUAUACAACUCCCCGCCUCCACCAGUGUACAAAUACAAGUCCCCACCACCACCUUCUCCAAUUUACAAAUCUCCACCGCCACCAGUUUACAAGUACAAGUCACCCCCACCACCUCCUCCGGUAUACAAGUCUCCUCCGCCACCUGUUUACGAGUACAAGUCUCCUCCACCACCUCCUCCAGUGUACAAGUCCCCACCACCUCCAGUUUACAAGUACAAGUCACCACCACCUCCUCCCCCGGUUUACCAAUCUCCUCCACCACCAGUUUACAAAUACAAGUCACCACCACCUCCUCCCCCAGUUUACCAGUCUCCACCUCCACCCUAUCAUCACUACUACGGUUCUCCUCCUCCUCACCACUACUAAGCAAGUGCAUCUAAGUUUUGAGGUAAUAAUACCGAUCCAAAACUUUAUCAACGCAAACUGCCAUGUAUAUCAUGCUAAGGACGUACACUUGAUCCAUGAAAAUGGCUAGUAGAAGAUUUUUUUUAAGAACCAGAGAAAUACAUUAUUUUUUCGCUCUGUUUUCAAGAAUUUGAGCAGUAUACAGAUUAAAGAGUGUUUUUUUUAAACUUGCUUAUCAACUUAGAAAUGCACAUAGCUGAAAGCCAACUGAAUAUUUGCAGGCAAAGGAGAAGGCAAUCGGUGUUUGAGACCUUCAUGAAGAUGUAGAAGAAUAAGAAUAAAAGCCCAAUGCGAGGAUGAUUUCAAGUUUCUACGUUACCAUUUCUACAUCUAAAUUGACUUUAGCUCCUGAGUUCCAUGUCUAUGGGGUUUGUACUGUUUUACGUACCAUGCAGUACAUGCUUGUAAGGUUUUCUGUCCUGUUGGCAAGCCGCAGGUCCAUAUAAUAAAUGAAUACUAUUUAUAUUACGACACUUUUCUCUCUUUCUCUUAUAUUUUGUCUUUAAUAUUGUUGAUCAUUUUUUUUUUUUAUCAAAAGUAUCAAAUGCUUAGGCAAUUUGGUCUAAUGCUAAUUGUUUUACAUUUAUUUUUCACCUACAUCCCUUUUCAACUCAAAGGAUGCUACAGUUUGUGAUCAUUGUUUAAGACCGAAGCAUGGUACUAAUAAAUAUCUCAUUGAAAGUCAAGGAAACUAACAUUAUGAAAAGUGUAAAUCUUGAUUUGUGAAACUAUUUAUUCGUGGAAUUUAGAGAUACAAAACUCAAAUUGUGACGGUGUUGUUGCUAAAUUAUUUUUUUUUUAUAAUAAAACACAGUUCAUUCAAGGAUUACUGGAAAUCGUCCAGCACAAUUGAGAUACAUUGUUGCCCAGGUGGCAGAUAAAUAUGCACUAAAAUUAUAGAUAUGCAAUUUAACAAAUACAUAAGAUUUGAGAAAUUAAGGACAAAUCUAAAAAGGACCAUAAAUUUGAAAAACAUUUCAUCCUAGAAUAAGUCGCUGCAACUCUCUUUGUGCAUGCUGUAAUCGUCAGAUCUACUAAUCAACAGUUGUAAGGUCCAGUAAAGAUGGUGAGAUCUGCCGAGAUUGAUCCAAAUCUGAAAUAUUCCCUCAGAUCUGCUAUCCAAUUGGUUCAAACUCAAUACUGAAAGUGAAAUCUGAUGAGAAGACUGAAAAAAUUGUAGAUCUAACAUAUAGAUCUAAAAAAACUCCAAGAUUUGAAAAAGUAAAGAAACAAAACUAAAUAAAACUCUCAUUAAGAUAGUUUAGGAGAGACUAAAACUCUCAAUAGGACACCCUAGGAGAGAAGAAAACUCUCACUAGGAUAACCUAUGAGAGACUUUAUUGAAUGAAAGGAAAAGCAAAGGACAAAGGAAGAAGAAGGGAGACCUUGGCUUAAGGCCAAGGUCUCCCUCCUAUGGAGGAGGAAGGGUAGAGGAGGAAGCCUAGAGAGAAGGAAGAGAAUCCCUCCGCUAGAGGGAAGGAAGAGCCUCUGAGAGGGUACCCGUGUUGUUGCUAAAUUAUUAAGGACAUUAUCACCAUUACUUUUCCCUUACUAGUUUCAACUGCAAUGAUCUCAAUCUUUUUGUGACUAAUUCUUUUCUUAAUAAUUUAUAAAUACAAAACUCACAAAGAAUAUGUGACUUAUUCUUUCCUUUCGUCUUCUAAAGAAAAUGCCAACUGUUAGUUUAUCAAGGGAAAAAGGAUCGACAUCAGUUGUUAUUGAAACUAGUAAGGAAUAAAUAAUGGUGAUAAUGUCCUUAAUAAUUUAACAACAGCACCAUCAGAAUUUGAGCUUUGUAUCUAUAAAUUCCACGAAUAAAUAGUUUCAUCAAAUCAAGAUUUACACUUUUCAUAAUGUUAAGUUUCCUUGACUUUCAAUGAGAUAUUUAUUAGUAUCAUGCUUCGGUCGUAAACAACGAUCACAAACGAUAGCAUCCUUUGAGUUGAAAAGGGUAGUGAAAAAGAGAAGUAAAAAAUACAAUUAGCAUUCCCUCAAAUUGUAGAAAGUUAGGUAGCAUUAUAGACAAGUUGAUAGCCGUAAUUAUACUAAAAAUCAGGCAAAAGCCAGCAAUUUUACAUUUCAAAAUUCACCUAUUCAAUAACUAAUUCGAUGGCUUGCUACAUGGUCAAAAUUCACCACAUAUCCCUUUCCUCAAUCAGGGGCUUCUACAAUUACCAGUUCCAAUUGUAUGGUAUAGUGUAAAUAUCAACAAAUUAGAUGUAGACACUAAUAUAAUAAAUAUGGAUGCUAAGGCAACAACAUACAAAAACAUAAUAAAUUUUGGCAUUCCUUAAAAAAUUACGUCCCCAAAUCAAUCUCAUACACCCAAUUUCUAAUUUAUUUAACUCAUUCCGUCUAUUAACUGCACCAUACAAUCCAACCUGCAAUUGCAUGAACCCCAAUCUCGCUUCCUAGUCCACCAUUUUUCUCUAGGUAAUAAUCUCCCUUCUAAUUUCUUCACAAAAUGCACCUUUCAUCACCUCCAAUAGCGUCGACAUGAUCUUUACCCUAGAAGACUAUUCACCGACUCCCAAUUGACGUCAGAAAAUCUAAGAGUAAUUCUACUUUACCCUAAGAUUGAUAUCAACUAGACAAUGACAAUUUAGAAUUAUUACACGCCUCUUCUUAAUAGGAAAAAGAAAUAGAGAAGAAAGUCAGGCCAGGUCUAAUUUCUUUUCGAAGGCAAUACAACAUUACGAAAUCAAGCAUUCAUUCAUACAAAUAUUUCAUAGUCACCGGUUUGCUGAGUAGAAAAGUUUAUACAAAAACUUAAUAUUAUAUUGUUUAAGAGUUAACAAUUUAGAGCUUAAUCUCCUUGUACUUUGGACUAAACUCGAACGUGAAAGGAAAUCCCAAAACCAUAUUGGGCAUGAAUUCACACUUAAAUAGACCCAAAAAAAGAUGGCGACUGGUGAAAGGCAGUGGAGACUGGUGGUGAGAUUUGAGGAAUAGAAGCAGACGGAAAAGCCACAAAUUUUUGCCGAAAGAGGGUCACUUUCAUGGUUAAUUUUGCUACUCUCUACUUGUACUUGACCAAUGACAGGUUGUCAGUCUGUGCAAUAAUAAAAACCUGUUCAAACUAAAAGUAAUUUCUGUAGAUAGUGGUAAGCAGGGUCGAAUCCACAGGGAUUAGGUGUAACUGUUUCUUUUCAAAUUCACAAUAACAAAGGGGGUGUUUUUAUGCAGAAUGUGACAAUCAAAGAAAUUCAAUUAAAAGUAAAAUAAUAAAAAUAAAAUAGCCAACUAGAAAUUAAAUAACAAUUUACUAAAAUCAAAUGAGUGAUAAUUAAGGAUCUAGCCAAGGAAUAACUUCAGCAGUGGUUCACCUAAUUGAUCAUUGGAACAAAGGCAAUUCCAAUUAUUUACUAAUAAAUAGGUUAUAACUGCCAAACAAGCGAUGACAGUCAAUCACUCCUUACUGUGUCGGUGAUUAAGGUACGCCCGUUAAUCACUGCCCUAAUUGAGAAAUAAUCUUAGGUACGCCCGUAAGAUUUAAUUUUCCAAUUGCCUUACAUAUUAGAGGAGUGUCAGGAACAAGGAAAUAGAAUGGGACGUCGUUUAAUGCAAAGGGUUGUGCGUUUAAGGCCUUAGAAGCAAUACUACGUCGUUCUAAUAACAUAGGCGGUGCUGGUGUGAUAGGCCAAGUUAGUUGAGGGUCAAUUACAUAAAUAGCCUUCUGUAACAGAUUUUUGGUUAUGUUUUUGAAUGAAAAGUAUCUCGCUGCUUUCUCUCUCUUGUCUGUUAUUUCCCUCCCUUUUCUUCUUUCUCUCUUCCCUCUUCUUAAUCUUGUUUCUUUCUUCUGAUUCUUCCCCCAAAUUCAAUACAAUUCCAGAAAUUAACCUGCAAGUCUGACAUUUGGUAUCAGAGCGGUCGAUUCUUGGCCGCGAAGGUAUCAGAAAUGGCUGAGAGCACGCGAUUCAGGACACUGGAGGAGCAACUCAAGAAGCAGGAGAAUCGGUUGCAAGAACUGGCGGAAUCCAUGGCUGCACUGCAGAGUACGAGUUCCGAGGAGUUGCGGCAUAAGCUACAGGCGGAAAUGGAGCAGAACAAUGCAAAAUUGGACGCGGUGGUGGGAAGUCUGGACCAGAAGUUCAAUAAAAUGGAACAGAGACUCAGUACAGUGUUGAAGCUGCUGAUGAAGGAGAAAGGUCUCCCUGAUGUCGAAGGAGGAAUUUCUGAUCCAAUCUUGCCGACUCCUCCAUCUCAUCUGAGGUUAGCAUCCUCAGUCGAAGGGAUUGGGCACCAACAAGAGUACAGAGGUAGGCAAUUCACUCCUAAUGUACCUCGAUUAGAACUGCCAAUGUUUAACUCUGGAAACCCUAGGGAAUGGACCAGGAAAUGCCAGAAAUAUUUUUUGAACUAUCAGAUAGCAGAGAGUCAAAAGGUAGAGGUAGCAGAGAUGUUUUUGGAAGGUAGAGCUGACAAUUGGUUUCAAGGAGUGAAAUUGGUGAGGCCAGGGUUGUCUUGGGGGGAAUUUAGUGAACUUUUGUGUGAAAGAUUUUCUGGAAGUAGUUCUCGUGACAUUGUGGAGGAAUUUAACAAGUUACAGCAGAAAGGAACUGUUGAGGAAUAUGAGGAGAAAUUUGAAGAACUAAAAGCUCUAAUGCUGAUGAAAACCCCCAGGUUGGAUGAACUUUACUUUGUUUCCAGUUUUAUUAGUGGCCUCAGGGAAGAAAUUAGACCUAUGGUGAAGAUGUUUAAGCCUCAAACACUGAUGAAGGCCUUUGAAGUUGCGGAGUUGCAGGAGUGUUCCCUGGAAAUCCAAUCGAAACAAAACAGAACUUCAAGGAGGACAGCAAUGGAACCCAAGUUUGGAAUGUAUAAGGGCACUACGAGUGAUUAGGGUCGCCAAAAUUCAUAUAAGUUGCCUGGAGUCACUCCUGUCUCCAGGAGGACUAAUGCAGUACACAAGGAAUUUAGUAAGAUAUCAGCGGAGGAAAUGCAGUAUAAGCGUAAGCACAGCCUGUGCUAUAGGUGUGGAGAGAAGUUUGGAAUAGGUCAUCAGUGUAAGAAAGGAAGUCUGAACUGUGUGAGCACUGAGGAAGAGGAGGACACUGAAUUUGAGGAUGCGGAAGGGGAACAGGAUGAGUUAACAGGAAGGGUCGGGGAACUUGCAGAAGUCUCUUUGAAUGCUUUAUCUGGUGCCAUAAGGAGGAAAUCCAUCCUGUUGAUAGGGAACUUAGGGGGGCUUCCAGUCAAAAUUUUGGUGGACACAGGCAGUUCUAACAGCUUCAUUCACCACAGGAUUGUCAACCUACUGCAUCUACCAUAUCAGGCAGUCAGUCCAUUUACUGUGACUCUAGCAGAUGGAACUGACAUUACCAGUGGAGCCAUCAGUCCCAGCGUGUCUUGGUUAAUUCAGGACUAUCAAUUCCAAUUUGACUUAAAAGUAAUGGAAUUAGGGGGAUGGGAUAUAAUUCUGGGGGUGGACUGGAUGUGCCAGUAUAGUCCCAUUACAUUUGAUUUCCACUCUCUUAGCAUUGCCCUUAGUGAUAGGGGUUCUUUACUACACCUCCAAGGACUUGUGAAGCAACCUACUAUGGAACUGGUGAGGGGCAGGGAUCUCAGCUCGUUUAUACAGGAGAAGCAAAGAAACUGUGCAGCCAUGCAUGCUGAUAGGGCCAGGGAAACAGGAGAGCAGCUUCCAAAAGCUAUAGAAAGGAUCCUGGAACAGCACUCUCAGGUUUUCUCCACCCCAACAGGAUUACCCCCAGAGAGGGAAUUGGACCAUCAGAUCAACCUCAAACCAGGAGCUGAACCCUUCAAGCUCAAACCUUACAGGUACCCCCACUCACAUAAAGCAGAAAUUGAAAAAAAAGUUGCUGAGAUGCUCACUAAUGGAAUUGUUAUACAUAGCACAAGCCCCUAUGCCUCCCCUGUAUUGUUAGUAAAGAAAAAGGAUAACUCCUGGAGAUUAUGCAUAGAUUACAGGAAGCUGAACGAGCUGACUAUAAAGGAUAAGUUCCCUAUUCCCAACAUAGAUGAACUAUUGGAUGAAUUACAUGGAACCAGAUACAUGUCCAAACUGGAUCUCAGAGCUGGUUACCAUCAGUUGAGGGUGAAAGCUGUUGAUACCCCUAAGACUGCCUUCCAGACACACCAUGGCCACUUUGAAUUCUUAGUGAUGCCUUUUGGACUCACAAACGCGCCAGCUACAUUUCAGUCCUUGAUGAACAGAAUAUUUCAGCCAUAUCUCAGAAAGUUUGUCCUAGUCUUCUUUGACUACAUAUUAGUGUACAGCCCCACACUAGAGAUGCAUGCACAGCAUCUACAGAUUGUGCUCAAUAUUUUAGAAGAAAAUCAGCUGUAUUACAAGAGGUCAAAGUGCUCUUUUGCCCAGUCCUCAAUUGAAUACUUGGGGCACGUGAUCUCAGAGGCAGGAGUGAGUAUGGAUGUGGCUAAGGUGGAGUGUAUCAAGUCCUGGUCUGUUCCUAGUACAGUCAAGGAGCUGAGAGGGUUUUUGGGAUUAAUUGGUUACUACAGGAGAUUCAUUAAAGGCUAUGGAGUGAUUAGCAAACCCUUGACUGUAUUGUUGAAAAAGGAAGGUUUUGCAUGGAACCAUGAAGCUCAAAUGGCCUUUGAAGAUUUGAAAAAGGUUAUGACCACAGCCCCAGUGCUGAGCAUGCCUAAUUUCGAACUUCCUUUUGUCAUAGAGACUGAUGCCUGUGGAAUAGGUAUUGGAGCAGUGUUGAUGCAGCAAGGACAUCCUAUUGCUUUCCUUAGCAAGGCAUUAUCAGUUCAGAAUUUGGGGUUAUCAGUCUAUGAAAAAGAGCUUUUUGCCUUAGUGCUAGCUGUAACUAAGUGGAGGCAUUACCUGGUGGGUCAUCACUUCAUUAUCAGGACAGAUCACCAAGCUCUCAAACAUUUGAUAGAGCAAAGGCUUACUCAUCCACUCCAGCACAAGUGGCUAACUAAGCUACUUGGUUUGGACUAUGAAAUACAGUAUAAAAAGGGUGCAGACAAUGGGGUGGCAGACGCCCUCUCCAGGAGAAGGAUUGAGGGAAACACUGUUGACUGUGGAGAGACUGGGCAUCAGACCUGCGCCAUAACCUCAGCUCAGCCUAGUUGGAUGCAGGAAAUGCUAGAAAGCUACAUUGGAGAUGCAGAGGCUCAACAGAAGUUAUCUGAGCUAUUGCUGGAUCCCAAUGCAGAUCCAGAUUAUCAGUUAAAGAAUGGGAUGCUCAAGUUUAAAGGGCGGCUGUACAUAGGAUCUGCUAACAACAUUAGGACCAAGGUGGUCAGAGCAUUGCAUGACUCAGCCCUUGGGGGGCACUCAGGUCCUGGAAUCCGUAAGGAUGUCCUUCAAUAUGUGAGAUCUUGUGAUGUGUGUCAAAGGAACAAACAUGAAAAUGUUCCUUAUCCUGGGUUGCUGCAACCAAUUCCUGUACCUCAGCAGGCUUGGUCACACCUCACCAUGGAUUUUAUUGAGCAACUACCCCCAUCCCAUGGAUUUGAUACCAUUUUGGUGGUGGUGGAUAGGUUAACCAAGUUCAGCCACUUCAUUCGACUCACUCACCCUUUUUCUGCACAGCAGGUAGCACAGCUUUUCCUUGACAACAUAUACAAGCUGCAUGGACUUCCUGAGACCAUUAUAACUGACAGGGACAUAAUCUUUCUUAGUAAGUUUUGGCAAGAGUUAUUUGGUAUGGUAGGGGUAAAGCUGCACUACAGUUCAUCGUAUCACCCUCAAUCAGAUGGUCAAAGUGAAAGGGUCAAUCAGUGUUUGGAAAACUAUCUCAGGUGUAUGUGCAGUGAGCAUCCUUCUCACUGGAGCAGUUGGCUUCCUACAGCUGAGUUAUGGUACAACACUAACUUCCAUACUAGCUUGCAGGUGACACCAUUCGAAGCACUAUACGGGUAUAAACCAAAUCACCUUCCCUUAGGACCUUUUCAUGAUAGCCUGGUACCUGCUGCUGGUAACAUGGUGCAGACUAGGCUCCAAAUUCUAUCCCUCAUCAAAGAGAAUCUAGCCACCGCCCAGAAUCGAAUGAAAAUGUUUACUGAUAAGCACAGGACUGAACGUGUCUUCCAAGUGGGGGAUUGGGUAUUUCUCAAGCUGCAACCUUACAGGCAACAAUCAGUGGCCUUACGGAAGAAUUUGAAGUUGGCUGCCAAAUACUUUGGACCUUUCCAGAUCCUUGCGAGAGUAGGGGAAGUCGCCUACAGACUUAAGUUGCCAGAGGGAGCUCGAGUUCAUUCCGUGUUCCAUGUGUCCUUACUUAAAAGGAAAGUGGGAGUUACACAGCAGGUAAAGCCCAGCUUGCCAGAAGUAGACGCAUCAGACCAAUGUUUGCUGAAGCCAGAGAAGAUUCUCCAGAGGCGUGUUAUCAUACGAGCUGCCAAACCAAUCAUCCAGUACCUGGUGAAGUGGAACAACUUACCAGAAUCCGAAGCAUCAUGGGAGGAUAAAAGCUUCAUUGACAGACAAUUUCCGGAAUUUCAAGCUUGAGGACAAGCUUUGCUUAAGGGGAAGAGAUUGUCAGGAACAAGGAAAUAGAAUGGGACGUCGUUUAAUGCAAAGGGUUGUGCGUUUAAGGCCUUAGAAGCAAUACUACGUCAUUCUAAUAACAUAGGCGGUGCUGGUGUGAUAGGCCAAGUUAGUUGAGGGUCAAUUACAUAAAUAGCCUUCUGUAACAGAUUUUUGGUUAUGUUUUUGAAUGAAAAGUAUCUCGCUGCUUUCUCUCUCUUGUCUGUUAUUUCCCUCCCUUUUCUUCUUUCUCUCUUCCCUCUUCUUAAUCUUGUUUCUUUCUUCUGAUUCUUCCCCCAAAUUCAAUACAAUUCCAGAAAUUAACCUGCAGAUCUGACAAGGAGCCCUAUUCUAACCAAAUAACACACUACCAGGGUUAUUUUAGGUUAGCCCGCGUAUUCCCCUGACAUGAAUCCAAUCAUGCCAGUUAUCACUAUUUUGAAACAAUUAAACAAUUACGGAUUUAACGUCCCAAUUGACAAUAGAUUAUCAAAUUAACUAAUUAUCCGGAUCCAAAACAAUCAAUUAAUUAAAUAAUCAUAAGCACUGUAAUCAGGGAAUAUUUGAAUACCAAUAAAUAAAAAGAAAGGACAAAAUUAAAUCGAUUUCACAAUUUUUAAACGAACCACAACCUCAGUUGUUCCUCGGCUAGAUUGAGAAAAUUAGCUCAUGUUCGAUGCGAAAAAUCCACAAGAAAUUGUUAAGAGAGCCGCGGCCAUUGUCCCUUGAAAUUGGGGAAAUUCAAUUCGGUUGAACUACGAAAGAAAAGUAAGCUACAGAGAGUUGCCGAUUGGGUUUUGCUUGUCCCUAACAUGCGAGGGAGCAAAGCCACGAAAGGACGACAAAGGUCAAAAAGAAAGGCUACAGAGCAUGUUCCAGGUCUUUUUGUGCUCUCCACAUCCGAGCCAACGAAAAGAAAUAAAAAACUACCAGGAGCUAAAGGAAAACCGCAAGAAAAGUCAAAGGCUAAAAAAACUUCCUAGUGCUUGUUCUCUGCUUAUCUCUUUAUCUAAUUCUAAGUCCCCGAUUUUUUGCUCCGUGCGGCGGCUCCCCCGGAGAGAAAGGAUUGCAUCCGCUGCCCUCUUCCACCAAUUACCAAAAUGGGCACACCGCUUCUUUUUCAAAAAUGCUCCUGGAUAAACUCUAUCAUCUGGACUUUUUUUCUGUCAAAUUGACAUUUAUUAUUAUAUUUUCGUUCUACUCCCUGAAAUAAAUGUAAAAUAUUAAAAAUGAGUAGAAUCCGACAAUUAAUUCACAUCAGGUCAGAUAAUAAAGAAAAUUAAUAAUAAAAUAAAUAAAUAAAUUGCAACCUAUCAACCAAAUACAACAAUUUCAUGGAGUUUGAUACACAAGCCCAAAUACACGAGAGUGUGUAACCUGAAUUGUUACUUAUACAUUAGUGUGUAAUAGAACGGCAAGCAUUAUGGUGGUCAUUGAGCAACUUGUAGGAGAAAUAGUCCUAUAAGCUGUUCAAUGACCAAUCACAACUUGCUAAUUGGAUGACUAAUAUAGCUCUAGCUGUAAUGUUUUAAUUAAAUUCCAUCACUAACGUUGGGAUGACUUUUUAAUCAAAAAAAAAAAAGCCUUAGUUCAAGCUUUUCCCCUUAUUGUGCAUUUUUUAAAACAUUUGAUAGGCACUGCAAAUCUGUCAUUUUGGACAUUUUAUUAUUAACUAACAAUGAAAGCCGUGGACAUCAACCCAUAUCCAACAAAAUAUUAAAUUAAUAUUAGAAAAAAUUAUUAAGUAAUUGGAAAAAAAAAGAAGAGGCUAAUUUUCAUUGAAACCCACCGACAAACUAUACGCUGCUUUCAAUCAGUUUUAACACGGGAAAAAGAAAAGGCAUGAAAAGCAAAAUUUGUGGGGAUAAUUUCGGAAACCUCCCAUGAAGUUUUUGACUAUUUUACUGGCCUCCCUUCAGAUUUUAAAAAUUGGACUAAUCUUCCUUAAAGUUAAUUAUCUUGUAACAUUUAGAUCCGAUCAAUAAUUUAAAAAAUAAUAUUAUGAGAGAGAAAAUAAUAUGAUUUUAUUAUUGCCCCCAUCUCACCACAUUAUUUAAUUAAUUUAAUAGCAACCCACACAUUAAAGAAAAUGACAGGUCGUCAACCUGUGCAAUAAUAAAAUUAAACCUAAUUGCCAGUUAAAAUGACCAAAACCCAAUUCCAAGUACUGGAGCAGGGACUCUAGGUGUGCAAUGGGUUACUUGAUUCACCCUGUUCCCGAAGAGUUUGCUUGAUCCGAUAUACCCGAAUGGAAUGGUUAUUCCUUUUCACAAAUGAUUAGGAAUUUGUAGACAGGGCAAGUAGGGUCGUAUCCACAGAGACUGGGUAUAUUUGUUUCUUAAGAAAUCCAAAGUAACACAGGGGGUGAUUUUGUAGGAACGACGAUAAUUAAAUAAAUUCAAAUGAGAAAGUAAAAAUAAAUAAUUAACUAGAAAUUAAACCACAAUUUACUGAACUCAGGAUAACAAUAGUUAAAGGCCUCAAUUAAUUAAAAUAAGGAAACAAUCAAAAAUAAAAUAAAGUAGGUAAUUAAAAGUCAAAUGGCAAUCCACUACAAUCAAGGAAAUAUUAACUAAAGAUCUAGCCAAGAAAUAACUUCAGCAAUGGUUCACCUAAUCGAUCAUUGAUGCAAAGCAAUCCCAAUUAUUUACUAAUAAAUAGGUUAUAACUACCAAACAAGCGAUGGCAGUCAACCCCUCCUUACUGUGUCGGUGAUCAAGGUACGCCCGUUAAUCACUGCUCUAAUUGAGAAAUAAUCCUAGGUACGCCCGUAGAAUUUAAUUCCCCAACUGCCUUACGUAUUAGAGGAGCCCUAUUCUACCCAAAUAACACACUACCAGGGUUAUUUUAGAUUAGCCCGCGUAUCCCCCUGACACGAAUCUAAUCGUGCCAGUUGUCACUAAUUUGAGGUAAUUAAACAAUUACGGAUUCAAUACCCCAAUUGACAAUAGAUUAUCAAACCAAUGAAUUAUCCGGAUCCAAGACAAUCAACUAAUUAAAUAAUCAUAAGCACUGCAACCAAGGAAUAUGCGAAUACCAAUAAAUAAAGGAAAAGAUAAAAUUAAAUCGAUCUCACAAUUUACAGGUGACCCAAAGCAUCAGUCGUUUCUUGACUAGAACGAGGGGGUUAGCUCAUAUUGGAUGAACUAAGCCCGCGGGAAAUUCCAGCAAAAGUCACGGCCGUUGUAUGCAUUUCAAGAGCCGCAAUUCGUCAAACACUUGGAAAGCGAAUGUAAGGCACGGGUAACAAUUGAAACUUUCUAAUUGUUCCUAGCAUUCGUAAAGCAAAUUCACUCCAGAAGUACAGUGAGGAAAAGUCAAAGAAAGUGGGCUUCAAUUCCUUGCUCCUGACAUGCGUGGAGACAAGCCAAUGCAAGACUACAAUAAACUAACAAGGAAAAGUCAAGAAUUGGAGCUAAGCUCCCCUGCCAUGCGCAGGAAUCCCAAAAGUAAAAAGUAAAGCUUCAAAGAAAAGUCAACAAUUCUUCCUAAGCUACAGACGGAAGAUCCAGCACAAAAGCCAGCUCCCUUUUUGAUCCCUUUUUCCCCCUUCUUAUUGCGGCGGCUCACCAGGAGAGGAGAGCCCUCCGUCCGUCCUUUCUUCCGGAAAUUACCAAAAUGGGCAUGACAUCUUCUCUUCCAAAAGUGCCCCUGGGACAAGCUUUCUCAUCUGAAUUCUUUUUUUUUCCAAUUUGGCACCUGUUAUCAUAUUUAUAUUCUACUCCCUGAAAUAAACGUCAAAUACUAAAAGUGAGUAGAAUCCAGCAAAUAAAUCCACAUCAAGUCAGGUAAUAGGAGGAAUUAAUAAUAAAAUAAAUGAAUAAAUUGCACCCUAUCAAUUCCCUCCACACCUAAACCAUGCUUGUCCUCAAGCAUAAGAAAAGUAAACGAACACCAAAAUUCGACGAUAGCCAUUGCCCAAUCUCCUAUAUUGCCAAGACAUUCAAGAGAAAAACACAUAUCGAGCAUUGGUGAUUAGAAUCCCAGAAGCAUCCCCCCGGUUAGCCUCUAACCCCCAGAUUCCUUCAAUUUCCAACUUAACUACUCUAAGAAAGAGGAAUGGCACACAACAUUUAUCAGCUAGUGGUCCGAAUAUUCACACAAGUCUUCAUAUCCAAUCCAUAAACCGGCAAGCUUCCCUAUUAUUUAGUCUCUCUUUUUUUCCGUUUUUUUUCAUUUUCAUUCUUCCCCUCUUUUUUUUUUUUUUUUAAAGCAGUAGCAAUCAACACAAAAGACUUAGUCGUUAGCCGUCAGGGCCUUUUGAUGCGAACUCCAACAUUUUUAGAAGGAGGAGCCCGGUUACUCAGCUCCUACCGCUAUACGACCACGCACUCAUAUAAAAUACCACCUUUUGACGCGAGAAUCGACACUUUUAGGUGCCGAUCCCCGGUUACUCAGUAGUAACUUAAUAGCGGAGCACAGUCAAGCUUAUUCUCAGCCAAACAAUGCACAAACGCAAAAUAACAGCACUAACAAUCAAACAUAGGAGCAGCUCGCCUCAUUAUUGUCAAACAUGGAGAACUGGAGUCAAUAUUGGACCAGUUCACAUUAAAAGGCCAUAUUCAUUCCCUACGCCUAGAAAAGUUAACAAAGAAAUCGAAAGAGUCAAACAGUUAAAUAUUCACCAAGGGGAUAUUCAGGACCCAACCACACUAACCCGAUACAUUUUGUAUUUUAAAAACUUGGCAAAAGUAGAUUUGGAGUCAAUGAGUCCACAUCUCAAUUUUAGCCUUCACAUGAAAGGCAAUCACCAAGAAGAAAGAACGGAAAAAUAAGCAACUAGAAAUGAGACUACGAAAAACUACUAAAACUAAAAACUCACUUUUUUUCUUUUUCUCUUUUUUUUUCUUUUUGAAUUUUUUUUUCAUUUUUAUUUUUUUUUAUUUUUUUUAUUUUUUAAACAUUAACUAUAAACAUUAACUACUAAAAACUAAAAACUAAAACUACUAAAAACUAAAAACACUAAAAACUGCUAAAAUGAAAAGCUGAAAACUGAAAACUACUAAAAACGGAGCACACUAGCAUAACUUUAGAUCCCCCCCACACCUAUAGGACACAUUGUCCUCAAUGUGACAAAUAAGAACCAAAAGUGAAGCACAAGUGAGAGGGGAAUCAGCCAAACUUCCCUGAAAUCGGGUCACAGCGGAGGGCGAGGUGGAAAUGGAGGUGCAAAGCCUGUAUGCAUCAGGAACUGUGCCAAAUUCUGUGCUAUGCCGGCGACAUUGGCGUCGACGUUGGUCAUCCGGGCCUGCAAAUCCUGAACCAGCUCCCUGAGAUGCUGCCAAUCAUCGGUCCCAGGUGGUGGAGGUGGCGCAGAAGUAGAGGUAGACGGCCCAGCAGUGUCCGCGGCCGACCCAGGGAAUGAAGAUGGCCCUGCCCGGGCCGAAUGGUGUGCACCCGGGGCUCGAGGUGGUCCCGGACGGGUAAACUGGUGAAAACCAUCUGGCAGACGCUCGACGACCCCCAUUUUCUCUAAGCAAACUACGUCCAAGUGCUCCAUCUCAAAUGCCAAAUGGAGGUCGUGGUCAUCCAGGUUAAGAACUCCCAACUGGGUCGCCAAGUGAGUGAUGUAGGACCCAAGGAUCAGUGGUUUGUUCUUCUUGGUCAAGACCGUCUUGAACUGUGCGGCCAACCAACAUCCCAAGUUCACCUUGAUAUUGUUCUUCAUACUCCAGAGAAAGAAGAAUUCGGGCCGAGAGAGUAUACCGGAGCUGUCCUUGCGCCCCGAGUAGCUAUAAGCUAAGAAUCGCUGAACAUAGCGGGCGCUAGGGUCCUUAAGAAAGGAGCUCCUGGACCGGGAAGGAUCGUAGCGUUGCCUAUCGACGGACAUGUCCUCCCAUACAUCAUGGUAGUGGGAGAGGAAAGGCUCUACGUAGUCACAGGCACUCUCCGCAUACUCCCUAGUCUCAGCAUACUCUCUAGUGAUAAACCCAAAUGCCAGAUUGAAUUGAGUAAUGGAGAAAUUGAAUUCUCGACCCAUGAGCCGGAAAUGAAUGACAUUCGGUGUUUCACCCGUGUAUCUCGUAGGUAAUUCGAACUCAAAGGUGGAGUAAAACUCCCGGAUCAGCUCAACAAAAGCGGGACAAGAAAUAUGGAAAUAUGGGCGCCACCCAAUGGCUGUGAACAUUUGCUCAACCUCCUCCCGUAUACCCAGGGCAGUUAGAGAGAGUCUAUGACAAGACUUACAGGAUAUUAUACGCCUCUCGCAGACCUUAGCGUACCUCUGCCGAUCGGCGGGUCUGGUAAAUGUUAAGUGCCCCCCAAAAUGAACAGGUGCAUCUACCUGAGCACCCCUAUCCCUACCCAAACGGGUUCGAACACUAGAAGAGGAGGGUAGGUUGGUAGGUGAGUUGACAGGAAUAGAGGCUUGUGGAGGGGGUUGAGACUGAGAGGUCCUAGACCUAGAGGAGGAUUUCGGUCUCACCAUUCCCCCCAAAGUAAGUUCAAGGCAACAGAAAAUCCGACAAGUAUAGAAACCAGCAAUUGACAAAGCAAAAAUCUCCCAGUAGUAACCCAGCCAAUAGCAAACAAAAGAGUUCCAGCAAGUAAUCAACAAGCAAUUCAGAAAUAUCUCAACUAAAAUCUCAAGAGAAACCCCAGCGAGUUAUCCAGCAAUUCAAGCAAUAUCCCCAAGCAAUGUGGUGGUCAAAAUGUCAUCUCCAAAUUGAACAAAUAAUCAGAGCAUUGCAACACAUUGAAAAUCUCAAUAAACGGCUCCAGUUGGCCAAGAAAAAUUGCUAACUCAUACUCAGCAAUAGUAGUGCAGCAAAGGGACAGUAACCACGCAAUAAAAACACUUAGCUUGCACUCAAAUGGUCACCCCAAAUAACAACCCAGUAUGAAACCCGCAGGCAGAGUAUUCCUCAAACCGUUAGCCUAAACCCAGUCAACAACCACGGCCAGAAAUAACCCCAUAAAUAGUGCAAUGAGUAAUCCCCAGCAACAUAAUCAGGUGUAAUCAACUGGAGCAAGCAAUUUACAUGGCAUAGAAACCUCCCAAUCAAACAAGUGCAUUAUUCUAGCGCACCCCAAAAUUCCAAGAAAUGGCUCCAGUUGGCCAAUUAAUUUCACAAUGUCACCCAACUCAGGAGAAAUAGCAAUUCCACACAAAAAUAGUCAAACCAGUACCACUGGCGAAAAAUCUUUCAAAUAUGCACAAUUUGCUACCAAAUAUCACCGGCUAACACUGAAAAAUUGAGGGCAAGUGUCAAAUACCUCCACAGGGACUACCCCAGGCGGCAGACAGAGAAGCGGCGUUGAAGCUGGUGGUCGAGCGGGGCGGCGCUCGCGUCGGCGUGCGCAGCGGCGACGGCGCGCGAGGAUGGAGUUUCGGGAGGUUGCGUGCGGGCUUGGCUGAAGACGCGGCGCGCGCUAGGGCUUCGCUGCGGCAGGCGUGCAGCAGGGGAGAAGAAAGAAAAGAGAAAGAAAGAAAGAAAAAGAAAGGAAAGAAAGAACAGAAAAGAAGGAAAAGAAAAAGGAAUUUUUCUUUUUUUUCUUUUUCUUUAGGCUACGGUUUAGAGGACAAAUUUUUCUUCUUCUUGUUUUCUACUUUUUUAUUUUUUUAUUUUUUAGUUUUUAAUUUAUUACUAUUAUUAUCAUAUUUAAUUGAGGAAAAAAAAUGUUUUUUUUUAAAUCCCUACCUUUCCCACGAACGUGACGCGGGCACGUCAAGAGGGCAAGAGAGCUCCCAGAAGUUUCAGAAUUUUCUGAUCGUAAGCGUCCUGCACAUCACCACGCGGGCACGUCAUGAGGACAGGAGAGCUCCCAGAAGUUCAGAAUUUUCUGAUCGUGAGCGCCCUGCACGUCACCACGCGGGCACGUCAUGAGGCCAGGAGAGCUCCCAGAAGUUUGAAGUUUCUGAUUCCUGCCCGUCAUCACGCGGGCGCGUCAUGACUGAAGGUCACCUACAAAUCAGCAAAAACGAAAACUAACACCCAAAAUCAGUCAAAUUCAGGGAAAGCAGAUUUAAACUAUGCUACAAAACCAACAAACAAUUAAAAGAAAUAAUUAGGUUGCCUCCCAAUGAGCGCCUUUCUUUAAUGUCUUUGGCUAGACAUGGUAAAGUGUCACUGAUUAGGACACGGUGGUGCGUCAAGCCUUAUUGUCUCCACCUCUCUACCUGAAAAUCCUUCGUAAUAAUAUUUGAGACGGUGUCCAUUCACCACAAAUUUGUUGUCUGUCUUAGCACUCUGGAUCUCAACUGCACCAUAGGGAAAAACAUGAGUAACAAUGAAAGGUCCAAUCCAACGGGAACGUAGCUUACCUGGGAAUAGCUUGAGCCUGGAUUGGUACAGGAGGACCUUCUGACCAACUUCAAAUGUUUUUCUUGAAAUUUGUUGGUCAUGAAAUGCCCGGCUUUUCUCCUUAUAUAUCAAGGCGUUUUCGUAUGCUUCGUUCCGGAUCUCCUCCAAUUCUUGCAAAUCCAACUUCCGUUGAGCACCGGCCUCCUCUAAAUUCAUAUUGCAGUGCUUUAUCGCCCAAAAAGCCUUGUGCUCGAACUCCACUGGAAGGUGACACGGCUUCCCAAAUACCAACCUGUACGGUGACAUCCCAAUAGGAGUCUUGUACGCCGUCCGAUAGGCCCAGAGUGCGUCUUCCAACCUUUGGCUCCAGUCUUUUCUAUCAGGGCGCACCAUUUUCUCUAAAAUGGACUUAAUCUCCCGAUUCGACACCUCCGCUUGACCAUUGGUCUGAGGGUGGUAUGACGUUGAGACCCUGUGGAGUACACCAUACUUGCGAAACAACGCAGCUAUGGUUUUGUUGCAAAAGUACGUUCCCCUAUCACUGACAAUAGCUCUAGGCAUUCCAAACCGCACAAAGAUAUUAGACCUGAUAAAAUCUGCAACUACUCUCGAAUCAUUAGUUCGAGUGGCCUUAGCCUCCACCCAUUUAGACACAUAAUCAACUGCCAGCAAAAUAUAUAAAAAACCAAAUGAAGUAGGAAAAGGCCCCAUGAAAUCUAUACCCCAGACAUCAAAAAUUUCAACAAAAAUCAACGGGACCUGGGGCAUUUGAUCUCUACGGGCUAUAUUACCUACCAUUUGACAGCGAUCACAUGACUUACAAAACACAUAGGCAUCUCUAAACAAUGAAGGCCAAUAAAAUCCACUUUCUAAAACCUUAUGAGCAGUUCUCUUAGGUCCAAAAUGACCUCCACAGGCAAAAGUAUGACAAAAAGCUAAAAUUGAUUGAAAUUCCAUUUCACUUACACAUCUCCUCAUCACUUGAUCGGCACACCUCUUCCAUAGGUACGGGUCAUCCCAGAUAAAAUACUUGGCAUCGCUCUUCAAUUUAUCCCUCUUCGAUUUCGGCCAACCUGCAGGAAAAUUACCAGUUACCAAAUAAUUGACCAAAUCAGCAUACCAAGGCAACUGAGAAUUUAAGAAAAAUAGGUAUUCUUCGGGGAAUGCAUCCUUCAAUGGCUCGCUAUCCUCUUCAACUAGUAUGCGACUCAAAUGGUCCGCUACUAGAUUUUCUGAGCCUUUUUUGUCCCUUAUCUCCAAGUCAAAUUCCUGUAGGAGCAGUAUCCACCGUAUGAGCCUCGGUUUUGCAUCUUUCUUGGUCAUCAGGUACCUCAAUGCUGCAUGAUCAGAAAAUACAAUCACUUUAGCACCUAACAAGUAUGACCUAAAUUUUUCCAAAGCAAAAAUAACUGCCAGAAGCUCCUUCUCAGUGGUGGAAUAAUUCAACUGGGCUCCAUUCAAGGCCCGGGAUGCGUAAUAGAUGACAUGAGCCGCCUUGCCUAUUCUUUGCCCCAGUACAGCCCCAACAGCGUGAUCACUGGCAUCGCACAUGAUCUCAAAUGGCAAAUUCCAAUCGGGGGGUUGGAUGAUUGGGGGUGAAGUCAGCAAUUCCUUCAGCUUGUUAAAGGCUCUCUCACACUUAUCAUCAAAUUCGAAGGCUACAUCUUUUUGUAGGAGUUGGAACAACGGGGCUCCAAUCUUUGAAAAAUCCUUGAUGAACCUUCGAUAAAAACCUGCAUGUCCAAGAAAAGAGCGCACCUCCCGCACACUCGCGGGGUAAGGUAAUGCAGAAAUAAUGUCUAUUUUAGCCUUGUCAACUUCUAUGCCCUUAGACGAUACAAUAUGACCCAGGACUAUUCCGUGCUCAACCAUAAAAUGACAUUUUUCCCAAUUAAGCACAAGAUUAGUCUCUAUACACCUGAUCAGGAUUAAUUUCAGGUUAUCUAGACAAGUAUCAAAACUAUCACCAUACACACUGAAAUCAUCCAUGAAAACUUCUAUUAUUUUCUCAACAUACUCGGAAAAGAUGCUUACCAUACAUCUUUGGAAAGUCGCAGGUGCAUUGCACAACCCAAAUGGCAUUCGUCUGUAGGCAAAGGUCCCGAACGGGCACGUGAAGGUUGUCUUCUCUUGAUCCUCCGGGGCAAUUGCUAUCUGAAAGUAUCCUGAAAAUCCAUCCAAAAAGCAAUAAUAAGCCCUACCAGCUAAACGUUCAACCAUUUGGUCAAUGAAAGGGAGAGGGAAAUGGUCCUUUUUGGUGACGGCGUUUAGCCUACGGUAAUCUAUACAUUGCCUCCAUCCAGUGGGUUUGCGCACUGGCACGAGCUCACCAGUUUGGUUGGCCUCUACCGUCACUCCUGCAUUCUUUGGGACUACCUGGACCGGACUCACCCAAGGGCUAUCAGAUAUUGCAAAAAUGAUGCCCACAUCUAGCAAUUUUAGAAUCUCUUUCUUUACGACUUCCAUCAUGAGGGGAUUGAGCCUUCUUUGAGCCUGCCUAACAGGUUUGGCAUCGUCUUCCAGCCUAAUCCGGUGCAUACAAAUGGCCGGGCUGAUCCCCUUAAUGUCUGCGAUUGUCCAGCCUAUUGCCUCUUUAUGCUCCCGAAGGACCCGGAUCAAUUUCUCUUCCUGGGUCUUUGACAGUGCCGAUGAGAUAAUCACUGGGAGUGUCUCAUUAUCACCUAGGUAUGCGUAUUUCAGGUGCUCUGGUAGAGGUUUCAACUCCAGUACAGGUGCCUGCACCACAGAUGGCAAUACCCUCUGGUGAGCCUUGGGAGUAAAAAUAGGUAAGACUUCAUACCUUUUCGUGGUGGUCUGCAACGAGUGUAAUGCACCUAUUGUGCAUUUUAAAUCCUCGCUCCACUCCACCUCAGGAGUUGUCUCCAACUCGAGGUGCUUGGUUAAAGCCACCUCCAGCUCAUCCCUGCCAUCAGUUUCAAACACUUCCUGCACUACAGGGUCAAUAGCACUCACAGAAAAAACUGAGCUAAAGUUGGAGUUAGAGGGGUACUUCAUAGUAUCAAAAAUAUUAAAAUGCACAAUUUACCCAUCAAACUCCAUGGACAAGGUACCCUUAUUAACAUCAAUUUUCGUCUGCGCAGUGCUCAUAAAAGGUCUACCCAAUAACAAAGGUGAGGGAUCAGGGGAGUGAUCAUCAUCCAUAUCUAGUACAUAAAAAUCAGCUGGAAACACCAAAUCAUUAACCUUUACCAACACAUCUUCAAUCAACCCAUCAGGAUAUGCAUUAGUUCGGUCAGCUAAUUGAAUAAUUAUUCCAGUUUCUUUUAAUGGACCUAGUUUCAAAGAAGCAUAGAUAGAUUUAGGCAUGACAUUAAUUGAUGCUCCCAGAUCCAGCAUGGCCCUUCUGAUCACAGUAUUACCUAUCUUACAGGGAAUAGUAAACAUACCUGGGUCCCCGCACUUUGGUGGGAGCUUUCUCUGCAGGACCGCAGACACAUUUUCUCCAACUAUGACCCGUUCAUCUCCCCUCAACCGCCUUCGGUUGACACACAAGUCCCUUAGGAACUUGGCAUAUUUUGGUACUUGUUUGAUGGCGUCUAAGAGGGGGAUAUUUAUCUCAACCUUGCGAAAAACCUCCAAGAUCUCCUUCUCCUUAUCCUGCUUCUUCGAUUUUUCCAACCUGCUAGGAAAAGGAGGCGGGUUAGUUUUAACUGUAAUUAUUGGGUCAGGAAGUACCUCUGGAUCUGCACCAUUGCUGUCCUCCCUUUCGAGCUCAUUUUCGAUCUUCUCUUCAUCCUUGUCCUUGGGAAUCACAGGUUCAGGCCCCUGAAUUUCUUUCCCACUCCUUAGGAUCAUUGCGCUCACGUUCUUCGGAUUCAACUCCGGUUGAGAUGGCAGCUUCCCUUGGUUCUGGGACUCCCAACGGUUCAUUCUGGUGGCCAAUUGACCUAUCUGAUUCCUUAUGUCCUGCAUUUCGGAGUCCGUCUUUUGCUGAUUUUGCAUAAUAGCUGCCUCCGUCCUUUGCUGAUUCUGCGCCAUGGUUGUCAUCAUUUGUUUCAGCAUCUCAUCCGUAGAUGAACCAGAUUGAGGGAGCGGAGGUGGUCGGGGUUGGUAUUGCUGCUGGUACCCUGGUGGCUUAUUUGGCACAAAGUUAGACUGCCUGUUUGGCGUGAAGUUGGAUUGCCUAUUUCCACCAUAACUGAGGUUGGGAUGAUCUCUCCACCCGGGGUUGUAGGUGCUUGAGUAAGGGUCGUACUGCUUCCUUGGCGCGGGCGCGUGGUCAGCCAUGUUCACCUGUUCCGCAGUUUCUUCCUGAAUCAUUGGGCACAUGUCUGCAGAGUGACCUAUACCAGUGCAAAUCCCGCAUACCCUGGCUUGUGAUGCAUUUCUCACAGCCUAUUGCCUAACGAACGCAGUCAACUCAUUUAGCUGCUGCUGCACAGAGGGUGUCUCUAUCUCAUUCACCCUACGUAUUGGGACAUCCUAUCUUGUACUGAAUUGCUGUGAAUUCUCUGCCAUCCCCUCUAUUAACUCCCGUGCUUCCUGAGGGGUUUUGUUCACCAGUGCCCCUCCACUUGCAGCAUCAAUGAUGCUCCUGUCUCUAAAAAUGAGCCCCUCAUAGAAAUAUUGUAUGAUCAACUGCUCACUUAUUUGGUGAUGGGGGCACCUGCGCAACAAGCUCUUAUACCGUUCCCAAUACUCGUAAAGUGACUCCUCGGGAUGCUGCUUGAUCCCACAAAUUUCUUUCCUUAGACUCGCAGCCCUGGACGCAGGAAAAUAUUUAUCCAGAAAUUUUUUCUUCAAUUGGUCCCACGUGGUGAUGCUACCUGGUGACAGGUAGUACAGCCAGUCCUUCGCAGAAUCUUUCAAGGAGAAGGGGAAUGCCCUCAUUUUUAUCUGCUCUUCUGUGAUUCCCGGGGGUUUCAUACUGUUGCAAACGACAUCAAACUCCUGCAGAUGCUUAUACGGCUCUUCACCUGGUAAACCAUGAAAAGAGAGUAAAAGCUGAAUCAGACCAGAUUUUAGUUCAAAUGGAAUGUUGUCAUUUAAAGCUGGGAAAGUAAUGCAUAACGGCUGCUGAGUUAAAUCAGGAGCAGCCAACUCCCUUAAUGUUUAUGCAUUAGCCAUGGUGCCUUCCUGCUGGUCAGAGUCACUCGAAGUGUUACCAAACGAAUCUGUUGGUUCAACUUCUGACUCGGGUCUUUGAGAUGUAGCACUAGAGUGCUCUUCUCUGAGCUGUCUGGUUUCCUUUCUCGUUCUACGCGCGGUCUUCUCUACCUCAGGAUCAAAAACCAAAUCACCUGUGCGACAAGAUCGAGGCAUACACUAGAAGAAAACCAGAAAAUUAGGACAAAAUUGAAUUUAAGAAGAAACAAAUAAUAACGCCAGUCCCCGGCAACGGCGCCAAAAAUUGACAGGUCGUCAACCUGUGCAAUAAUAAAAUUAAACCUAAUUGCCAGUUAAAAUGACCAAAACCCAAUUCCAAGUACUGGAGCAGGGACUCUAGGUGUGCAAUGGGUUACUUGAUUCACCCUGUUCCCGAAGAGUUUGCUUGAUCCGAUAUACCCGAAUGGAAUGGUUAUUCCUUUUCACAAAUGAUUAGGAAUUUGUAGACAGGGCAAGUAGGGUCGUAUCCACAGAGACUGGGUAUAUUUGUUUCUUAAGAAAUCCAAAGUAACACAGGGGGUGAUUUUGUAGGAACGACGAUAAUUAAAUAAAUUCAAAUGAGAAAGUAAAAAUAAAUAAUUAACUAGAAAUUAAACCACAAUUUACUGAACUCAGGAUAACAAUAGUUAAAGGCCUCAAUUAAUUAAAAUAAGGAAACAAUCAAAAAUAAAAUAAAGUAGGUAAUUAAAAGUCAAAUGGCAAUCCACUACAAUCAAGGAAAUAUUAACUAAAGAUCUAGCCAAGAAAUAACUUCAGCAAUGGUUCACCUAAUCGAUCAUUGAUGCAAAGCAAUCCCAAUUAUUUACUAAUAAAUAGGUUAUAACUACCAAACAAGCGAUGGCAGUCAACCCCUCCUUACUGUGUCGGUGAUCAAGGUACGCCCGUUAAUCACUGCUCUAAUUGAGAAAUAAUCCUAGGUACGCCCGUAGAAUUUAAUUCCCCAACUGCCUUACGUAUUAGAGGAGCCCUAUUCUACCCAAAUAACACACUACCAGGGUUAUUUUAGAUUAGCCCGCGUAUCCCCCUGACACGAAUCUAAUCGUGCCAGUUGUCACUAAUUUGAGGUAAUUAAACAAUUACGGAUUCAAUACCCCAAUUGACAAUAGAUUAUCAAACCAAUGAAUUAUCCGGAUCCAAGACAAUCAACUAAUUAAAUAAUCAUAAGCACUGCAACCAAGGAAUAUGCGAAUACCAAUAAAUAAAGGAAAAGAUAAAAUUAAAUCGAUCUCACAAUUUACAGGUGAUCCAAAGCAUCAGUCGUUUCUUGACUAGAACGAGGGGGUUAGCUCAUAUUGGAUGAACUAAGCCCGCGGGAAAUUCCAGCAAAAGUCACGGCCGUUGUAUGCAUUUCAAGAGCCGCAAUUCGUCAAACACUUGGAAAGCGAAUGUAAGGCACGGGUAACAAUUGAAGCUUUCUAAUUGUUCCUAGCAUUCGUAAAGCAAAUUCACUCCAGAAGUACAGUGAGGAAAAGUCAAAGAAAGUGGGCUUCAAUUCCUUGCUCCUGACAUGCGUGGAGACAAGCCAAUGCAAGACUACAAUAAACUAACAAGGAAAAGUCAAGAAUUGGAGCUAAGCUCCCCUGCCAUGCGCAGGAAUCCGAAAAGUAAAAAGUAAAGCUUCAAAGAAAAGUCAACAAUUCUUCCUAAGCUACAGACGGAAGAUCCAGCACAAAAGCCAGCUCCCUUUUUUAUCCCUUUUUCCCCCUUCUUAUUGCGGCGGCUCACCAGGAGAGGAGAGCCCUCCGUCCGUCCUUUCUUCCGAAAAUUACCAAAAUGGGCAUGACAUCUUCUCUUCCAAAAGUGCCCCUGGGACAAGCUUUCUCAUCUGAAUUCUUUUUUUUUCCAAUUUGGCACCUGUUAUCAUAUUUAUAUUCUACUCCCUGAAAUAAACGUCAAAUACUAAAAGUGAGUAGAAUCCAGCAAAUAAAUCCACAUCAAGUCAGGUAAUAGGAGGAAUUAAUAAUAAAAUAAAUGAAUAAAUUGCACCCUAUCAGAAAAAUGCAAAAAUUUGUUAUUUAUCAUUAAGGAUCAUAUCGCAUAUAACAUCAAAAAAUAGUAUAUUAUUUAUAUCUUUCACUUAAUAUAAUAUCCAAAUUACUCUUUUCAGUUACAUACCCAUUGUUAGACAAAAUCAACAACAAAUAACCAAAAAAUUUGCAACCAAAAUAUUACCAAAAAAAUAAACUUUAACAUCAUAAAUAUUUUUAUCAACAUAUUAAAGUUAGUUAUUGAAAUUUUUAUGGUGUUAAACUUCACUCUUAGCAAUAUUUUGGUUACAGAUUUUUUUGAUUAUUUAUUGUUGAUCGUGUUUGACAAUGGAUUUGUAACUGAAAAGAAUAAUUUGAAUCUUACAUUAAGUGAAAUAUAUAAAAUAUUAUACUAUUUUUUAUGGCAUAUGUGAUUCUUUUUUUUUUUUUUAUCAGAACGGCAACAUUGUAUUAAUAGUAAACCAAUUACAGUAUAGGUGGGCAACCGCCCUCACAAUCUGCCUGGACUUGUUCCAGCAGCCAAACUGGGAAGUUUUCCUUCCAUUCAGUAUUUUGUUCCAAAGUAAUAGCUACUUUAGCUAGUUUAUGGCUAACAAAGUUGUUCACCCUAUUUGCAAAGGUAAAACAACAUUCAUCAAAUUUUAUUCAUGUACAAUUGUUGCUAUCACCACGUCCUCCUCCUCCUCCUCACUGCACACUACUUGACUACCACCCUUCGCCAACCUUGCUGUUGCAUGUGCAACUAUCAUGGCCUCUCUUAGCGCCUUUGCUUCUUCGACCUUUGGACUGGCACAGCUAAAAUUUGGAACAGCCCAGGCCCACCCGCAAUCUUCCCAACCAAUCCCUGGCCACCCUUUUCCCACCCAGCUUCUAUGGCAUGUGUGAUUCAAUCCUUCUUGAUAGGAUUGGUAAUAGAGGCAGAGGGGGGAGCCGGCUGCAUCCGGUCUACUUUUCAUAGAUAGUACAAUAUUGCGAAAUCGAUCGCAUUCACACAAGAAUAUUUCGAAGUCAUUGCAUCGCUAAGUUGCAAAAAAGUACAAACACUUGUUAUUAUAUAGCUUAAGAUUCAAAACUUUAGAGCACAACCCUCCACCUAACACAAUUGAAUAAUGAAUAUUCACGAUUGUCAAAUCUGUCAAAGCACAGUUUGAGGACAACCCAUUCCAACCUGCAAAAGAUUUUUGACUUUUUUAAAGUUGUUGAGAGCUGUAAAAAGACUUACCAUGCUUACAUCUUCCGAGCCUUGGGAGUUAAAAAUGAAGGCACUGAGUGCUAUAAAAAGGGGGCUAGAGGCUGCCUAGAAGCAUAUCAGCCUAAAACAAGAAUUUGUAGUUAUGAUGGGAAGCAAAGCAAAAGCAAUGGGGUCUGGGCUGACUCCUCUUCUUACCACUGUUUUAGUGGUAUUUGUUGCUCUUGGCUUGCCCUCAGAAACUGCAGCUGAUGAUCACUACAAGUAUUCAUCUCCUCCUCCUCCUUACCACUAUCCCUCACCACCACCUCCAGUGCAUUUACCUCCACCAGUGUACAAAUACAAGUCCCCACCACCACCUCAUCAUGUUUACAAGUACAAAUCUCCACCACCCCCACCACCACACCCAGUUUACAAGUAUAAGUCGCCACCACCACCUCCUCAUCCGGUAUACAAGUACAAGUCUCCUCCGCCACCUCCUCAUCCGGUACCACACCCAGUUUACAAGUAUAAGUCACCACCACCACCUCCUCAUCCGGUACCACACCCAGUUUACAAGUAUAAGUCUCCUCCGCCACCAGUUUACAAAUAUAAGUCUCCUCCACCACCACCUCCAGUGUACAAAUACAAGUCUCCACCACCACCAGUUUACCACUACAAGUCUCCACCACCUCCUCCCCCAGUUUACAAAUACAAGUCUCCACCACCACCACCACCAGUUUACCACUACAAGUCACCACCACCUCCUCCCCCAGUUUACAAAUACAAGUCUCCACCACCUCCUCACCACUACUAAGCAAUUGCUUCUGAGGUAAUAACACUUGUUCAAUAUACCCACUUCUGCAUGAUAAAGCAUAUCUCUAUCAACACAAACUGUCAUGUCUAUCAUGCUAAGUGCCUUCACUUCAUCCACCAAAAUGACUGCUAGAAAAUUUUUUUUAUGUUACCAAAGAAAGGCAUCAUUUUUUCCCUCUGUUAUCAAGAACUUGUACAGUAUAUAGAUUAAAGAGUAUUUUUUUAACUAGCUUAUCAACUGAGAAAUGCAUAUAGCUGAUAGCCAGCUGAAUAUUUGCAGGCAAAGGAGAAGGAAACCAGUGUUUGAGACCUUCUUGAAGAUGUAGAAGCAUAAGAAUUAAAGCCCAAUGUGAAGAUGAUGAUUUCAAGUUUUUCUACGUUACCAUUUCUUUAUCUAAAUUGGUUGUAGCGCCUUAGUUCCUUUGUUUAUGGGAUUUGUAUCGUUUUACGUACCAUGCAGUACAUGUCAUGUUUGUAAGGUUUUCUAUCCUGCCGGCAAACCGCAGGUUCCAUGUAAUAAAUCAAUACUAUUUAUAUUACGACACUUUUCUCUGUUUCUCUUAUAUUUUGUCGUCUUUAAUAUUCUUAAUCAUAUUUUUAACAAAAAUAUUCAAACACUUAGGCAAUCUGGUCUAAUGCUAAUUGUAUGUUUUACUUUUCUUUUUCACCUGCUCCCCUUUUCAACUCAAAAGGAUGCAAUAGUUUGUGAUCACUGUUGAAGACGGAAGCAUGAUACUAAUGAAUAUAUCAUUGAAACUCAAGGAAACUAACAUUAUGAAAAGUGUAAAUCUUGAUUUGAUGCAACUAUUUAUUCGUGGAAUCUAUAGUUACAAAACUCAAACUCUGACUGCGCCAUUGAUAAAUUAUUAAUGACGCUAUCAUCAUUAUUUAUCCCCAACUAGUUUCGACUACAACUGAACCCAAUAUUUUCCCCAUGAUAAAAGUUUUUUACUAUUUUACUGGCCUCUCUUCAAAUUUUAAAAAUUACACUAAUCUUCAUUGAGAUUAAUUAUCUUGUAGCAUUUAAGUCCAAUUAAUAAUUAAAAAAUAAUAUUAUGAGAGAGAAAAUAAUAUAAUUUUAUCAUUGCCCCCCAUCUUGCUAUAUUAUUUAAUUAAUUUAAUAGCAACCCACACAUUAAAGAAAAAUACUAAAAUUUGCUGCUUUUCAUUAAAGAUCAAAUUGCAUAUGCCAUAAAACAUAGUAUAUCAUUCUAUAUGUUUCACUUAAUGUAAGAUCCCAAUUGUUCUUUUCAAUUACAAACCCAUUGUCAAACAUGAUCAAUAACAAAUAACCAAAAAAUUUGCAACCAAAAUAUUACAAAAAAAAACUUUAACAUCAUAAAUAUUCUUACCACCUCUAGUGCAUUCACCCUCAUAAAAUAAUUCAAGACCCUACUGUCAUAAAAUGACUGAUCAACUCCUGUAAACCUAAUUUGACAACAUUUAAAUGGAGAACUUUAGCUAAAAGAAUUAUGGUCAAGCUAAAGAAAAAACCAGUUAUUUUCCAACAUAUGCAAUCAUUGAUCAGGGAAAAAAAAAAGAAGCAAAAAGACAUCUUCAAUCAUUUAAUAGCUUACAGGGCAAAUUAACCCCUAAGCGAAAACUGGUUGCUCUAGAAUCAAAAUUUUACUUUAGUUACCCAGGCAACUUUUUUUGUUGCCUUUUCUUUUUCUUUUUUGGGUAUAUAUAUAGCUCCAGUUUUGCCCCCUCUGUCAAGCUUAUAUAAUUAUUAAGAUAAUAAAAGUGCCUUUAAUAGUAUUAAUAUAUCCAUUGACUUGAGCUGUCAUCGAUCGGUUUGGGCUACUUCGAUUCCAUGAGAACAAAUGGUAAUAAAAGUACUCAGAAAAUGGGGAGUCAUGAAACCCUUUUGUUCUAUUCAUUGCUAAGAUGCUUUUCUCUAUAAAGACACUUCCUAACGAAAAUACUUUGUAGAUUUCUUUACUCCAAGUGGUGCAUGGAAAAUUAAUAUUUUCAAUUAUCAAAUAAAAUUCCCUUUUUUCGGUGUAGAUUUCAUCCAUUCAGCUGUUAACACUCCGAAUUGACUAAUCUUUUCGUUUCCAUUUUCCAACUUGCGAAUACGGCAUCUUACAUAUUGUCUGCUGAAUAUGAAUACAUAUCCCUUUUCUGAGCAGGUGCAGAGUCAUUAUCAUUUUUAUUCCCACCUAACAAAUUAGUUAAUAAUCUUUUAAAGAACAUGUUAAAUUAAUUUAUUGGUAUGAAUAGUAGUCAAAGAAGUAUGUUAAAGUUAGUAAUCUUUAAAAUAAUAUGUUAAAAUUAUUCGUACAAAUUAGCCAGAGAAGUAGCAUAAACACCGCGAUGCAAUUAAUACUUUCAAUCUCAAGGUCUCUAUUAUGGAAAUUUGCAUCGGUCAACAUACACAAAGCAUUAUUGUAUGCACGUCUCUCUAUUAUGGAAAUUUGCAUAGGUCAAUAUACACUUGGCAUAGUUGCAUGCACGUCCAAUUUUUUUUUAUUUUUAUUUUUGGUAUUUUACUUCCUGCCUUAAGUUGCCUGCAGAUGUUUGUAUUACAAAUAUAUGGUAUACUAAAUAUAUAGUAUGCACAUUAAUUUCUUUGGGUUGCUUAAGGGUAUAUUGUUAAUAAUAGGGGGUUUAACCAUAAAUUAUAACAAUGAUGAAGUAAUAUAUAUUAGAAAAUUAACACAAUUAUGAUUUUUUUUUUUGUAAAAUUCAAAUUUUAUUAAUAAGAAAUGAAAUAGGCAGUAAGCAUUUACAAACCGAAAACAAAAUCCUACAACAACUCUAGGACUCUACACCUUAUUAAAAAAAAACAUUUUGAUAGCGUUUUUCCAAAAGCAGAAGAUGGAAAAUUGCCCAUUUGUACUGGGGAGUUCGUGAUCUUUUCCUCAUUCUAGUCUACUUACAAUUCUUGGAAAAAGGAAUACUCACAUCUCAAACAACAGCCUGUUCAUCUGCAGUGUCCUGCCGAAUUCUAGAAAGUUUGGUGGCAAUGUUAAUUACAUUUCAAAAUUGACUGCUGCGAUAACUAAUUCGAUGGCUUACUACAUGGUCAACGUUUGGAUCUCUUCCUGUCCUUUUUGGAUGCACAUUUUUUUUCUCUAGGUAAUAUAUAAUCUCCCAACUCAUUUCUUUACAAAUGCACCUUUAAUCACCACCAAAAGGUGUGGACAUGAUCUUUACCCUAGAAAACUAUUCACCGACAGGCAAAUUGACGUCAGAAAUACUAAGAGGAAUUCUAGUUUCCUUCGGGUUAAUGCCAUUUUGUACCCUUCAACUGUAACUCAAUUUCUAAGCUGUAAUUUGUGACAUUAUAGUCCUUAAACUAUGAAACCCUUUCUUAUUUAAUUACAAUGGUUAAUACAAUGCCCGUGACUAGACAAGUAUGAAGCAACCAUAACAAAAAAAAAAUCCAAAAUUAGAGAAAAGAAAGAAGUUGCGACCAAAGUAUGUAUCAAGGCAUAGUAUAGAAAUAAAAGUGUCAAAAUUAAGAGUUUAGGGAUAAAAAAGAAUCAAAAUAUAGUUUAGGAAUUGAUUUGUCUCAAUUAGAGUUUAGAUGUCAACUAAGAAGAGAGAUAUAGUUGAAGGGUAGAAUAUAGAUAUAACAGUUCAAUGAUUGAUAUCAACGAGACAAUGACAACUUUGGAUUAUUACCAACCUCUUCUUGAUGGAAAAGGAAAUAGAGAAGAAAGUCGGGCCUGGUCUAAGCCUGUUUCGGAGGCAAAACAACAUUAUGAAAUCACCGGCAUUCACACAAAUAUGUCAAAGUCACCGGCAUGCUAAGUUGCAAAAUUUAUACAAACACUGAAUAUUAUAUUCUUCUCAAAAUUUUUGUUUAAGAUUUAACAAUUAGAGCACGGUACACGAAUUAGCAAUAUUAAAUAAUGAAUGUUCACGAUUGAUAAAGUUAUCAAAGUACAGUUUGAGGACAACCCAUUCCAACGUGUACAAGAUGUUUAGCCUUUGAAAAGUUAAUUAGAGAAGGUGACGAGAUUUUACUAGGCUUACAACUUCUAGGCCUUGGGAGUAAAAAGUGAAGACACUGAGUGCUAUAAAAAGGGGGCUAGAUGUUGCCUAGAAGCAUAUCAGCCUCGGACCACAUUUUGUAGCAAUGGGGAGCAAAGCAAAAGCAAUGGGGUCUAGGCUGACUCCUCUUUUUACCACCGUUUUAGUGGUAUUUGUUGCACUUGGCUUGCCUUCAGAAACUGCAGCUGAUUACGACAAGUAUUCACCUCCUCCUCCUCCUUACCAUUAUUACUCACCACCACCUCUUGUGCAUUCACCUCCACCACCGCCAGUUUAUAAGUCACCCCCACCACCUUAUCACUACUUCUCACCACCACCUCCAGUGUAUCCAUCUCCACCACCAUCUGUUUACAAGUCACCUCCACCACCUUCGCCAGUAUACAAGUCCCCACCACCACCUUAUCAAUAUUCCUCACCACCACCUCCAGUGCAUUCACCUCCACCACCACCGAUUUAUAAGUCACCUCCACCACCUCCUCCAGUUUACAAGUCCCCGCCACCACCUUACCAUUAUUCCGCACCAUCACCUCCAGUGCAUUCACCUCCACCACCACCGAUUUACAAGUCACCUCCACCACCUCCUCCAGUUUACAAGUCUCCAUCACCACCUUACCAUUAUUCCUCACCACCACCUCCAGUGCAUUCACCCCUACCACCACCGGUUUACAAGUCUCUGCCACCACCUUACCAUUAUUCCUCACCACCACCUCCUAUGCAUGCACCUCCACCACCAAUAUACAAGUCACCUCCACCACCUCCUCCAGUUUACAAGUCUCCACCACCACCUUACCAUUAUUCCUCACCACCACCUCCAGUGCAUUCACCCCUACCACCACCAGUUUACAAGUCUCCGCCACCACCUUACCAUUAUUCCUCACCACCACCUCCUGUGCAUGCACUGCCACCACCAAUUUACAAGUCACCUCCACCACCUCCUCCAGUUUACAAGUCCCCACCACCACCUUACCAUUAUUCCUCACCACUACCUCCAGUGCAUUCACCUCCACCACCACCGAUUUACAAGUCACCUUCACCACCUCCUCCAGUUUACAAGUCUUCACCACCACCUUACCAUUAUUCCUCACCACCACCACUCUUCAAUUUGGAUGUAAUUCAAUUUUCCUUGUAAUCGGUGGCCCUCCUUCGGAAUCCAAAUAGUCAUUGAGUGCAGCCUUCUUUCUUUAUUUUUUACUCAUUUUCACCUCAUAAAUUGCUUUCAUCCCCUAAAACUUGUUCGCUGGAAUUUUGAAUUUACCCAUACAACUAAACUCAGAAAAUUCUUACACAAAGGGAUUAGUAGCAUGAAUAGCAAACACAGAAUAAGAGAUAACAGUAUGUUUUAUUGUAUUAAAAAUAUUAAAGUGGAUUAUUUCUCCAUCGAAUUCCAUUGUGAGAGUAUCGUUACUAACAUCAAUCUUAGUUUGAGCAGUACUCAAGAAUGACCUUCCUAAUAUAAUGGGUGAUGGAUUUGGGACACUUUCAUCAUCCAUAUAAAACACAUAAAAAUCAACAGAAAAAAUUAAUCCAUCUACUUGAACUAAAAACAUCCUCAACUACCCCAUUUAGAUAAGCAAAUAUACGAUCAGCCAAUUGAAUUAUUAUCCCUAUUUCUUUUAAAUGUUCUAAAUUUAGGGAAUCAUAAAUUGAUUUAGACAUCACAUUAAUAGAAAUCUUUAAAUCUAUCAUGGCAUUUUUUAUAUUAGAAUGUCCAAUCUUACAUGAGAUAGUAAACAUACCUAGAUUCUCGCAUUUAGGUGGUAGUUUCCUUUGUAAAAUUGCUGAAACGUUCUCAUCUACCACAAUAUGCUUGUCCUCCUCAAUUUCUUCUUGUUGACACACAAGUUUUUCAAGCAUUUAACGUAUUUUGGAACUUAUUUGAUUUGCGUCCAACAAAGGGAUAUUGAUUGCCACCUUGCGAAAAUCUCUAAAAUCUCCUUUUCUUUAUCUUGUUUCUUUGAUUUCUCUAACCUGCUUGGAAAAGGUGGUGAGUUAGUUCCAACUCUAAUUAUAGAAUCAACAAUUACCUUUGGAUUCACAUUUCUCAUUCCUUCCUCCUCAAGCUCUUUGUCGAUUCGAUCUUCAUUUUUAUCCUUUGGAAUCACAACUUCGGAUCCCUGAAUUUUCUUCUCGCUCCUUAAGGUCAUUACACUUACAUUCUUCAGGUUCAGUUCAGGUUGAGACGACAAUUUUUCAUAGAUUUGGGAUUCCAGGCGGUUGAUUGCUAUUACCAUCUGACUCAUCUGACUCUGCAGUGCUUGCACCUGUCCCAAUUGAUUCCUCAUACUUUGCAAGUCAAAAUCCAUCUUUUGUUGAUUAGCAAUUAAUUGCUUCAUUAUCUCUUCUAUAGAUGGACUUGAGUUUGAAAGAGGUGGUGGCGGGCGAGACUGAUACUGUUAUUGAUACCCUUGCUAUCUAUUUGGUGCAAAAUCUGGCUACCUAUUUCCUCCAUAGCUGAGGUUGGGAUGAUCUCUCCAACCAAUAUUGUACGUAUUCGUGUACGAGUCGUAUGGUUUUCUUGGCACGGCGCGUGACCAGCCAUGUUCACUUGCUCCGUACUUUUCUCUUGAAUCAUUGAGCACAUCUCUGUAGAAUGACCCAUAGCAGUGCAGAUCCCACACAUCUUGACUCGUGAUGCAUUUCCUAUAGCUAAUUGCCUAACAAAGGAUGUUAAUUCGGUCAACUGCUGUUGGAUAGAAUAUGUUUCUACCUCAUUUACUUUGCGUGUUGGGGCAUCCUCCCUCGUACCAAACUGUUGCGAAUUUUCCGCCAUUCCUUCAACUAGCUCCCACGCUUCUCGAGAAGUCUUGUUCACCAAUGCCCUUCUACUUGCAGCAUCAAUUAUACUCCUGUCUCUAAAACGCAGCCCCUCGCAAAAAUAUUGGAUGAGCAAUUGCUCACUUAUUUGGUGUUGAGGGAACUUGAUGCAUAACUUCUUGAAUCGCUCCCAAUAAUCAUAAAGCGACUCUCCUGGAUGCUACUUGAUACCGUAUAUCUCCUUCCUUAGACUUGCAGCUCGAGAUGCAAGAAAAUAUUUGUCCAAGAACUUUUUCUUCAGCUGAUCCCACGUGGUGAUGCUACCUGGUGGUAGAUAGCACAGCCAGUCUUUUGCGGAGUCCUUCAAGGAGAAGGGAAAUGCCCUCAUUUUUAUCUAUUUUUCUGUAAUUCUCGGAGGUUUUAUGCUGUUGCAAACGACAUCAAACUCUUGCAAGUGCUUAUACGGUUCCUCACCUGGUAAACCAUAGAAAGAUGGCAAGAGAUGAAUUAGACCAGAUUUUAACUCAAAUGAAGUGUUAUCAUUUAAAAAUAGAAAAGUAACUGAGAUGCAGCACUGGAAUGUUCUUCUCGAAAUUGUCUGGUCUCUUUCUUUGUUCUACGCGUAGUCUUCUCUACCUUAGGAUCAAAAAUUAAUUUACCUGUACGAGAAGAACGAGGCAUACACUAGAAAAACACUAGAAAAUUAGAACAAAAAUGAACAUAAAAAGAAACAAAUAAACCAACGUCAGUCCCCAGCAACGGCGCUAAAAAUUGACAAGUUGUCGAUGCCUGUGCAAUAAUAAAAAUAAACCUAGUUACCAAUUAAAAUAAUCAGAGCCUAAUUCUGAGUACUAGAGCAGGGACUAUAGGUGUGCAAUGGGUUACUUGAUUCACCCUAUUCCUGAAGUUUGCUUAACCCGAUAUACCAGAAUGAGAUUGCUUAUUCAAAAGGAAUUAUUGAUUUGUAAACAGGGCAAGUAGGGUCGUAUCAUCAGGGAUUGAAAAAAUUUGUUUCUUUUCAAAUCCACAGUAACAAGGGGAUGUUUUUGUAUAAAUGAUAACAAUCUAAGGAGUGCAAAUAGAAAUAAAUAGAUAACUAGAAAUUAAAUGACAAUUCACUAAAAUUAGAGUAAUAAUAAUUAAAGGUCUAGCUAAGAAAUAACUUCAGCAAUGGUUCACCUAAUUGAUCAUCGACGCAAAGGCAAUUCCAAUUAUUUACUAAUAAAUAGGUUAUAACUGCAAAACAAGCAAUGACAGUCAACCCCUCCUUACUGUCGGUCGGUGAUUAAGGUACGCCCAAUCACUGCUCUAGUUGAGAAAUAAUUUUAGGGACGCUCGUAAGAUUUAAUUUUCCAAUUGCCUUACGUAUUAGAGGAGCCAUAAUCUAACCAAAUAACGCUACCAGGAUUAUUUUAAAUUAACCCGUGUAUUCCCUUGAUACAAAUUCAAUCAUGUCAGUUGUCACUAUUUCAAGGUAAUGAAACAAUUACGGAUUUAAUAUCCUAAUUGACAAUAGGUUACUAAAUCAAUUCACUAUUUCGAUCCAAGAUAAUCAAUCAAUUUAACAACUAAUAGCACUGCAAUCGGAGAAUAUGUAAAUACCAAUAAAUAAGAGGAAAAGAUAAAAUUAAAUCGAUCUCACAAUUUUUAAACAAAUCAAAGUAUCCGUUGUUUCUUGACUAGAAAAGAAAAUUUAGUUCAUUCCUAAUGUGAAAGACCCACGUGAGAAUUCAAAAAUAAUAUUCACGGAUAUUGUCUUGAUUCAAUAGAUUCAAUUGCGUUGGAAUAAGGAUAAAAAGCCAAACUAUAGAGAGUGAUUCAAUGUUUUGUUUCGUUUGCAUUUUUUCUACACAUAUGGAAGAAGAAAAACAACUAAAGGACGAAAAAAAAAAGUCAAAGAAAGGCACCCAAAGUAGUGCUUGGUCUCUACCAUCCUAUUUCCUAUCUAAUUACUACUUCCCUUCUGCGGCUGCCUAGAGGAAGAAAGAGAAAGCAGACUUCAGGUCUUGUUCCAUCUCCUCCCUUUUCGGCAAUUCCCCAAAAGUAGAAAAGUUCCUCCGUUUACCAAAAUGCCCCUGGAAUGAGGACUGCUACUUGAACUCAUUUUCUUGAUAACUGUCAAAUUAGCACUUGUUAUGGUAUUUGCGUCUACUUCCUGUAAUAAAUGUAAAUUGCCAAAAGUGAGUAAACUGAUAAUUAAUUUACAUCAGGUCAGGUAAUAGGAAAAAUUAAUUAUAAAAUAAAUGAUAAAAUUGCAACCUAUCACUUAGAAUAACCAGAAAUAAAACAAAACAAGAAAUGAAAGAAAUAAGAGGGUAGCAUAGACAUUUUGGAUUUUUCUGUUAAUUUGGAUGAUUUCCACCUACGGUCUAAUUUAAUCCAAAACACAAAUGGAUUAUGUGGAGAUUUUUAAACAAUGAGGGAGUAUCGUGACCGAAUCCCAAACCACAAAGGGGAUUUACUAUAUUUUACUCUUAAAUUUUGGUUUCAUCUCAUAGCAUACAAGAGUACUAUUUCACUGUCUGUCGACCAGGGAGGAGGGUUGGGUUGGGUGGUACGGGGGAGGGAGUCUAAGUAAGAGGUCUCAGGUUCGAAUCCUCCUGUUUAUACUAAAAAAAAAAAUUUACUAUCUGUCGACAAAGAUUUUCUAUGGUUGAUGUACCAUAGGAAAAAUCUGCCUAUACAAUUAUUUGGAAAAAUUAUCCAUCCAAACAUAGUCACGAUAGCAUUUUUUCAAAAACACUAGAUGCAAAAUUGUCCCCUUAAACGUGGAAAUUCAUGAUCUUUCCUCGACUAGUCUACUUGUCAAUUUUUGAAAAAAGAAUACUCACGCCAAAAACACGGCCUCUUCAUCUGCAGAAUUCUAAAAAGUUACGUAAACUCUAUAAACAAGUUGAUAGGUACAAUCGUACCCAAGAUCAAGUACAGAUAGUUGUACAUUCACUGCUGCAAUAACUAAUCUGAUGACUUACAAACACAUCAUGGUCAAUCGUUGAAUGGUAAUGAGUCUUUUGUUAUGCAUUAGUAUUAGUGUGUACACUCUAAUAGAUUGAUACUUAUACUCUUUAAAUUAUCAUAAUAAUACCCUUAAUUAACUUUAACCCUUAAAAAGAAUACGUGUUAAUACACGAGAGUGUGUAACCUGAAUUGUUACUUAUACAUUAGUGUGUAAUAGAACGGCAAGCAUUAUGGUGGUCAUUGAGCAACUUAUAGGAGAAAUAGUCCUAUAAGCUGUUCAAUGACCAAUCACAACUUGCUAAUUGGAUGACUAAUAUAGCUCUAGCUGUAAUGUUUUAAUUAAAUUCCACACUAACGUUGGGAUGACUUUUUAAUCAAAAAAAAAAAAGCCUUAGUUCAAGCUUUUCCCCUUAUUGUGCAUUUUUUAAAACAUUUGAUAGGCACUGCAAAUCUGUCAUUUUGGACAUUUUAUUAUUAACUAACAAUGAAAGCCGUGGACAUCAACCCAUAUCCAACAAAAUAUUAAAUUAAUAUUAGAAAAAUUAUUAAGUAAUUGGAAAAAAAAAAGAAGAGGCUAAUUUUCAUUGAAACCCACCGACAAACUAUCCGUGUCCAUAGCUUUUGAAUAGUGCAUUCAACGUUUAAUUGUAUGGUCCAGUUCAUUGCCGAUUACAUGGAGUAAAGAUUGUGCUCUUUCCUUUUUCACCCCUUUUGGAAUCGAUACUGUGGAGAAUUGGGUUUUUCCCUCCUUUUUUUCUUUUCUUUCCUUCUGUGCUUUGCAAAACAUACGUAAAAAUAUGAAAUCCGAAGCAUUCUUUAAUUGGGAUUAAGUAUUGUUGUUGAAAUUAAAAAGAAGAAAGAAAGAACAACAAAAAUCCCAAUCUGGGUUGAUUGUUGAGCUCUAGAUUGGCUGCAUCGUGCUUCCAUAGAAGUUCUCUUAGUGUGAUACGCUGCUUUCAAUCAGUUUUAAUAUUUAAGUAGAGUGCAAAAUAACUUUACUAUUUAAUGGGUUAUAAUGCACCAUUUGGUACCUCUCACCCACCUAUGAUUUGAUUUACUACUGGCAUGGUAAUGGACAGAGUUGGGGGAGCAGGAGGAGGGAGAUGGCGGUACCAGUCCGUCAACCACAGCACACCCUCCCUCGGACUUUGCGUGGUAGCGAAGUGGAGGCAGAUCGAGCACACAUGCACUAACGCCUUAAGUAUGUACAAUAUAUGUAUGCCAAAAGCAUAGCCAAGCCUACCAGCGCAUUUCAAUAAUAUAACCCGGAAAUUAAGGGCAUUGAAUUAAGUACGAUGAAUCAUAUUGGUGCACAAUUACAGUUUGAAGCUACCGAUUCGAGUAAAUUUAAGCGUAAGCACAAUCAAUCGCCAGUCAAAUGCUGAAAUAUGCAUAUGCAUGGAUGAAUGUAUGGGUUUCUUAGUUCCAGACCAAAGGCCAACAAUAAGGGAAGGAAGGACAGUUCUCAUUUUUAGCACGGACAAGGAGAUGAAGAAAAGUGUAUGUAGCUUGAGACAGAACAAUGGCAUGUGACCGCUCCUGAGACCACAUAACGUGGGGUGGGGAUGGGACGGCCAAGAAUGAAGAUGCCUGUCGGUCUCUCCGUGCUGCUACCAUAUGAAUCCCCCGUUAACCAAUUCAAGAUAAGCCUGAAGUUCUUUUCAUCCCCAAACCCUGUCCCAUCUGUGUAAAUCCAACAUCAUCAUUUACGACCUGCAACUCAGGUUAAGCAUGUUCUAUUGAGAUUCAGACACCACCCUUCAAAAGAUAUACUACUGUGAAACCAGCAGCUUAAUAUCAUUGUAUAAAAAAAAAAAAAAAAGAAAGAAGAAAAGACAUGAAAAGCAAAUUUUGUGGGGAUAAUUUCAAAAUCUCUCCUAAAGUUUUUUACUAUUUUACUGGCCUCCUUUCAAAUUUUAAAAAUUACACCAGUCUUCCUUGAGAUUAUUUAUCUUGUAACAUUGAGGUCCAAUCAAUAAUUAAAAAAUGAUAUUAUGAGAGAGAAAAAAAAUAAACUUUAACAUCAUAAAUAUUCUUAUCAACAUAUUAAAGUUAGUUACUGAAAUUUUUAUGGUGUUAAACUUCACUCUUUGUAAUAUUUUAGUUACAGAUUUUUUGAUUACUUGUUGUUGAUUUUUUUUUUUUUAGUGUAAACAGGAGGACUCGAACCUAAGACCUCUCACUUACACUCCCUCCCCCCGUACCACCCCAACCCAACCCAACCCUCCCCUCGUUGUUGAUCAUGUUUGACAAUGGAUUUGUAAUUGAAAAGAACAAUUUGGAUCUUACAUUGAGUGAAAUAUAUAGAAUGAUAUACUAUUUUUUAUGGCAUAUGUGAUUCAAUCCUUGAUGAUAAAAGCAAAUUCAAGUGUUUUCUUUAAUGUUUGUGCUGAUAUUAGAUUAAUUAAAUAAUUUAGUAGAUGAAGGAAAAUGGUGAAAUCAUAUUAUCUUCUCUUUCCUAAUAUCACUAUUUAAUUAUUGAUUGAACUUAGAUAUUACAAAUAAUAAAUCUCAAGGGAGAUUAGUAUAAUUUUCAAAUUUUGGAGAGAAGCUAAUGAAAUAGUCAAAAACCUUAAGGGAGGUUUACAAAAUUAUCCCAAAUUUGUGGGAAUUAGAAUAAUUGUACUGGACGGCACUGCCGCAACAGAGGGAAAGAGGAGGAGGUGCAGUUAACUUUUUGUUGUUUGAAAUCCUUGGUGAAAUAUUACAGAAAGACAGAUAAAACAGUUAGUACAUAGAUGUAUAUGACAGGGAAAAUGGUACGUCUGUUAAUCACAUUUGAAACACUUUCAUUGGUGAAUGACGAAAACUAUCAGGCUUGCCCAAUAGUUGAUCAUUGACCAAGACAAAUCUUGCCAUGCUAGAGGUACCAUCUUUUCGUACCUCUUUAGUGCACAGGACAUUCCUUUGUUUCAUCUAGCUAAUAAUCUACCAACUCAUUUCUUUGCAAAUGCACCUUUUAUGGUCACGUCUACGAAAGCUUUACAGGAUCUUUACCCAAAAAAUCAAUUCACCGACUCGCAUUUGAUGUCAAAAUUUCUUUACUUUACUCCAAGAUUGACUGUUAAUAAUAAUGCCACUUUGAAUUAUCACACCAUCCUUCUUGAUAGGAUUUGUGCUAGAGGUAGGGAGGGAGUCGCUGCAGCCGGUCUUCUCUUCAUAGACAGUACAAUAUUGCGAAAUCGAUCGCAUUCACGCAAUAUUAUAUUUCCAAGUCGUUGCAUGGGUAAGCUGCCAAAAAGUACGAACACAUGUUAUUAUAUAGCUUAAGAUUCAAAACUUUCGAGCAUAACCCUCCACCUAACACAAUUGAAUAAUGGAUAUUCACGAUUGUCAAAUCUGUCAAAGUACAGUUUGAGGACAACCCAUUCCAACCUGCAAAAGGUUUUUUUACUUUUCUAAAGUUGUUGAGAGCUGUUAAAAGAUUUACCAUGCUUACAUCUUCCGAGCCUUGGGAGUUAAAAAUGAAGGCACUGAGUGCUAUAAAAAGGGAAUAGAGGCUGCCUAGAAGCAUACCAGCCUAAAACAAGGAUUUGUAGUUAUGAUGGGAAGCAAAGCAAAAGCAAUGGGGUCUGGGCUGACUCCUCUUCUUGCCACUGUUUUAGUGGUGUUUGUUGCUCUUGGCUUGCCCUCAGAAACUGCAGCUGAUGAUCACUACAAGUAUUCAUCUCCUCCUCCUCCUUACACUAUCCCUCACCACCACCUCCAGUGCAUAUACCUCCACCUCAUCCUGUUUACAAGUACAAAUCUCCACCACCCCCACCACCACACCCAGUUUACAAGUAUAAGUCACCACCACCACCUCCUCAUCCGGUACCACACCCAGUUCCUCAUCCGGUGCCACACCCAGUUCCUCAUCCGGUGCCACACCCAGUUUACAAGUAUAAGUCACCACCACCACCUCCUCAUCCGGUACCACACCCAGUUCCUCAUCCGGUACCCACACCCAGUUUACAAGUAUAAGUCACACCACCACCUCCUCAUCCGGUACCACACCCAGUUUACAAGUAUAAGUCACCACCACCACCUCCUCAUCCGGUAUACAAGUAUAAGUCUCUCCGCCACCAACACCCAGUUUACAAGUAUAAGUCACCACCACCACCUCCUCAUCCGGUGCCACACCCAGUUUACCACUACAAGUCACCACCACCACCUCCUCAUCCGGUACCACACCAGUUUACCAUACAAGUCACCACCAAUCCUCACCCAGUUUACAAAUACGAGUCUCCACCACCUCCAGUUUAUAAGUACAAGUCACCACCACCUCCUCCACCAGUUUACAAGUAUAAAUCUCCUCCACCACCACCACCAGUUUACCACUACAAGUCUCCACCACCUCCUCCCCCAGUUUACAAAUACAAGUCUCCACCACCUCCUCACCACUACUAAGCAAUUGCUUCUGAGGUAAUAACACUUGUUCAAUAUACCCACUUCUGCAUGAUAAAGCAUAUCUCUAUCAACACAAACUGUCAUGUCUAUCAUGCUAAGUGCCUUCACUUCAUCCACCAAAAUGACUGCUAGAAAAUUUUUUUUAUGUUACCAAAGAAAGGCAUCAUUUUUUCCCUCUGUUAUCAAGAACUUGUACAGUAUAUAGAUUAAAGAGUUUUUAUUUUAACUAGCUUAUCAACUUAGAAAUGCAUAUAGCUGAUAACCAGCUGAAUAUUUGCAGGCAAAGGAGAAGGAAACCAUGUUUGAGACCUUCUUGAAGAUGUAGAAGCAUAAGAAUAAAAGCCCAAUGUGAAGAUGAUGAUUUCAAGUUUUUCUACGUUACCAUUUCUUUAUCUAAAUUGGUUGUAGCGCCCAAGUUCCUUUGUUUAUGGGAUUUGUAUCGUUUUACGUACCAUGCAGUACAUGUCAUGUUUGUAAGGUUUUCUAUCCUGCCGGCAAACCGCAGGUUCCAUGUGAUAAAUGAAUACUAUUUAUGUUACGACA